Molecule: long non-coding RNA, 91447 nt
Filed under: Prunus persica (peach)
Lineage: Eukaryota; Viridiplantae; Streptophyta; Magnoliopsida; Rosales; Rosaceae
Description: long non-coding RNA (PPER_LNC007295)
Source: RNAcentral
GAGAGAGCGUGGAGAGAGAAGAGCUUCUUGUUCAGGUACUCUCUCUCUAGUUUUUUUUAUUCAUUUUGCUUCUGGUUGAUUGUUUCUGUUUGGUUUGGCUUGUCAAAUUCGGAGUUUUCUACUUGCAUUUCGCUGUUUUUGAUUGAAUGUGAUUUCAUUUUGUAUGUUUGAGCUCCAUUUCCUGCUUCAAUGGCGUAAUCUGGAUUAGAUCUAGGCGUUAAUGGUUUUCUAUGGAGAUUCAGAUCUUCGUGUUCGUUUGCGACUGCAACUCCAAUUUUAUUUCCCUUUUUCUUUUAAACGCCUACGAUUUUGAGCUAGAUUAUUAUAAUGCUACUAAUAUGAUUUUUUAAGCUCGUUCAUUCUCUAUGGAGAUUCAGAUCUUCCUGUUCGUUUGCAACUCCAUCUCCUUUUAUUUUUCCUUCUCUUUUUCAACGGCUACGAUUUUGAGCUGUAUUAUUAGAUGCAACUGGUAUUCUUCUUUUAUAUAAUAUACAUAUAUAUAUUUCUAUAUAUUUCUAUUUUUAUGGUUGAUUUAAAAGAAUUGAGCAUUUCGAAGUCCGAUCUGACUCAUAUGAGCGUAACAGUCUGGAUUUUUUGUCGCGUUAUUUGCCUUGGUCCUUUCACACAUGAUAUCUGUCGUCAUCUCUCACACCUUAUUUUCAAGUAUUAAAUUAUUUUUCAUCAUUUUUACGGUUAAUAUUAUAAUUUAAUAUUAGUUAAUAUGGAUUCCGGUUUUUUCUGUUUGAGAAAAAUAAUAGUCCGUUUUUAUGCGGUCCCCCCCAUCACGCCCGAAUUUUCUGACCAUUCGUCUUCGUUCUCGUUUUUCCUUCUUGGCUCCUUACGUUUAAAUGCCGCGUUUUAUUGGGGCGGUUGCAAGUGCGUCCUGACUAUUUUGCACAUAUUCGUGAUAACUUUUUCUCGGCUGAUAAUUUUGUAACUUUGCGAAGCUUUGGCUAGGUUUGUUUUGAGAAUUUGAAAUUCCAACGAGAAAUUCAUUGUAGCUCCGUAACAGUGUUUUAAGAAUAUUCAAAGAACGAUAUUAUGAUUGGAAUUUCAAUUUUGGUUGGCAAGUUGGCAACAAAUUAAAUUUGAUAUUUUUUGGGCCAUGGGCAAGUUGGAAAUGUUCGGCACAUUAGGAAAAUAAUCUGGUCAAAAUCAAAGCUUUAUCGUCAAGUCCAUCAUGCGUAGAGGAAAAUGAGUUUUGUUUGUCAUUUAUUAAUAUUUAAUUAACCUUGACCGAAUGGUUGACCUGAUCCUGAUAUUGGGAGAGCCAAACAAUUUCUCUUCCGCAGGUGCUGUAGUAACGUUGAACCUGUAUAAAAUAUGCUUAUUUUUACUUUCUUUAUUCAAGUUUGAGAGGCGUAAGGGAUACCUUCACGUGACACGCCUCAAUUCCUUGUCUGUUUAGAUUCAUUGAGGAUUGAGAAGUCUGCCCAUCAUAUGUUUAUAUUCAUUUUUUCAAUUUCUUCUAGUUUGGUGCGUUGCAACUUGCAACUAGCAUGAGGGCUUGUUUCUUUAUUGCCUAUGUGGGGUAGCAGUCGGCACAUAAUUAAAGUUGUGGUGGGUCCUAAGGAAUAUCAAAUAAAACCAAGAAAACUCUAUUUAUUCAAAUCACCUUUUUUCGCAAGACUUUGUUGUUGGUACUUUUUACGUCUAAUUUAAGGGUCAGUCCCCACCAAUUGUAUUCAAGUUUGAGUUACCCGUCUAUUAUUAACACAAAAAAACACUAAUUUCAAUUUUUAUUCCUUAAAAUUGUGGCAUGCAUUAAACAUCCUCUAGGUUUAUAUGUGCUUGUUCUACUUGAUUUGAAAUUCUGGUGUGACUUAUUGUAUAUAAAGACUUGAGUUGGGUUUGUAGUCAAAUUGUCCGUUAUGCAUAGUGGAUCUAAUUAGAGCAUUUAUUAGGAGUCCUUUCUCUCUCUUCAGAUUUAGGAGCUCCUAGAGGUCUCCCUAUUUUAGGAGGUGGAUAGAGAGCAUAGUUGGAGUUGCAUUUUUCCAAAUGCUCCCUAAAAUUUGUCUAAGGAGGUGAUUUAGAGAGCCUAUUGUGAAUGCUCUUAGUGACACAAACUCCUAGUUUAUAUUUGAGUGAUUAGUCUUUGCCAUCUCUGUCUCAGCUGUUAAAAAUAAUAUGUAACAAAACCAGGGAAGCUUGUCGGUACGUUUACACUGGUUAAUAGUAGCGGCAAUAACUUAGAUCAAAUUGGUUGUGUGAUGUAAAGAGCUCCUCUACUUGUAUGUUGGAUUCUUUUGGAUAUUCCACUUGCCUUUCUGGUUGGUUUUGGUCCGUUUACUUUGGCACUUUGUUUCUGAGUGGUCGUCGUGUGAGGCUUGAACCUCCAAAUAUCUCAAUCGGUUGGUGUAUUUUUAAUUCAACGUUUGCGGUGUUUCAUUUUUUUGGUGCUCUUCGAUUCAGCCAAUGAGGAAACCCGCCUAGCCGUAGUCACUCUCGAGGUCUACAGGGAGGAAUAUGUGAGAGAUCCGAGGAAUAAAAUUAUUUAUAAUUGUUUCAUGUCUUUUACCUUUAUCCUUACUAAUAUCUCCUUUUCGUUUCUUGGUGUUGAUAUCCUAUAAACUAGUAUAUAACUAUUGAAAUCCUGUUGUGGCACUACAAUUGAAUUAUUCUGUUUUGGUGGUGCAUUAUGGACUAACCUCCUUUUGACAAUUACAUUAUACUCAAGAGAUUCGUUCUUCUUUCUUUGCAGAUUUAGGAGCAAUGGGUGCCGGUGGAAGAAUGUCCGCACCCCCUACCCGUAAGAACGCUGAAACCGACAACCCCAAGCGAGUGCCAUACUCAAAACCUCCAUUCAGUCUCGGCCAGAUCAAGAAAGCCAUCCCACCUCAUUGCUUUCAGCGCUCUGUUAUCCGCUCCUUCUCCUAUGUCUUUUAUGACCUUACCAUUGCCUUUCUCCUGUACUACAUUGCUUGCAAUUACAUCCAGCCUCUCUCUCAACCUUUCUCUUUCUUGGCGUGGCCAGUUUACUGGUAUGUUCAGGGCUGUGUCCUGACUGGUGUUUGGGUGAUAGCGCAUGAGUGUGGUCACCAUGCUUUUAGUGAUUAUCAAUGGCUGGAUGACACAGUCGGUCUAAUCCUCCACUCUGCCCUCCUUGUGCCUUACUUUUCUUGGAAGUAUAGCCAUCGCCGUCACCACUCUAACACAGGUUCCAUUGAGCGAGAUGAGGUCUUUGUCCCCAAGCAGAAGUCUGCUAUUGGAUGGUACUCCAAAUAUCUAAACAACCCACCGGGCAGGUUCCUUACACUCACCAUCCAACUCACUCUAGGCUGGCCUCUGUAUCUGGCUUUCAAUGUUUCAGGGAGGCACUAUGAAGGCUUUGCUUGCCACUACCAUCCAUAUGGCCCCAUCUUCUCCGAUCGUGAACGAUUGCAGAUUUUCCUUUCUGAUGCCGGUGUUCUUGCAGUCGUAUAUGGGCUAUACCGUCUAGCUGUGGCGAAAGGGCUUGCUUGGGUUGUAUGCUAUUAUGGAGGACCUUUGAUGGUGGUGAAUGGAUUUUUGGUGCUGAUCACAUACUUGCAGCACACACACCCUUCAUUGCCACACUACGAUUCCUCAGAAUGGGACUGGUUGAGAGGAGCUUUGGCAACAGUUGACAGAGAUUACGGCAUCCUGAACAAGGUUUUCCAUAACAUCACAGACACUCAUGUUGCUCACCAUUUGUUCUCAACCAUGCCACAUUACCAUGCAAUGGAGGCCACCAAAGCUAUCAAGCCGAUUUUGGGCGAUUACUAUCAGUUGGACAGGACGCCGGUUUUCAAGGCAAUGUUCAGGGAGGCAAAGGAGUGUAUUUAUGUUGAGCGAGAUGAGGGUGACAAGAAAGGUGUCUUCUGGUACAAUAAUAAGUUAUAAAUGUGAUUAUCAAAAUUGCCCGAAUGAGUGUAGGGGGAGUUUUAAGUUCUUGUAAUGGAUCCGAGCUUCCCCUUUCACUCAUGAAUUAGGUUUCUUUCGUCGCUUGGGACUCUACUUUAAUAUGACUAGUUGUGCUAUUUCAAUAAUUUUCUCACCCCUAUUUAUUGUAGAAUGCAAGAAUGUUCUGUGCUACGUUCCUUUCUUUCCCCUCCAAUGAAUGUGCUUAAUUUCCUAAGCAAAAAGCUUCCAAAGGCCUAAUGAAAAAUGGAACGUGCUAAACCAAUUCUGAAUAUUUUCAUUUUCAUUUUCAUUUUUGCGGUUGAGAAAGACUCAAGAGAGUCGUUUUAACUUGGAACUCAAUUUCUGUGGCACAAUGAAUCCCUGAACGAGAGGGAGGCAGGCUAAAUGAAAUGAUAACACAUGGGCUUUGCUCAGCCACAGGACAAUACUGAUCCAUUCCAUCUGUCUUUGCUGCUUCAUUUAUAUUUGGCACUCUCACCCACUCUAUCUUCAACCCGUUUUUGAGGGAUGUGGAAGAAUAAAAUCCAAGGGCUCCUUUGGUGAGCUAGAUUAUAUGGUUGGAUAGAACUAAUAAUCCUAGUCAAGUGUUUGGUGGUCUAAAAAUAACUUGGAAUGGAUUAUGUCUACUGGAGCCUAAAUGUAGUAGAAUUAUGAAUCCCACCAAAAUGGGAUUGGAUUAUGUCUAUAAUCAUGCUAGACUAUAUAAUACAUUAUUGGAUUAGUAUUAUCCUUUCCGAUCAAAUGUAAUCCAAUCCAAUUUCAAUCGGGAAACAUGACCCCAAAUGUCCAAACAUGAGUGUAAAUUGCAAUAUAGCCCGUGGUGAGUUCGGAAUUUGGAAGAAUAUUACUCUUCAUUUUAUUUCAUCAGAAAGAAAAAUAAAAUUGAAUUAAAUGAGUGAGUUGUAAAGAAGGAUACAGUAAAUGAGUUAAGGAUUUCUCGACGAAGUGUUCGAUUUACUCCAUGUAACAAAAGUAAAAGGUAAAUGUGAGUUUGGCCAGUUAGUCAAGACAAAACAAAACAAAAAUUUAAAUAUCGACCAAAAUAUAUAUAUAUAUAUGUUUACUGGAGUAGCCCAAUCGAUGUAUCUAGUAUAAACUUCAGCCCAGGCUUAAUUACACUGGCCCAAUAUGCUCAUCUAUUAUUCCAGGCCCUGUUAUCAUAAGAGGCUUCAGCGAAAAAAUAAAUUAGAAAUCUGCAAUCCAGUUUACAACCCUACCACAGAAGCCCAUUAUGUUGUUACAUAAUCCUUUUAACCACACCAAUAUAUAUAAUGAAUUGGAUUAUUAUUAUUUUAAUAAUGUUGUAAAUUACGAACUUGAAAGGUAUGAAUUUCUUAAUGGGAAUGGAUUAUCUGAAUCCUGAUUACUAUGUAUGACUAAAUCAAAGUUUACAAUCAAUGUCAGCAUCCUCAAUCCUGGGUUUCAUAACAUCAAGGGGAAAUUGACAUCAAAUCACGACCAUUUCAAAAUCCUGUCGACGUUCGAUGGUUAUUAUUUCUUAAUUAAACCAUAUUAAGUUGGUAUUAUUUUCCAUCAGUCAACGGUAAAUGCAUACUUACAUGUUUCCAUGGCCAAUAGAAUGACUUGCCAUAAGAACAGAAAAUCAGAUUUAUAAGUAACCUUGAAUAUCUACAAGUCAAAAGAUUUCUUAGGCAAACAUUUGGGUUACUUGAUUUGUACUUCAAAAAGAAAAGCAAGACAAUGAGAAGUGAAAUCUCUGGACCACAAAUCAACCAUGAAAGCAACUGGUAACUAAACACAUGCAAAAAAAAAAGUCCAAUAAUGUAUGUACUACUAAUUCUUUACAUGUACACAUCAAUUGGUCUAUGAUAUUAAUUUGAUGUAUAGAGAAGAAUCUUGUAUAUUAGGUCAUACAACUAAUGUUAUAAGAAGAAAAAAAAUUGUGUCUAGUGGAAAAUUGAAAUAUAUCUUGCUUGCAUAUGCAUAUUUCUUUUGUUAAACUAUUAAAACAACGUUACGUUGUCGAAUUGUGAAUAUAGACAAUUUGACAAUUUAUUAAAUUGAUUCUUAUUUGAACGUGCGAGUUAAAUUGAUUCUUAGUCGAACCUUCUCCAGAAAAUUCAAAACUGUAUGGUUAACCUAAAAAAGGGUUGAGUGUUUUUAGGUCAUGUAUAUGGGUAGGCCAGCUUCAAAUAAUAUGAAUAUGAAUUACCGUGGGUAGGAAAAGGAAGCCUUUCUAGGCACAGAAGUUACCAAAUAGUGCAAUAUAUAGUACUUUUACUGUGCACUCGCAGUCUCAGAAUACAUGCAAACUGUAAGAUAAAAUCAUCUGCAACUGCAUGUGCAUGUCAGAUUCAAACUGAUCAUCAUCACGUGCAACAACUCCUUAAUUUCACAUUCAAUUUUACAGGAAGUAACCAUAUAUUCUGCAUGUGUUGGUUUGUUUGAGUCUGGUUUCAUAAGCGGAUAUUAUGGCGAGUACGUACAAACAUGUGACAUCUAUGCCAUAAAUAUAUAUAUGUUUCUUUCUUUCUGUUCCUGCAUAGUGCCUAAAAUGAACUAGCUAGUAGCUUCUGUGUUCCAUAAUCAUUGCCAUCUCUGCCACGAAGUUAUAUACAUACAUACAUAUAUAUAUAUAUAUGUAUAUGUAUUAUUGAAGAAUAUAAGCAUACAUGUAUCAUGAUCUGGGGUGUCCAAAGAGAAAGUAGCCUAUCUAGCCUUAAUCAUUUCUGGCAGGACUAUAUAUAGCACCAAUUCUGGUUACACGCCAUACUAAUAUAGGGUGCCAUUGUUCCAUCACAUCCACUGCGGCCUAGCAACCCUAAUGUGAAACACAUAAUAUAAUUAAAGAGAAGACCUAAAUCCAUAUAUGCAUAUGUAUAUGUUUAUACCAUAUUUGAUCAGUCAAUAAGAGAACUAUACUGAAAUAAAGGACUCAUAAGGAGGAUUCACUAAAACUAGCAAUCUAUUAUGUCCCACAAAGUACCAUUGGCAGGUUGUGAGCCUUCGGCACCAUGACUUGCCGAUCAUGGCUAAAGACCGCGCUUCAUUAGAGAUUUCUCACAAAAACACGUGGCAUCCCCUCAGGCGAAGUCCACAGUUCUACAUCAAAAUCUCACUCAAGAUGCACAUCUCCCAAGAUCUAUAAAAAAAACAAAGUAACUGUGACAUUUGACUACUUAGCCACCACUAUGUCCAAAUCACUAUUCACUUUAUACUCGGUACUAACUUAAGCAUUGAAAAGCCUUCAACCGGUACCACACCGAUGCCCAGGACCUCAUUGCUCUUUCUUCAUUUUGCAGCUAUCCAACCUGCCAAAGAGCACAUAAGAGCCGAAGGCAAUAUUGUCACAUCCUGGGAUUGCUCUAGCCCCCAACUCGCUUAACUUCGGAGUUCCUACGACUCCGAAGCCAGUGAGCUCCCAAAAGGCCUCGUGCUAGAUGGAUGCGGAUGUGCACAUAUAAGGCACAUCACCCCCUCUCCGUUGGUCGAUGUGAGAUCUUACAAUCCACCCCCCUUAAGGGCCCGACGUCCUCGUCGGCACACUCGCACCACACGGCAGAGUGGCUCUGAUACCAAAUUGUCACAUCCCGGGAUCGGCUCCGCCGUAGCACGAUAUUGUCCGCUUUGGGCCCCCCUCUCUGCCCUCACGGUUUUGUUUCUAGGAGCUCAUGAGCAACUUCCCAGUGGGUCACCCAUCCUGGGAUUGCUCUAGCCUCCAACUCGCUUAACUUCAGAGUUCCUACGACUCCGAAGCCAGUGAGCUCCCAAAAGGCCUCGUGCUAGAUGGAUGCGGAUGUGCACAUAUAAGGCACAUCACCCCCUCUCCUUUGGACGAUGUGGGAUCUUACAAAUAUGAUCAUUAAGUUGGGUCCAAAAGUAUCUGACCAUUUUUUAGCAUCAACAAAAUAUAUAUUCCUUUUUUAUUGAGAGAUCCCUCAAAUAAUUUUAUUUGAAAAACAUCCUUUAAUGUUCACUAUAAAUUUUUUUAAUAAUUAAGUGGUACUUUAGAAAAGUACUUGAAUUUUAAUAAUUUAUAAUUAAGUAGCCAAAUGACAUUGGAUUCAAGUGAUUUUUUAUAAUGAUGAUCUUUGAAUGAAUAUCUAUAAAAUAGACUGUUUAGAUUAAUAAAAUACAAUAAUAAUAAGUAAUUUCUACAAAAAUGUCCCUCAAAUAAAAACUCUAUCUCUAUAUAUAUCUCUUCAAUAAUAUAUACCAACCCUUAAAAAAAAAUAAUAUAUAUAUAUAUAUAUAUAUAGCAACCCUAAAAGCUAGUCAAGCUAGUCAAGCUAGGUGGACAAACUUUAUAGCUAUUAUUGUGAUCUUUAUUAGGCAAUUUACCAAUCAAUGUAAGAUCAUCACUCCAUGGUAAAUAAUUAAACGUGUGUACGGUCAAUUGAUUCAAAUUUGAAAUGAUGGUAAAUUAUUAGAUUGUGGUUUUCAAAUGAGUUAUGCACGCAUUAAGAAUUUUAUAAUAAAUUUGUAAUUUAAAUGGUUAAAAACAUUUACUUAUACAGUUAAAAUUAUUUUCAAAUAGGCUUGCCAUAAUCCCUUGGAGUAGAUUUUGUAAGAAUAUAAAAUUGUGAUUCAUAUUAUAAUAACACACAUGCUAAGUACGUGAUAAAUCCAUCCUUGUUCAAAGCUUUGGGAUGGAAUGAGUGAUAAGCAUUAUUUCAUUAAGAAUUUUUUUGAAAAGGAGUGGAAGACUGGUAAGAAAAAAUGCAGCGCAAGACACAUGUUGGGAAAAAGCUGACAGGAUCCAGCUAAGCAUAACACGAGAGUGCGGUCGUGCAACCCAAGUUCGUAAUUAUUACCCAAAAAUCCUAAUUAGUAAUUAAGACGUCAAUAAAGAGUGGCCUCGCACUCGUUGGAUUGGCUCCUGCUCUUGGAAGCAGCGGACGGCACGCACGUCGCCACGUGGCAGUUAAGAUUGAGUCUUUGCUCUGCCAUCCCGGGGCCGGCACUGGACUCGUGUGCUCUCUCUCUCUCUCUCUCUCUGAUGACGCAAAACGCAUCACCAUGGGUGUCAGUUCAUCACGUGCACAUCCGACGGUUAUUAUUUUCUGAUCAGAACGGAAGAUCGACCGGUACAUACACUGUACACAUAAUAUCCAAUUGAAUAUCUAUAAUAUUUCCUCUGCGGCCGGCUAUUAAUUAUUUUUCAUUAGUUCUCCUAAGCAUAGCAUGAAAAAUGAAGAGCUCUAACACAAAUGAUUGAUUUUCUAAACCUUAGAUAGAUGUGCUGUAAUCCAUAGAUAAUACAAAUACGAUCAUGAUUAUUCAGACACGAACGUUUGUAUUUUACAUUAAUAGAAACGAUGAUUCUGUUUAUCAGUGUUAUCUUUGUGUAUAGAAAUACAAUGAUGUUUUCAUACACAAUAGUCCUUACUCAAUUCUGUUAGGAAAUUAGCCCCAUUUAGAAGAAAAAUGGUAAGCUGCCAGCUACCUAGCUCGUACAAAUUGUAUAUAAUAUACAUAUAAAUUGAUGUAAUUAGACAAGAAUUACAAGGAAGGUUUUUUGUUGUAAAAAAAAGCCUUUUAUAUAUUCAAUUGAAGUAAAAGAAUAAAGUAAAAGUUGCAAAUUAAAAAGGAUGACUAACCAAUUUAGGGUUGCGUUCUCAUUAGCAUGACAUGCACGAACGAUCGUGUAAAAAGUCAAAAAAGUGAAAGCUAAACAUCAUGGCAGUUGCACCAAUUGUAAAAGGUCACGUGCCAUGUGACCUCCCCACUGAGCAAUUCUCACCUAAACAACCCUUUUUGGCAUUCACACAUAACAGCUUCCAUUAGCAUUAUUUUUGUGUCCAAAAUUUCAUACAAAAAGGAUAAUUAUAAAUUUUUAAACCUGGUUAAGGACCUUUCUUAAUCUCACUUAUGCUUAAUUACAAAAUCGACUGGUGAAUGUUUUCAUUUGUUUUUAUACAUAAUGCAAGAGAUAAAAUAAAAAUAAAAAUAUCUAUUGUGAAGACAUAGUCAAAUAUGAAUUUAGAUUAAGGUUUGGGAUCGAAAGCUCCAUUAGUGAGUAGUGACAAUUCUUAAGACCGGCCAUGCUGCUCUCUCUCUCUCUCUCUCUCUCUCUCUCUCUCUCUCUCUCUCUCUAUGUAGCUAUGAGAUGAAAACAUAGAGCCAAAUGAGAAAAAAACAUCCAAGUCGGUUUUGCAAUUUAGCAAGAGUGAGAUACCUCGUGCAUCCCUACGUACUAGUUUGCUUUUAUAUACAUAAUUACAUAGGAUGCGAAACAAUAUUACGUUAUUAGAUUGUUAAGUUACAUCAAUAUUUAAUAACAAAACAUCCACGAUUCAUUGUGAAGCAAGUUCGUUUUUUAAUACAAACGAUAGUCUAAAUUACAGUUGAAGGGGAGUUUCUCACACACACACACUACCAAGGUGUUACGGUGAGUUUAUAUCUUAUCUAGAAAUUUUCCUUAAUUUUUGUUCUUUCUAUGGGACCAAAUUGAUACUCUUAUAUAUAGCUACUUAAAACUCUCCCCCUACAAUCUACAUGCACACAACUAUUUGCAGCUGCUUUGCUGGAUCGUAUCCAAUUAAAGAGAUGACCAAACCCCAAAACAAUGGAUGCUCAAAAUCAUUGUGCUUCCAUAUCAAGUUUCAGAUCUUAUAGGAAUUCAGUAAUGAAAAAUUACAGACAAGAUGGAGGAUCAAACAGAAAAGUAACGAUUUACAAAGUCUUAUGUUUUUGGAACUUAUUUUUGUAGUUUGUUUUGGUUUGAAACGCGGGAUUAGGUACGGCUGUCGUACAAUUGUGCAAGCCAUGAACCUAUGAGUCCAUGACUUUGGCUUUAUGUGUAGCUCCAUAUUGUCAUAAUUACCCAUAUGAAACUUAUUUUUGUGCAUGACGUGUGAUCAAUUUUUAUAGAGUACGUGAUUAAUGUGGUUAGUACUUUUUAAAUGUUGAUCACGAUCAUGUAACAGUUCUGAUGAAGUCCUAUAAAAAAAUAAUGUUGGGGAUGACAUUGAUGUAUAGUAUCAAAAGAUUAAGUUGUCGUUAAGUAUCAAAAAUAGUAAUAUGAUAUAAUUUCUGCUUUGGCCUAAAACCUUAAGCAUUUUUUGAGGAUCUUUCCUAUUGAGAUGAGUGAUAAUAUACUAAACUCACACACACAACACGAAUGUUAAGACUCGAACCCAGAACCACUACACUAGUGGGUCUUUUGCAAAUCCUCAAGUACAUUUGAAUUUGCACGAAAACUUCCCUCAUAACUAAGCAUUGAAAUCCCAUUUCAUGAGGAAGGAUUAAUACAAGCUAGAACACAAUAAAUGACAACUUUAAUUAAAUGAUUGAACCACUCAUCUCUCAAGGUUCAAUCAAGAAGAGGAAGAAGAGGAGAAUCAUGCAUUGAAAUUUUACAAUUGGAUGAUCCUAAUAAUGAAGUUCCAAGUUGAAUGGAAAAUGGGGAUGUUUUGGUAAUUUCAUGUAUGAUGAAAAACACCAUACAUGUUCACAUAUAUCCUCCCAUACCCCAAACUCACAAAACAUUAACAUAUAAUAUAAUAAAUUCAACAGAAUACAUAUAUAAGUAUAUAAAAUUCCCAAUUUGGGAAAUAGGGGACCAUUGAGUUCCAUUAAUUACUCUAUUGACUCUAGCAAAUUGCCAGACAAGGAUUCAUCCAACCCCUCCUCCCAAAGACAGCCUUUUUCCCCUCUUUUGUUUUUUUUCUUAGUUUUUUCCCAUUUGUCCUUCCAAUUUAAUUAAUUAAUAAUUAACCACCCUUUAUAUUAAUCUUUCCCCUAUAUAAGCAUCACCUUCAUUCUAAACAAAUAUAUACACCAACUUCCUCAAUUUCCAUUUCCCAACCUCUCUCUCUCUCUCUCUCUGUCUUCCCCCCUCUCUCUCUCUCUAGCCAUUAAGUUCUCAUGGAGGAGACAUUAACCAAGAAGCAAACUUGUUGCUCAAAUUUACCAGCAGCCCUAGCCAUCCACAGAGACUCACAAACAAUAUCAAAAGCCAAGCCCAAAAUUCGAAUCAUUCACAUAUUUGCACCAGAGAUCAUCAAGACAGACGUGGCAAACUUCAGGGAGUUAGUGCAGAGACUCACAGGAAAACCAUCUGAAAAUGGCUGCAGCAAGAAGAAGAAUAAGAGGCCAAGGAAUUUAAUUCCCAGCAGCAGAGAAGAACCCAAGAAAAAUGCAUCAUCAAUGGCUGACAAGCUGGAGCUAAUGAGAACUGGGUACAUGGGUUUGGAUCAAUCAAGAGAGAGAGUCAAGGAAGAGGGGAUGAUGUGGAAUGCAGAGAACUCAGGUGGGUUCUUGGAGAGAUUUGCAGAUUUGGAAGGGUUUAUUCAGGAAUUUGGUGAAUUUCCUCUGCUACCCAAUUUGGAUGCCUCAAAUUCUCACCUGCAUGGUUUUGAAGGAACCCAACUUGUCUAGAAAUAUUUAGCAAUUCAGAAAUUAAAGUUUGAUGUGUGAUUCUCACCAAAAGAAAGAAAAGAAGAAGAAUGUAUGAUGAGUUUCAGAGUUCUCUAAAAUAUUUUGCUUAAUUUCUUGGGAUUUUUAGAGGGUUUAACUUAAUUAUAGUACUACUUGUUUAUCCAUGUCUUUUUAAUUUUUAAUUUCCAAUUUUCUUAUGUUUUUCUGAUCUCUCUCUCCAUUUGAUGUAAAUACAAGGGUUAAAGACAUAUACUUCUGAGUGCUUCUCUGUUUUCUGCAGAGAUAUUGCAGUUGCAUUCCAUUUGGAAGUUGCAGAAACUUAUAAUAUUUCUUAAUUAUUUCUUUGAUUUUUUUAAGAUUUAGCUUUUAAAUUGAGCUAUAUUUAAGAGGGUUUGUCUCGUUCCAUUUGGAUGUAGGACUUCCUUCUUGUCUUAUGUAUGUGUUGUUGUGGGGCCUCUGUUUCUCUCUCUAAAUGAAGAUUUCUUGUUGAGUAAUGGUACUCGUAAUCCAUUUGUAUAUCACGUUCUUAUAUCAAUUUAUGCGGUAGAUGAAGUAGAUAGCUAUAUCAAUUAAAAAAUAUCAAUGAAUCAUAAAAGAAAAGAGAAUGUUUAAUUUUAAUUGAUAUGGAUGUCCACUUCAUCCCUUAUAUAAAGUAGUAUGCGAAUAUAAUAUACAUAUAUGAUAAGAGUAGUAUUAUUGUUUGGGAAACCAAAUUCUACGUGCAUAAAUUAUAUAUUUUGAUAAAUUUAUAGCUUUUCUUGCAAGAGUCUAAUUGCAAUUUAAUUUUCCCCAUUUAUUACAGAAGUCGUCUCUCUCUUAUCAUGUUGGCAUGGAAAUUCCAGAUACACUCCUCCAACUCCCAAGUUUUGUUAGUCCAAUUCGGAAACUUCCAUUGUUAAUUGCCCACAUGAAAUUUAACACACAAUUCUGCAUAACCCACUUGUUGUUUUUAGGGGAAAAAACCACCAACUGCUCCCAAGUUGGCUAAUAAUUAAUUAAUAAAUAAAAGUUAUUAAACCCAUAAACCAAUCUAAGAGUUAUUGUAUAUUAUAUCCCAUUCCCAUCUACAAAUGUACGGAAGAUAUAUACAUAUAUAUAAAUGUACGUCUAUAUGUACACAUACAUACAUACCAACCAAUUGUACCAUGAGCAAAUGAAUAGAUGUGUUUUUUAGUGCAAGAGAUAGUCUAAACUAUAGGGGAGGGAGAUUUUUCAGACACACAAUUAUGGUGUUGUGGGGAUUCGAACAUAAAACCUCAUGUCUGGAAGUCAAAACCAUUUUUUACUGCGCUAAACCCUGCCGUUGGAGAUGAAUAGAUGUUCAAUUCACACCAAGAGCUGUAAAAUUAUUUUCUUAAUUUAUAAGAAAAUAAAAUAGAAAAAGCCCAAGUUCGCAUCAGGGGUUAAUAAUAAUAGUUGACAAAUAAACAGCGGCGGAAGUCAAAAUUUUUGGUGAAUUUCUUAUUCGCAAAUUGUUAUAUUAAGAUUUCUUAUUUCUUGGUGCCACAAGUUAAGUAUUUAAGUUAAUGAAGCUAGAUUGAGAUGGCAGGUGCAACACCAUUAACCAAACCACAAUUAGUGCCUCUAUGAUGCUCAUAUAGUGUCAUCUGUUGUUGAUCCAAAACGACCGUACACAGAGAGUCAAUGCCUCUAGAACAUUACACGUGUAAAAUCUAAAGAUUGAACUCGAGAGACUGUAAUGAGAGGUUAUAAUGAAAGGAUCCUUUAUAGUUAUCAGAUUAAUUGCAAAACUAUUAUUGGACGAACAGAUUGAACCCCUCAACACACCCCCUCACCACAGCCCCUUCAUUGGAGAAGCUUUGUGAUUCAACAUGUUUGUACAAUUUCUUCUCCUACAAUUUGAAGUGUCAACAACAAUACAUCAGCCCGUUGAUGCACGUGAAUCUCACAAUGCAUCAACGGUCCACAAUCACCUACGCACAUCAAAGUGGCAAGGGCCAAAGGGAAACACAGCCAACUAACCAAGUAAUCAAACCAAAGGAAAAGGAAAAUUAAAUAUUGAAAUGGCUUUCCAGAUGAUGUAAGGUCAAGCUUUGGAGGCGGCAUGUCGUAAAUCAAGCAUGACAGCAGAGCAGAUCAAUAGUCAAACAGCGUGGUGCAUUUUAGUCAAACAUGUUCACACUUCACACCAACCUUUAAUUUACAAAUAUUUUCCCUGUUCUUAUCCGGUGAAUCUAAAAAUCAUCACAAGGGCAAACAAAUUAUAUAAUAUGCUUUAAGACUUGGAGGAACAACCACACUCAAUUUUGGUCCGUUGACUUGAAUUUAACAGAAAUAAAACAUGUCACCUAUUUUUAUGGUGAUUAUUUGGAAAAUUUUGGAAGACAACAAGAAAAAAUUAAAAAAAAGCAACAUCUCAUUAAGAGAGAGGGAGAGAGAGAGAGAAACAGGUGUAAAUGUAACUAUUAUUUUAAUUAAUAUCUAAAAAUUUAGAAAAAAAAAUUUGAGUUUCCAUACAUAGAAGAACCUUUAGCUCUCAUACUCCAUGACGGUUUCUUCCAGGGGAGACGAAGCUGUAUCCAACCUUGUAAGUACUUCAGGAACUCCAGCUGCAUCCCUUAUUAUCUGCAUCAAACCCAGUAGCAGAAUUUAAAAUCUGAUCGCAGCGCCCUAUAUGAAGCCACCACUCCGCAAUAUAAUAAAAGAUCAAAGCCGAUCUAGUAUUAAGAUGCGUGAAAAUGUUCAUAUGUAUAGUCACCGGCCAACUCUUUUUCCUUUUUUCUUGUUUUGACAGUACCACAGGCCAACCAUACACAGUUAUAAGCAACUAACAACCCAUAACCAACUUCAAGCAAGUGUAUGGAAGUGGUGGAGAAAGCAUGGCUACGCCAGUUUGGCACGUAUAAGCUAUAUAAGAUAAUGGCUCAUUCUCAAGAUUCAAAUGUCUAAGUUUGACUCUGGGAACAAGGUUUGUGGGGGAGAUAGAGUGCAUCUGUUAGUGUAGCCUUUGUUAAAAGUCAGAAUAACAAAGUCAGAAAGUCUUGCAUGCUAAGUAAGAUUGAUUAAGAGGAAAUAUUAGAGUCGGUUCAUAUAAUAAUACAACACAGAGACAAAGGUGAAAUGACUUCUAAUUGUCAGAGGUAAAACACUUAUAAAGACUUCACCCUUAGAACACAAUUGAUUCCAAGGUUAGUGAGGUCAAAGGUAAAGGGAGCAAAUGUAAACCUAUUUCAUCUGUUAUUAAAUCCAGGAUAAUCACAACAUACAAUAAUAAGAUCAGCAAAAGGCAUUACCGUGGACUUUAUUUAUGAACUGUUGACUUUAUUUAUGAAUAUUAUUCAUGCACAAACAUCAGACUAAUGAAAGGGUCAAGGUGAUCUAGGGAAAAUAAUGGAUUUCAAAUACAUCAUAUAUCUUUUAGCAAAAUAUACAUCAUGCACCUUAUGAGUUUAACCCUCUUUAAGAAUGUACUUUAGAAAUUUAGAAAAGUUUCUACUACAAAUGAUGAAAACAAAACAGAUGCCCCCAAGAAAAAAUGAAACUUCAUUCGUCCCUAAACUAUUUGCCUACAUGCAAUAGAUUUUAACUCAAUUUAGCUAUAUUUUUGUGAAGACAGUCUAAAACUCAAAUUGAACAGCUGUUUUCAGUUCCACCAAGUUUCAUAUUUCAAGACUAAGGAGAUUAAUUACUUAGGUAGUCAUCUAAUUCUGCUAAUCAUUAUGGGUCAGAGUUUUACAAUGUAAAACAUAACAAAUUAGGACUGAAUUAUGAAAAAAAAAACUCAGUGGGAUACUUACAAGUAUCUCUGUAUCUAGAUACGAAAUCAUGAAGAGUCUCUCAAAAGCUCCAGCUGCAGACACAAGGUAAAGCAUACAGGCAAGAAUGAGAUAAAGCAGUAUUGGAUGAGGGUGAAAAGUUAAAUUGCUUUAUUUUAUCAUAUUGGAUGGAAUAUUAGCAGGGAGAGGCAUACACUGGUACAAACAACAGUGAAAAACAAUAAAACUAGGCAAGCAUAAAGCAGUAAACACUUGCCAUGGGUUCAUAAUGAGAUCUAAGUUAGCAUAGAGGCGAAAGUAAUAUAAGAAGGUAAUAUUGGCUGAGGUUCAGAAGACAAAUUGCUUCUUUCAUCAUAUUGGAUGGAGCAUAAGCAGGGUCGGUAUAUGCUACUGCAAACAAACAUCGAAAAAUGAAAAAGCAUCAUCACAUAUGCACAAAAUCCCAUACCAUCUAAGAUGAUCGCUCCCACUAAUUUUUAUGACUGAAUUUAGUGAUGAGAAAAUUAUAUAUUUAUUGUAUCUAACCAUUUAAUAUUCUGGAUUCUAGGCUGCCAACAAAUAAAACAUGCAAGAAAGAGCAAGGGUGGGAAUUUGGAAACUCCAUUCGAGACACAUCUGAGUGGUAAAAUUGUUAAUUAAACAAAACAUAAAAUAUCUGCAGCUUUUGAAGUCACAAUGUUUCAACCUGAAUUAUAAGAUCAACUCUCUGGUUAUGGGUCCUAAGCCUCAUCCUCGAGAGCGCUUUACGGCAACCAACCAACAAAAACGUUCAAACCAAGAGAGAGUAACAUGGGACACCUAAAGGUUAUAUGAAAAAUUAUAAUUAUAUCAAGAAUAAACUGUAGCUGGCUAAGUAGCAACACCUUAAGAUACCUCACAAUUGACACAAUACCUCACUAUAUACUCAACCUAACAGCCGCAGAAUCUUGUAAAUGGAAAAACCUCCUUUGAGGUACCUAAUCAUAACACAAACCACUACCAAGGUCAUCAAUGACUGUGCCCUUUGAGGCUUGGGUAUUUAAUCAUUUACCUUGCCUCACCUCCCAAAAUAGACACAAAAGGAGGUUGGAAAAAAGAGAGCGUUCAUCUUUCAAGAAAAGCAAAUGUUAUAGCUCUUUUAACACCUAUGUAAAUUUAACUAAUAUGAAAAUAAAAGGAAAACUUAUCUUAUUGUAAAAGGAAUGAUUAGCAAAGAUACCAUGUUCAGAAUUUAUAAUUUAUAUAUGCCUCAAAGAAUGGUAACAACAUUUUCAGAAAAUUUAUGGUGGGCAUAUGAUGUUUAACCAAGUCUCAACUAGUACCCCCAGGUAUACCAUCGACACCCUUAGAUUUACAGAAGGAAGAGCAGGAAUAUUUGAUCAAUCUACAAAGACAAAAUGGCUGGUUGCUGCAAUGUCAAAACAGCAAAAGUUGCCAAAGGUAGAGAGCUUAUGAAAACAGUUAACACAUGGUAAAAUCAUCAAGCAGGAGGUUAGGAUUCAUUCACAAAAAGGAAUUUACAGGCAUCAUAGCAUCUUCUAAUCCCAAAUAGUCAGUUCCGCAAAUUUCAUAACUGUUCCCUUACAUAGUACUUGGCCACAGCACAGCAGAUAUUCUUCUGACAAUGGAUUUAUAGGAGUUGACUGGAGUGAUUCAUAGACUUAAAAAUAAUUCACAAACAUCUUUCUAUCCCAAAUAGUAAGUUUUCCAAAAUUUCAUAUACUGUCUCAUUACGUGUUACCAGACCACAACAGAGGCAGAUAUUAAAAGGGUUGAUUGCAGUUCAAGAUUCAACUCUGCAACUCAGAUAAGAGAAUAACUGGGUAAGAAAAAGAUCACACUUACUUAAAGGAACUUUCAGCCCACUGGAAAAGGCAUCCCUAAUAGGAAAAGGAAGUUGUUGCACUGUGCUCACUGCCUGACCAAAUGCACCUUUUAGCUGUUCUGGUAUUGUCUCUUCAAUAACUGUUGGUGUCUCGAGAAUUCCCUCAACAUAUUCCUCUUUCAUUCGAACUGGUCCCUCCACAGAUAACUUGAUUGACAGAGUAAAUUUGCUUUCUAUCUGCAAAGAACCAGAAUAUGCUUUAUAAUGAAUGCUCAUAAAAAGUUACAUCAACAAAAUUCAAACAGAGCACACAAAUAGGAGGUGGAAACCGAGAAAUGAUAGGUAACACCAUGUCUAAAUCACGAUUAUGCCUUGACUAUUUGUUAUCACAGAAAAUACUAUCAGACUAAUAAUUUACUUCUCUUUCUCUCUCCCUCGAUAAUCAUACUAAUUGCAUUUAUUUAGAGGGGCAGAAUUGAACUAACACAAAUAAUUGCUAGGUUUUUUAAGAGUCCAAGAAAAAUGACAAAAACAAGAUGCAAAAUAGUUCACACAGAUUGACUGGCUGAUCUUGUGAUGUUGUACCUAAACAGAAUGCACAAGCAAGCCACAGUUCUAAUGCAAACAUGACCCAACUUGCCCUAACCAAGCACUAGUGCUUCAACAGAAAUAAUGACCCACCUAAGUUCAAUAUCCAUAACAUAUUGUAUUGGAGCUGCGGUUUCACAUGGAGAUGUGACAAAUGCAGUAUUUAUUCUGAGUGCUUCAUCAUAUAUAUGAAAGCAUUCCAUGGACUGAGGACUUCAAAAGACAAAAUAAAUACCGAGUUCAACAGUUUCAAGUUUGCUGUAAUCUCUGCAUUCCCAUCCUUGAUGACCACCUCCAUUUUUGACAAACUAGCCAAAGUUGAAGGAAACCUCCUGCAGCAACAGAGAGAUUGCAUCAAUACGUUAAGCUACCUUUCAGUUCAAAUUUCAAAACCAGUUUGUUUUUUUUUCAACCAAUCCAACAAUUAAAAAGGUAAAUGUAUGCAGAACUCACUGAAAUAUAAAUCUAGCAGCAAAUAGACCUGGGCUUGCAGAUCCAAACCACUCGAAAUUCCAUCGACCUUCCAAAAAAGGCGACCUGGGUAGCUGAACAAACAAGUGAACAUCUCAUCCAAACCAAAAGAAAAAAUUGUGGGAAUUCAUUGUUUAGAUAUGUGCCUACGUUGUAGGACGUGGUGUUGGAUUGACCCGCUCCAAACUAGUUAUCCUCUCAUUCACAUCAAUCCGCUCCAUGUCUGUUGUCUUUCCAGUGACCAAAGCCUCAAAACCCCCAGCAUCCUUAAACUGAAACAAAGGGUUUCAAAACAAGUCAAAGAAUUUCAGGAAAAAAAAAAAAGUACCAAAUAAUUUGAAUGGAGAUCAUGAUGUCACGGUCCAUAUUAAUUUGAAUUUUAAUACUUAAGCACUGUUGUAGUUCGCAUGUAUACUUUCCUAGCUCAGGAGAAAGCGAAUUUUGUACUGAAAAUGGCAUAUUCUCACAUUACCACUUCCUAAAUAGCUAAUCAGUGCAUAAAGCUAUCAAUUUCUCUAUUAAUUGACAUUAAUCAUAUAUAUUCAGAGAAUCGUAUAUGAAAAAGACGAUAAAAUUGCUGAGACUCACGGCAAGAAGCAGAGAUUCUUUAGCUGAAAGCCUCUCCAUUUCCUUAGCAUACGCGGCAGGAGCUCCGGGAACGGCCUGCUGAACCAUUGCUCGGCACAGGGAUCGCCGGAGUCGAAGUCUCCGGUCUCCGGAGAUUCUCCGUCCAUACUGCGGCCACUUUCCGACAGGGACCAGUGAAGUGGUGGUGGUGGUGGUGGUUGAAGAGAAGGACGAGGACAAUGAAGACGACGACGAACAACAGAAGUGAAUCGAAGCAAUCGCAGAGAGCUGGCUCUGAACGGACACCAUUGAAGAGAGAGAGAGGGAGAGUUGAGAGAGCAGGGCUGGCUGGGUUUGAAUCGUCUGAUAUAGUAAGGAAUGGACAAGACAGGUGGGUGGUUGAAGGGUGCGAGGGAAGUGGGAAGGCUCUGUGUGUGUGUCUGAUAGAGGGGUGUUUUCGUCAUUUUAAAAAUAAUACUAAUAUCUAUGUAUUAUCUUGUUUGGUCUUUUUCAAUUUUUGAUUGAAUUUGUUGGCGAAUCGGAAUCGGCGGCUGCUUGUCCUGCCGCUGAGUUUUUUUGCCAGCGGCGUGCGUUUUGACUGUUAGUUUGUUACCGUUCGUUUUUUUUUUCUUCCCUUCUUUUUGGUCAUGUGGGUUGUGUGACACAUAAAAAUAUUUAAUAACGACAAAAAAAAAAAAAAACAUAUUUACCUAGAUGGAUAAGAAGGCUGUAAGGAUUUACCAAGUUAAUUCGACACCAUGCAUGUUGUUAAUUUUUUACAGUGUAUAAGAUACAUAUUUUGUGAGGAUGUACAAUGAAGAGUUAUGUCUCACAUUAAAAGUCAGCGAUCACACAUAUUUUACGUCACUUAAUAUGUGUGUUGUCUAUGUGUUACGUAAGUUAAUAAACUUUAUAUGGGCUUAUAAAGAAUUAAACUAUUUUCCUAUUAUCAAGUAAUAAAUAGUACACGAUGGAGCUCGAGUAGAAAGUAUUGAUUAAUUUCUCAAGAGCAAGAAUCUAAGGUUCGUAUAAUUUUAGAAUGAAAUCUCGACUACUUUCAAAAUUCACAUAAUUUGUGUGUUAGAUGUUAACACAUACCAUAUAAAUCUUACUCAUGCUUUCGACUGUUCCAUUGAGUAUAUGACAUUAGAGGGCAAACAAGCCAUAAAGGAAAGAAAUUUUAGACCCCAUUUGUCAUCAUAUACCAGAAAAUUUUGUACUUGUCUUGUCAAAAUAAAAGCGGAUACCCACUAUCACUUCUUUUGCUUUAUGGACAUAUUUAGUAAGCCUCACUAGACUAGACUGGACAAAAAUAAUACUUAAAACCCUUGUUUGGUUUGAGAAUAGGAAAAAAAAUGGCUCGCUCGCCCUUCUAAUAUAGUGAUGUAGAAAAUUGGUUCGCAAAAUAGCACUCUCGGGGGUCGUUUGGUACGGCGGACUGUCAUGGACUGGACUAAAUCCUGGGACUGUCUUGGAUUAGCUCGGAUUGGACUAAGCUGGAUUAAGUGCUGACCUACGUUUGGUGCUGCGUCGGACUAAGAAGCUGGAUUGUAAAAAUAGUGAAGACCUAUGUUUGGUGCUGUGUGGGACUAACAAUAAUUAUUUUAUAUUUAAAAAUAAUAAUUUUUAAAUAAUUAAAUGUAAGUUUUUUGUUAUUAGAAUUACCAAAUUGACAAUAUACAUUUCUUUUUCUCCAAACCAAAUUCACAUGUACAUUUCAUAUAUGCAAAAGUUAGAUAUUUUUCAUAUAUGCCAAAGUCAUCUACAUGACUCAGAAAUUAGAGGUUUAGUUCGCUACACACAAUUCUACCAUUAAUACAUACAAAUAAACAUCCACAAUUUCAAAAUGAAACUAAUAAGCCUCACAACCAUGAACCAUAUGGCUUUAAUGCUAGCAAAAUAUUAUACAAUUUGUGGUGUUUCCAAAAUGAAGCCAAUCUUAUCAAUGCAUCAUUUGUGGUGUUUCCAAAAAGAUAGAUGCAUCAAACUUAGUUAGGCCAUGUCCUCAAGCAUUGUCACUAAGCAACUGCUCAACAAACACUUUCUUGAUAUCAUCAUCCAAAGACAUGAAUAUAGAUAUGUUUUGUGGCUUCUCCAAAAUGAGUUUUAGUGCUGCAAUUUGAUCUAAAGGAGAAAAUCCCAUUCUCUUGAGUUCUUUGGCAAUAUCAGAUCGAUCUUCAUUACCUUUUAUUAUAGCCUCAGUCACCAUUUGCAUCCUUUUCCCAGAAGCUUCAAACAAUUUCUCCAAUACAGUCACAAUCUUCUCUUCAUCACUUGAGCUUGUAGCUCUUUUCCUCUUAUUUUGACUGUUCAUAGAUUGGCUUCCUUCUAUGUUUAAAGACAUAGGAGAUGCAUCUUCCUGGACACAAUUAUCACUAGCAUUAACAUCAUUAUUGCUUUGCUCUUCCAUCAUGUCAGCGGGGGCUUCAGCUCUUUGUCCGUUAGCACGAUCCUUUCCGAAGAUAUUAGAAAGUCUAUCAAACAAAGGAAAUGGUUUGCUCCUCCAUUCGGCUGCUUCCUUGUGGUGCUAUGAUAAAACAAGGCACCACUUAGCUUAUUUUCAAUAUGUUAAAGAAAUAAUAAUAACAAAAGAAAGUUUAAAAUCCACACUCAUCAAACCCACUUGACAUCAUAAUGUAAGCAAAAUAGCAAAAAUAUAUAAUCAUGUACCUGCACAUAAGUUUCCCAUGCAUCAUUACUGUCAACCUCAACACACUUUUUUAUAUCAUUCCAAGCAAAUCCACUUGUGUUUAUCAUGUCAUAGACUAUGCUAUAUUGCUUUUUCCACUUCUUCAAUUUGGAUUCAAUAUGAGGGCAUGCCUUUAGCCCCGAAUCAGGACAUUUAAUAUUCAAAGCCUUCUCCAUUUGGACCAUAGUACCUGAUUUGAAACUACCAGUCUCACAGCGUUGGCCUGCAGCCACAAAAUCAUCUAGCACGGUCAAAAACGAAUCUUCUUCAAACUUGGACCAUGACCGCCUAGUUCCUUUCUUUCCUUGUUCAAAGUUUUGACUGUUACCUUCACUUUCCAUCCCUAAGAAUAAUCAACACAAAUAAAAUAAUACCAUAAUCAAUAAUUGGAAUUUGCAAAGAAAACAUAACUUUAUUUCAAGGCACGAUUCUUCUUUAGUACAUCACAUAACCUUAAAAACAAAAUGAAAAAUAAAAUCAGCAAACCAAUUGAUAAAUUUUCUUUAAUACCACAAUCAAUACAUUGUUAAGGCCGAAUUAUCAUGCCUCAAAUACAAAUUACAAUCACAUAAAAAAGAAAACACCUUAAGAACUCAAACAUAAAUAACAAGAGUUGGCUAGUUAUUCGCAUUUCCUUGCCACUCAUUAUACAUUUGGAACGCCAAGUCAUUCCUCCAAGUAGUCCAUUCAUCCGAUGCUCCAAUGGUGCCAACCAUAUCACCUUCUAUCACAUUUUCCGUCUCUUCAAUUUCAUUUAUUUCAUACUCUAGUGGAUCUCUAGACAUCUCCCUCCUAAUGAGAUUAUGUAAAAGACAACAAGCCGUAAUUAUUCGACAUUGUGUCUUUAUUGGAUAAAAAGAUGGACUCCUUAGUAUGCACCAUCUAGCUUUUAGCAACCCAAAGCAACGUUCUAUUACGUUUCUUGCUUUAGCAUGCUUCAUAUUAAAAUAUUCUUGAUGAUUUACAGGUGUAUUUCCUUCUCUCCAUUCCGAUAGAUGAUACCGUGUUCCUCUAUAUAGUGCGAGAAAUCCCUCACCAUUUGUGUACCCACCAUCUACAAGGUAAUAAUAACCUAAUAACCAAAAAUUAAAAAUAAAAGAAGUCAAUUCCUAUUAUUGUGUGGUAAUUGUAUAAACUUACAAUUAUUUAUAAAGUGGACACUAGCUAAUGGCCUUACCGGUAGGAACUCUUAAUCCAUUAGGCCUAGUUAUGGCAUCUCGAAGGACUCUAGAGUCGGAUGCGGAUCCCUCCCAACCCGGCAACACAAAUAUGAAUUGCAUAUCACGUGAGCAAACGGCCAACACAUUUGUUGCAAUUUCUCCCUUUCUAGUCCGAUAUCUCGGUUUUUCGGUUUCAGCUACUCGCACUUUAAUGUAUGUUCCAUCUAGUGCUCCCAAGCAAUUCUAUUAGGAAAAAAAAAGAAGGUAAACUUUCAUUAAGUUUAUAUGCUGCACAGAUCAUAGAAAAGAAAGCCAAAGUAUAAUAAACAUACCUUAAACCAUUUCCAUCUAUGAUCUGUGCAGUUAUCACCUACAGGUUCCGGUACUCUCAAUAGGCUACCUUGUAAUCUUAAAAUGCCUUGUAACACGGAAUUGAAGUACCUACUAAUAGUCUCUCCUGAUCGAACAAAUCUAUUUCUAAUAGUACGAUUCUUAACAUGAUGAGCAAGCAUAUGCAAGAACAUACAUACUUGCUCCUCCACAGUCACCAAACCGUCAUUCUUUAACCUUCCAUCCGUGCGAAGCAAAUCACAUAAUAAACCAAAUGUCUUUAAAUCCAUUCUUAGUUCACUCACACAUUCUCUAUCAUUGCCUAAUAUACUGUUCAAAUAACGUAAUCGAUUCUCAUGUCUAACAAACGAACGGUUAUUGAGGGAACGUCUUUCUAAAAGUCUUCGAUUUCUUCUCAUAUUUUUUAGCAUCAUAAGCACAAGAAUCGUGCAAGCACACAUGGUCUCUAAAUGCCACAUCUCCAACAAUAAUAACAACAACAUUCGUCUUUGAUCCAUAUCUAUUAAUCCAAAAAGAAAAGAAUUAUUCCACUUAACCAAUCCUACUGAAAGUAAAAUAACCCCAAAUUGAACACAAAAAGUUUCAUAUAUGCAAAUAGAAACAGUUUAAUUAAUGCAAAGCCAUAAUUAAUACCAUUCGCAAAGUAUGGAAAAUUCACCCCAUAGACCAAAAAUUAUCAACCAAUGUGUGCCUAAUACCACAACAAAUAUGAAGAAAAAAGUUCUAGGAUUAUUUCACUUUUGGCCAAAAGAUGCUGUUGCUGAUUAACACCAAAAGCAUAUUGAAAGAUUCUCUCCAACCAAAAACUGUAAAACCAAAAGCAUAUUCUGUAUCAACCAAAAACUGUAAAACCAAAAGCAUAUUGAAAGAUUCAAAUAGCAGUUAUAUGAGCAUAUUCUGUAUCAACCAAAAACUGUAAAACCAAAAGCAUAUUGAAAGAUUCAAAUAGCAGUUAUAUGAGCAUAUUCUGUAUCAACCAAAAACUGUAUAGUGUUUUCUGCUAUGAUGUUUGAAAUAUAAAUGGACUUUGUUUUAAAUCUUUCAUUGUUGCUUCUGCGUGGGGUUGGUUUGGAAGUGAGAUGCGCAGCAAAGAGCAAUUUGUGUAUUUAUCUGCAUAUGUAUAUAUAACAACAAUGACAUGAUGAUGAUGCUCUUUUCAUUUUAAUUAAAUAACUGACCGUGUACUAAUCAAGGGGGAAAAAGAACUGAUAAACUAAGUGUACUUUUAAGCUUAUUACAAGCAAUUAAAAAUACACGUGAAGUCACAACACACAUCACAAGAAGUCAAGAAAUCAUCAUCACUACACAAACAACACACAGGCCUGCAGAAAACAGAUGCAGAAUUUCUGAAGUACUUGGCCUUUUUUGACCUUUUUAUUUCCAAAUAUUUUAACUAUGAAAAAGCUGAAUCUAACCAUGUUCAACUUGCCAACGCAACGAAUAUGAUCAACACAAAUCAUGGCAGAGAGAUUGCUAAUUGCUCGUAAAGUGAUAUUCAUGCAGGAUGCAAAUUGCUCUGUCAAAUGACAUAUACACUUCAAAUAUUGAUGCCCAAUAAUAAUUAAAAUUGAAAAAACAGGUCAUAUGCGAUAAAUUGCUCUUUCAAAUGACAUAUACAAACUGAAACAGUAAGUUCAAUAAACUCAAGAUUCAUGCCAAAAGUCUACUUUACUUCUGAAUUUCUAGGUUUUCUGAAAUACCCAAUUGCAAAUUAAUUGCCAAUUAACAUCAUGUAUACAUAUGUCACUACAGAUUCUACGAAAAUUAGAGAAGAGAAGAAGAAAAUAACAGAGAAAAGGAAGGAGAGAUUCUCAGAGCACAAUCAAAACUGUUGAGGAGACAGUCACAAUCAAGAGAUGGAAGAAGGAAUAAGAGAGGUAUCCAAAGGGAAAGACCAGAAAAACUUGCCUGCGUCAAGAUUCGAAGAAGAGGUUGAGUCGCAGAGACGGAGUCGUAGAGAAGGAGUCGCAGAGAUGGAGUCGCAGAGAAAGAGUCGCAGAGUCGGGCGUGUUCAAUAUAGCAAGGGCUUAUUUUGCGAACCCAUUUUGAGCUUCGCUGUAUAAGGAGAACGAGGGAAGCGUUUUUUUAAUUGUUGGACUCUACUAUCCCAUUUAAGUUAGUCCCCUUGCUAACCAAACAUGGGCUUCAGGUCCAAUAUAGCACAGUCCCAUUCAGUGAGCCAUACCAAACAUGCAUAGAACAAGCAAGUCCGACACAGCGCAAACCAGUUUCUUCUUCUUCUUCACCUGCGUCGUGAUAUCUUAGUGCAGCGUGUAUCGACUCUGCCACACAAUUUUUCCAUUGACCUUCACGACGGAUUUGAUUGCAGGAGUGAUAAGCAAUUGAAAUAUUUCUCCAUUCUGAGAGCGCCAUCCAUGUGGGUCUUAUUUUUUAUGAUGCUUUCAGGCCACCUGAAAUUACAUAGCCUAUGAAUGUUGUGAACAGCAUGGUCAUCAACCAAUUGAACGAAUCUGUUUGUACUUGAAGUGGGCUUUGUGGUUUUUCAAUCGUGGAUAUCAGCGACAUCGCAGAUUCCUGAACCCAAAUGCACGAAAGGUUUGCUUGUUUCUUUGUCUUAUUUUGUUGCCAUUAUUGCUGGGUCCGAGUCCAUUGGUUUUGUUCAUAAGAUUAACUGGUUUCAAUCUUUGAAGAAUUGGGUUUGGGGGCUUAAUGCUUCUGGUGUUGUGCAAGAGUCCAUAGCACAACAUGCACUCCACCUGUUCGCUAAAAUGUGGCACUCAGUUGGGUGAUGCAAUGGGGUGGUAAUGCAAUUCUUGAUUUUGAUUUGGGCUAUCACAUGGGCAUUCAAGACAAAGGUAGUGAUGAGUUUCUCAAGAGUUGCUUUAUUGGAGAACUAAUGACAUGCUUAGUCAUUGGUUUGGCACCAAAACAUGCCAAAUUUUAGUCUUGUUUGCGGUUGUGUUGAGUAGUCUAGCUUAUCUAUUAGAUAACUUGUCCCCUGUUUUGUAAUAAAUAGAUGCAAGACCAAAUUUCUGAAUUUUUCAUGUACCUCAUGGUGUCACAUUUAAUUUCAUGGUCCAAAUUGCUAUGAAUGGGCUUGAUGGCAUUUUUGGAAUGCUUUCUUUGUUGAUUUUUUGGAGAAAUUCUGACUUUGACAUCUACAUAUAAAUUUGGUAUCUAGAAAGUAUAAUCAUAGUUUUAAGAUCUUAUUAAAUUAUAUUUAAUUAUCUAAAUAAUUAUUAUAUUUAAAUAUCUAAAUAAUUAUUUUUUAGUUUGACACAACACCAAACAUAGGACUUCGCUAUUUUUACAAUUCAGUUUCUUAGUCCAACGCAGCACCAAAUGUAGGUCAGUACUUAAUCCAGCUUAGGCCAAUCCGAACUAAUCCAAGACAGUCCCAGAAUUUAGUUCAGUCCAUAACAGUCCGCCGUACUAAACGACCCUUAUAUGUGUUAUAUAAUCAACCAAACCAACGCAUGUGAAAUGCUAAAUUAAAUAUGGGGUUAAUUUCAGUUUGGUACCUUAAAGUUGUACUAUUAAGGCAUGUUUGUCUCUGCAUUCUCAAUUUUAACAAUUACAUACCUUUAUUUUAUAAAUUUUUUACAAUGUGACUCUGACGUUAUAUUGACUGUUAGAAAAUCUGUUAACUGAUGACGUGGCGUAUGUAGGGCCUACGUUAUUUUCUUAAAUUGAAUAAAAUAAAAAAAUGUAAACACAAAUUGAAUAAAAUAUUAAUAAACAUUUAAAAAACAAACAAAAGCCUUUUAUUUUUUUUCUCUCUCUAAACCUUUUUCUGACAGGACCCAACUCAAAUUUCACUUUGAAAUCCGAGUCGAAUCCUGUUCGCGUCCGACACUUGGCGGUUGUCGGGCACAAUGACUAAAUUGCCAUUCUAGUUAAAAUUCAAGUUUAUUACAAUUUCAACUUAUACCGAAAAUUCGACAAAGUCCCCCCUGCAAUUUGAUCAUUUCCCAGAAUUUCCACCUGUCAAAAGCAUAAAUAUACAUAUCCCAACUGCCAACAUGCUUCCAUUUUAAGAUCCAAACAGUUCUGAUAAACUAAACGGCCUUAGGCCACACAGAGAGUCCUAGGGCAAAUCAUCAGAACAACUAAUUCAGGAAUAUACAACAAAACAAUUUGAUUUCAAAAGAAAAUUCUAAAUAAGAGGAAGAGUGGAGCGGAUUGUGGAAUCUGCCUGGUGGUGGCGCUCUGGUGCAUGUCUAUUGCCUGGGGCGCAAAACAUUCAAAAAUGUGAGUGCACAAAAAUAAAGGUCUAGAAAAUAACAUAUGAACAUACUAACCCCACUGUAAAAACAGUUAUGCAAAACUGAAUUUUCCUCUUCAUUAUAUUCGUACUAAAAUCAUUCACAUAUUUAUAUACGUAUAUGCCAAUCAUAUUCAAGGUCAAUAAAACUCUCUUAAAAACAUUGAAAUCAAUUUAAAACUACCACCUAGGUGUAUCCCUUUAAUUCUGUCAAUUCCUGAUAUCCGUCAAUUCCCGAUAAUCCGUCAAUUCCUGAUAAUCCGUCAAUUCCCCUGGCAGGUCUCGGUGACACAAAGUCAACCCGAGCCACAAACUGACAGGAUUCAGGGGAUCGUAGUCAGCCUGAUCCGCAUUCCUGGCUCCCGCAGUCCGGGCGUCCCAAAACUCGUGANNNNNNNNNNNNNNNNNNNNNNNNNNNNNNNNNNNNNNNNNNNNNNNNNNNNNNNNNNNNNNNNNNNNNNNNNNNNNNNNNNNNNNNNNNNNNNNNNNNNUUUCUGAAGGAUCUGAUGAAUAACUGAAUUUUUGUUAAAUCUAGAACUCUGCUGCCACUUAUCUGAUAUAUAUCUCAAGCUUUACUUUCCAUAUCUUUUUAGCAUAUUCAACUAGGCAGCAUAUAAAUAAAGAUAUUUAACUCCAACAAAUCAUGCUAGGAAAACCAUAAUCAAUAAAACUUAUUCAAGAUCAAAUAAUGAAAUUCAUUUGCAUAAAAUCAUUUAUAAAAGAAAAGUCCACUCACUCCUGGUCCGAGCUAGCUGAACCUCCUGAAGGUCCCUCCUACGGGUCUGCCUGGCCCCAGGUGCCUGAUUAAACCACCAUGAAUAAUUAAUUAAUAAAAUUACUCGGUAUAAGUAUUUAAUUAAAACCCUGACCCCCGACUCCUAGAAGUGAGUGCACUAACUUUAAAGUCAUUCUUAUGCCCACUUAAGCAUUUCGAAUGGUUAGAGCGGUCUUAAAAGACCCGAGACUCACUAAGUGAUAAACUUCCAUAUUGGUCAAUCCGGGACCUCGUGGGGUCCAUGACCUCCAAUUACCAAUUCGAGAGUUUCUAUAAGUUUCUCACAUUUAAAUAACUAUGUCCUGCAAGUCUGGUCCGAAUCGGACGGUCGGAUUGCUCAUGAUCAUACGAUCGAAUGGUUAUUGUUUAACUUAAUCUUUAAAAUAUUAAAUCGGAGUAUUCGGGACUCCGAUUCUCAAUCCGUGAAUUUCUACACAAUCCUAGAGGUGUCUAGAUUAACUAUUUGAAAAUGAAGUUGAUCCAACGGUCUGGAUUUAUCAAACUCGGAUAACGCCUAAUAUGAGAUAUCCGAUCGACGACCGAACGAUAACCAAGUUGAAAUCCGAGCAUACCGUCAUGCUCAAGACGACGUGGCGAACAUUCUAGGACAAAAACCUAACAUUGACACCCCGGUGACGUGCUGUAACACCCCGACCCCAAAUUUCUCCAAAUUCCACCCUUAUUUAAUUAUUUAAUUAUUUAAGGGUAUUUUAGUCAUAUUUUUAAUCGGAGAGAGUUUGGGACCGUGACUUAUAUUUUUGGAUAGGUCGUACUGAGACGAGUUCAUAGACACGUAGUGGGCUCGAAUCGGAGUUGUAACGAGAGAGAUAUGGUCAAAAGAAGUCCAGUGGCAUAAUCGUAAAUAUUUCGAAAUGAGAUUUUUUUAUAAAAUCAGAUUUUUCUCUCUCUCUCUCUCUCUCUCUCUCUCCCCCGCGGGUCUCUCUCUCUCCUCUCCCUCGAGCGCGACAGCCGGCCACGUUUUGGCCGGCCGUGCUCUCCUCCGGCCACCAAUGGCGACGAGACCGGUACCAAAAUGACCGGGCCGUCGUCCUCUUCCUACCCCAGCCAGGCCCCGCCUCCAGCCGUCGCGGUUUCGCCGGAAUUUGGAGAAGAAGCGGCGGAUGUCGCCGGAACUUCAACGCCGUCGAUCACCCUCCUCCGGCCACCAAAUCCGUCGACCCAGGUAUGGAUUUUGAACCUCUCGAGCUGCUCUAGCUGAUGGUUGGGUAGGAUUAGAUAGAUUCUUAGCGUAGGCAACUCAAUUUUCGAAUUGAAAAUCGGCCGAAACUUCGGCCGCCGUGAUCGGCCAUUUCCGGCCACUUUUUGGGGUAAGUCCAAGAACAAAAGUGGCUCCAAAUAGGGUGUUAUACCUAGGGUAGGAGUUUGGAGCCGAGAUGUUGAGAUUUUCCGGCGAAGCGUUAUCGCUUUGGACACCCACGCGCUGCCGGCGCGUGCGGCGGCGCGUGGGCACUGUAGAAAAAAUAGCAAUGUGUUCCAAUGAGAUCCUUAGGUCGUCACGAGUGCGUAGGAUUUCGCGGAUCUCAAUUCGGACGUCGUUUGUCUAUCGAACGGAUAAUCGCAUAUUAUGCGUUAUCCGGGUUCGAUAGGUUGGGACCGUUGGAUGGUCCCAAAUUUAAUAUAUGUUGAUCUAGGUAUUUCUAGGAUCGUGUAGGACUUCACGGAUCGUGAAUCGGAGCCCCGGAUGUUGGAUUCACUUCAUGCACCGCCAAGUGAAAGUUAGGUCCCACGUGGCGUAGGUUAUCCGGCGUUGGGACAGGCCCCAUACGUGGCGUUGGUUGUACCGGCGUACGGGGAGAUUAUAUGAUAUUGUGUUGAGGUCGCACGUGGCGUAGGUUAUCCGGCGUGUCGACAGACCCCAUACGUGGCGUUGGUUGUACCGGCGUAUGGGGAGAUUUGUGAUGUGAUAUUGAGGUCCCGCGUGGCGUAGGUUAUCCGGCGUUGGGACAGACCCCAUACGUGGCGUUGGUUGUACCGGCGUAUGGGGAGAGCUUAUGUGGGAUACAGAGAAAUGAAUUAAGAUAUCGCCCAAGUGUGGAAUUGGAUUUUAGGGAAGAACUACGUGUGGCUUGAUCCCUCAAGGAGGGUACGUAGGCAGCCUAAGGUUAUUAGGUGCAGCCGCAGACUAAAUAUUAGUCAUAAUUGGUAUCUGAAUUGUUUGGUGGUUUGUUGAGAAUUACUGGAAGGCCGAAGGCCAUUUAUGUGAAUUUGCAUGAGAUUAUAUUGUGCAUGCUGCCCGUUGGUGAUAUUAAAUGCGUUUUUAUGCAGGUAUAAAUUUUGGGAAAUGUCCAAAUUAUAGGGGAGACUCUGCCGAAAUUUCGGCAGGAAGUCUCAGUUUUUAGUGAGUGGGCCUGACAUCGGGGUGAUGUCAGGAACUCCAAAGGGUUCGUCUCGGAUUUUGAGAAAAUUCGGGGCGGGUCCUUAAAGUCAAAUUGUCACACCCCGGACCGGCUCCGCCGUAGCACGAUAUUGUCCGCUUUGGGCCCUCCUCUCACUGCCCGCACGGUUUUGUUUCUGGGAGCUCACGAAGCAACUUCCCAGGGUGGUCACCUAUCCUGGGAUUGCUCCAGCCUCCCACUCGCUUAACUUCGGAGUUCUUACAACUCCGAAGCCAGUGAGCUCCCAAAAGGCCUCGUGCUAGAUGGAUGCGGGUGUGCCAUAUAAGGCACAUCACCCCCCUCUCCGUUGGUUUGAUGUGGGAUCUUACAAUCCACCCCCCUUAAGGGUCCGACGUCCCCGUCGGCACACUCGCACCACACGGCAAAGUGGCUCUGAUACCAAAUUGUCACACCCCGGACCGGCUCCGCCGUAGCACGAUAUUGUCCGCUUUGGGCCCUCCUCUCACUGCCCGCACGGUUUUGUUUCUGGGAGCUCACGAAGCAACUUCCCAGGGUGGUCACCCAUCCUGGGAUUGCUCCAGCCUCCCACUCGCUUAACUUCGGAGUUCUUACAACUCCGAAGCCAGUGAGCUCCCAAAAGGCCUCGUGCUAGAUGGAUGCGGGUGUGCCAUAUAAGGCACAUCACCCCCCUCUCCGUUGGUUUGAUGUGGGAUCUUACACGUGCUGCCACGCACCGCCACCGUCAGCGGGGCAUUGAGCAAUUUUUCGGCGAUCGGAAAACUCCAAACCGCCGGCCAAUAAUCACACCUAUGGAUUAAGCACAUCAAGGGGAGUAACUUUAUACCUUGGCUCGAUGAUCAAUUCCAUCUCUAAAGCCCUCGAAUGAAGCUUUAUGUCUCUUGAAAACCUAGAAUUUUUAGUUUCAAAAUCAAAGAAAUUUGAAUGGAUUCUCGUUGGAUUGUCAAAGGAUAACACAAAUGGAAGGUAUGAGAGUAUUUUAGGUGCAAUUACCGAGUUGUGGCGGCCAAAAUUGAUCGGAAAAGACCACGAGCAGCCACUGUUCAAAACAACCCAGUUUUUGGGCUCGGGUUUGGCUCAAAAUUGAGCUCAAACUUGGUUGUUUUGAUCUGAAAUUGUAGGAGGCUUUAAAAAAGGAAGAAAGAGGACGAUUUUGCUGCUUGUGGUGUUGAAAAUGGCGGCCGGAUGAGCAAGCUUGCCAGCCAACAAUGGCUGGCUGUUCUGUCGCAGGGAGGAGAAGAAAAAUCGCAGGGGGGAAGAGAGAGAGGAGAAGAAUCAGAUUUAAAAAUCUGGCUUGCAAAAAUUAUGAUUUUACCCCUCAAUGUAUUUUGAUCGUAUUUCCUUCGUUAUAACCCCGAUUCGAGCUCACAACGUGUCAACGGAUUCACUUCAUCGUGCUCUAUGCAACGGUACAAGCGAAAUUUUCAAAUUCUUCUCUGGUCAAAAAAAUCAACUUUCUCCAAUAAACUAUUUUAUGGGCAAAAUUGUCUUUCCUUCUAAUAAAUUAAUAAUUGAAUAUUAUUUAACACUUUCUCCCUUCUUUCUAAUCAAACCUAACCCCUCAUCUCUUCCCUAACCACCACUCUCAGCCACACCCACCAUCACAACAUAAAAAAAACAUAUAUAUGGAAUAGCAAUGGUGGGCUUGGACCGACACUGCAACACCACCCACGCCUCCACCACCACUCACCACCCACUACCAACCACCUCCUCCCCCUCUCUAUUAUGUCUUUCAUUCUUCCCUCACCCUCCAGAGCCAUCCCCGACUCCACAAUCUCGCCACAAUCUAUCUUGCGCUCAUGUUCUCAUGUUUCUCCCUGAUGCCCACCGCCACCCCAGCCAGAUCUCAUCUACCCUCUUUCUCUCUCUUCUUUAACCGGAUACAACUUUAGGCACAAAGAGAAAAUUCAUGUACUGGAUUAAAUUCAUCUUUGUUUUCAAUUUUUUUGUUCGAUUUUUUAUUUUUGAAUUUGCAUACAUAGGAGUAGAUAAUUUGUUUUUUGAAAUAAAGGCGAGUUCAAGUUGAUGGGGGUGGCAGGAAAAAGGUGGCGAAUUUGAUUUUGUUGGUGUUGGGUUGUCGGCGAUGAAGUUGGGAGGAUGAGGAUGAGAGAGGCCAUAUCUAGCCUUUGUGGUUUGAACAUUGUUUGCAUUUGUGGGUGGGUUUAGGGUUUGUGGGUGAAAAACAGAAUGGGGGAGGAGGGGGAGGAGGGGGAGGGGUCUCUGGGGGUGGGGGUUUUGUUAUGGUGGAAUUUGGGUGGGUGGAUUAGGUGUGGCUGUAUUUUUGGGUGUCUUGAGAAUUUUUUUUGGUCAUGGGGAAUGGGGGGAAUCGGUUGGGGGAGAGGGAGAGCGCAUAGGGGAGAGAAAGAGAGAGAGAGUUGUAAUUUUUUUUUUUAAAAAAAGAAAAUGUGGGACCUAUAGUGCUAUGUAGGCAUGGUCUAAAAUAUCGAUCAUAUCAACAAAAUAUCGAGGAUAUUACCAUUUUUUCGGGUCACGGAUAUUUCGGAACGUAUUCAUACACAUAUGUAUAAAUAUCGAUAAUAUCAAAAAAUAUCAAUGUCGAUAAUUUCGCUUACACUUCAGCAAUAUUUUGUUAAAAUAUCGCUAUAAAUUGAAAAUAUCAAAAAUAUCGAUGUAAUGAAAAAAAGGAAAAGGAAAAAAAACACAAAGCACACAUGCAAAAAGGAUUCAAACCCCUACCAUUUCAUUCAUCCAACGCCUUAACCACAAUGUUGCUUAUGUUUUUGUGAUAAUAUGUUAAAAUAUGUAUAUUUAUAUUGUUUUGUUUUGAACUGUUUUUGCAAGAAUUAGAUUUUCACAUGAGAAUGUGAGUCUUUGACCUUUCCUUUUGGGAUGGAAUCGAGCGGCUCAUGUAAAGAAUAUGAGACCCAAUCUUCAAAUAAUUUUGCUUAUAGACAACGUCAACCAAUCUCGAAUCCAUAUGGGUGACAUGUCAACAAUUACAUGUAAAACUAUUUUGGGGAUUUAUCAUUUGAUGACUACUCUUCACAAUACACUUACUCUACACAUAGAGAUUAUGAAAAUAGUGAAAAAUUUGAACCUCAUAAGAACUCUAUGUGGUACUAAGUCAUUCAUGUAUCUUAUCAGGCAAUGUAUAAAGUGUAAAAUAUUGUAAUAAAUCAUAUAUAAAUGAUUAUGGUGUGUUUAAUCUUCUUUCAUUAAUUAUUACAUAUUUUCUACACUCAUAGUGUUUGUCAGCUUGCUAUAUAAUCAACUUAAAUCAGUUAAACCCAUCAUGCAAUGCAUUUUCUUUCAAUUUUUUGUGAUAAACUAAUAGAUAAUUGACUAAAUAAACAUCCUCCAAAGUUUCAAUAAAAAUUUCCAAAUUUUUCUUAUAAUUUCUGUAGUUUUUAUUCAUUUUUUUAUUGAUAUUGAUAAUAUCCCGAUAUUUCCAUAAAAAUUUUAUUAUUUUUUGACUACCGAUAUUUUCGAUACCAUCGAUAUUUUAGACCUUGCACGUAAGCAACUAACAGAGAGAUCUGACAGAAACCCUAACGACGAAAUCAUAUUGUAACAAAUUUAAAAGAUCAGGGUAUGUGAUUGUAAAAAUUGAAAAUAUAAUGACUAACAUGUCUUAAUGGUGUAACCACAUGGUAUUAAACUGUAAUUAAUCCCAUUUAAUAAUAAUAUAAGAUAGUCAUAAUGCUAACAACUGCCCAACAAAAAAAAAAACUAACAACUAGUUUGGUUACCCUCUACAAUAUCAUAUCAUAAUCAUGUUAAUUUUCUACAUUUUUAUCUAUUAUAAGUGAAUCUAAUCGUGAGAGCUCUUUUCAUAAAGUCCAUAUAGAAAGAUCACCAAAUUAAUGCUAGUUGGUAGUUGGUAUGUAGUUAUUAAGAGAAUCCUCCUUUCAAACCAUUUUUAAAUUGAAAAAGCUUGGCUCCUUAAAAACCGAGGAAGAAUUCCUCCUCAAAACAAAUUGAAUUUUGACACGUGUAAGCUUAUUAUUUUACUAUAUAAAGUUGUAACAUUUACAACCCAACAAACUUCCUUAACGAAAGUACUAAGCCUCUACUUUUGCAGAUCUUUGGUGCCAUGUAAUUUCAGUGGACUUGAACUUUGACAUGGAGGGUUUUGCUUACCUUUCUUUGCUUAUUUGGCUUGAUCGAAAUGCACGAAUGCAUGGCCAAAAGGGACGUCACCCUGAUGACUUGUAAGCUACUGCCCAUUGUCUUUCAGUUAAAUUUAUCUCCGCUAACACUGCACCUGUGCAUACUCAUUCUCCCUCCUCUACUCAUUGGUGUCCUCCCCCUCCUGGUAAGUUGAAAUUGAAUGUGGAUGGUGCUUGUAGUACUUCCGUUUGGAAGCGUGAAUUGGGGGCAGUUGUAAGAAAUGUGCAUGGAGAUCUUAUGGGUGCUAUUUCAGUCCCUAUCACUAGAUGUUUCUCUGCAAAGAUUAUUGAACUCUUAGCAAUUCGGGAAGGCCUUCAGUUUGCAUGGGAGGACGGUUACAAUUCAUUAGUAGUUGAGUUAGAUGCGAAGAAUGCCAUUAACGACAUCGUCUCUGGCACUGAGGCUUUUAGGGUUGCAGGGGGGAUUAUCAACAAUAUCCACAUGUUAUCUAGAAACUUUGAUUUUCUUUCUUUUGUAUUUGCUCCUAGAUUGUGUAAUACUGUGGUUGAGAGACUUGCUAAGUUUGCUUUAGGUAGUGUGUCUAUAGACGUUUGGCUUGAAGAAGGUCCUCCAUGGAUCAAUGUGUUCCUUCAAGCUGACGCUAAUAAUCUAGAGUUGUCAUGAUCUUUUGUUUGUAGCCAUUAUGGAGCAUGUGACACUCUUUUUUCCUUCGUCCCAGGUUUUGUCCCAAUGAGUUUUCCUAGGCAAGGUUUUAAUGAGGCCACGUUUGUUCGCUCGAGUCUAUAACCUUUCAUAAUUUUAAUGAACAUUUACUACUUCCUCUAUAAAAAAAAAAGCAUUAAGCCUUUACUCUCAUUUGACCAUUAGUAAUGACUUUUGGAGAUAAACUAUACUAACAAAAAUACAUAGCCUCAUAUUGUGGUAAGAUUGUUAACUUGUGUAAUAUGGGUCAUUAGAUUUAAUGGAUUUUCCUUCUUUCGUUUAGCUUUUCCUUCCUAAAAACCAAAGUUAUUUUUGCUAGUCUUUUUAAAAUGGCCACUUGUUAACGGGGUCUAGUCCAAUAAAAAAGGAUCUUGAUUUGCAAACUAGUGGUCUCAGGUUUGAACCCCGUGACACUUUUAGAUGUGUAUGUGAAAAAACCUCAUAUCUUCCUUCCUAACUUUAGCGAAGAAAAGAAGAAGUGGCCACUUAAGCUAACCCUUAUUUUAACUUGUCAUGAACUUAAUUUUUUAUUUUUUUUUAUUUGGGUUACAAUUAAAAUUAUAAAAAAUAUAUAGGGUUAACUGUUUUAUUAGUCCCUGAAUUUAAACAUGAUUUGCAUUUGAGUACCUCAAUUUCCAAAAUGGUUCCUAUAAUCCUUUAACUUUAGUUUUGUUAAGACAAAUGGCCAUACCGUCAAUUUUGUUAACUUUUCUGUUAAGGGCAUAUGCAAAAUAGUAUUUUUGUAUCAAAAUUGAUUAAAAUUUAAUAAAAAAUUUAAUAAAAAAUUAAAAUUAAACUCUCUCCCUCCCCCUCUAUCCCGAUUUCUACUCCCCCCAAACUUGAUUUUUCUUUUUCUUUUUUGUUGGUUUUUUAUUUGAUUUUCUUUUAUUGUUAUUUUAAAGAUAUUAUUUUUUAUUCAUUUUUUUGUUUUAAUAUAAAAAUAUCAUUUUGCCCUUGCAUUUAACAGAAAAAGUUAACAAAAUUGACGGUAGGACCAUCCAAACGAAACUAAAGUUAAAGGACCACGAGAAUCAUUUUGGAAAUUGAAGUACUCAAAUGCAAAUCGAGUCAAAUUUCAGAGACUAAUAAAACCAUUAACCCGAUAUAUAUAUAUAUAUAUAUAUAUCAGAGAGCUUCCAUUGAGGGAUCCCUCAAAUAAGCUUAUUUGAGAGACACCCCUUGUAGGCCCCACUCCGAAUUGUAUUUCACUAAUCCAAACCGUCUAUUUUGUACAUACUCAUUCAAAGAUCAUCUCAACAAAAAAUCACUUGAAUCCAAUAUUAUUUGACCACUCAAUUAAGCUAUUGAAAUUUUAGCAUUUUCUUGAAGCAUCGUAAUCAUUGAUUUUGUAAGACACAAUUGGAUGUCGAAAUGGUUUCCGAUUUGUCUAAUUUUUUGUAAGGAUGAUCUAUGAAUAAAGACCUAAAAAAUAGAUUGUUUGGAUUAUUGGGAAAAAAAUUGUAGGGUACCCUAAGGGGCGUCCCUCAAAUAAAAUUAUUUGAGGGAUCCCUCAAUAGAAGGGGACUGUAUAUAUAUAUAUAUAUAUAUAACAAGUUGGUGGUUUAAAAUGACAAAAAAGAAGCAAAUAUUGGAGAACCUCUCUCCUCUCAAAUAUUGGCAGCAGAAUUUGUAAAUUAACAAAAUAGUUGAUUGAAAAAUAAGGUAAGUGGAGAUGCGGGGUAUCGAACCCCGUACCUCUCGCAUGCAAAGCGAGCGCUCUACCAUGUGAGCUACAUCCCCUUGUGAUUUUCAAGCGACAUUUUGCAAAUUUAUUGAGACAACUUUGUUCUUUGGGCAUAUAAAACGCCCUACUGAGUGGCUGAGCCAAAGCCUAGCGAGUAGUGAAAAAUUCUCUGCUUCUCUCUUGUUUUUUUUCCCGCCAUGGAAGCCAUGGAAAUCGAUUCGGAGAAGAACCUCCAGAGAAAGCAUUCCACCUAUAACUUGCUGGUCCGUACUCUCUCUCUCUCUCUCUCUCUCUCUCUCUCUCCCCUUGAAGAUUACUUCAACUCACUUCUUCUCGCAUCGCCUUGUUUGGUUACCGAGAAACAAACGAGAAAAGAACGGAAAGUAGAAAUUUUGUGCUCAAUCCGGACAUUUAUAUAUUGUUCUAGGAUUUCUCAGCAACCAUUACUCAAUUAACAGCCACAACUGACAGUUUUAGAGCAAUUGUCCUGUUUUACUAUUUCUUUUUUCAAUUUUUUUUUUGUUUAGUUAUUUAUUUAUUUAUUAUUUCUGUUUAUUUUAGGACGAGAGGUUUGAGAUUCAGAAAGAGAUGUACAGGGGUCAGCAGUACAGCCAAAUAUACUUUGCACGUCUCCAUAUGAUGAGGACCCUCCUCUAUUCCCUUGUCCCUAAUUGGAAACCCCAUUUACCAGGUUCUCAAUUGUUGUAAUUGUUUCAGCAUUUGUUCAAUUUUAGUUUUCGGUUUUCCUGUUACAUGUUGUUCUGCACUGUUAGUAUCCGGAAAAUGAAAAAAUAAAAAUAAAAGGAAAGGAAAUGUGGGUUCUAGUUGAUGGCUUUUAGGUUUGUCUUUCAAUUGGCUACCUGUAGAAGAAAAUUGGCUUUCCAUAAUUCGUUACAAUUUCUGGUUUUACUCUGAUUAUCUUAUUGUUCUCUUUAUUUUUCAUUUUUUAUUUAUGAUAAUCUGCAAUCCAAAAUUUCUCAGUGUUAAAAUUAGGGGUGGGAUGUGCGAAAAGUUAGAACUUUUAGGGAGCUGUUAUUGACACUCCAAAACAGUCAUCCUCUACUCCACCCUAUAAAAAUGAGAUUUAAAAAGUUCAAUUUUAAGGGGGAACUGCAGACUGACUAUUUUAGAGUGCCAAUGACAGCUCCCCUUUAGUAUUUUGGUUAUUGAUUUAUAUGAGGGUCAACUUUUAGUACAUGCCUUUGGGUUAGAAUCAAGGCAGUAUCUUUUUGGCCACUUGUUAGGAUUUUGGUUUUCAUUUAUGUUUAUGUUAAUGCUCUUUGUUUCGGUGAAACAUUUGUGUUAAUGUUUGAAGUAGCAGUGAUUUGGGUUUCUGGUAAAAUGGUAAUCCGAUAUAAUAGGCGUUCUGUAUGGUGUUGUAGUUUGCACAGUUUUGGGAUUGGAAAAGGACAAGGAAUGCAUUGUUGUUGGAACCCUGUACAAGCACAUGAAACUCAAACCUUGUAUUCUUGAUGAGUACUCUAAGACGGUAGUGUACAUGUGCAGUGUUGGUCAUUAAGUUAUGGAGUGUUUUUUUUUUUUUAAUUCUUCUGACAAUAUUGCAAUUUUUACAGAGAUCUACAACACCACUUGUCAAGCCUCAUAAUUUUGUGCACCCGGAUGACCAUCUGGUUUUGGAAGAUGAAAGUGGAAGAGUAAAGCUUGCUGGGAUGCUUUCACCCUCUGUAUAUGUAACAGGUCUGUGUCAAACAAAAUGCUACAAUAAAGAAAGAAAAAUGCUCUAUAUAUAUAUAUAUAUAUAUAUUUCUUCUUUUGGUGGGAUUUUGGGGUCUUUUGGGCUUCUGUGAGGCAAUAAAGUGCUUGUGGCUUUUAGUCCCAUAUGCUAUUCAGAAACUCUGAUCCGCUUUGUCUUGAUUCAGUCUACAUGAAGCUUAAUCUGUUGGGCCUAUUUUACUUGCUUUCCUUUGAUUGCAUAAUUAUGACAUUUGAAUUGUUCAUUUUGAUACGGAAGAGUCCAAAUUUUUUAACAUUUAAUAUGAAAUCAAUAUUGAAGCAUGCUUAUUCUACAAUAACAUGGUGACAGGGAGUAUUGUUGGUUUGCAUGGAAAGGAGACUGAUGCUGGUGACUUCUUAGUCCUGGAUGUUCUUGAAGCUGGCUUGCCACCCCAGAUAGAGCUGCCACUUAAAUCAAGUAUAAUCUGAUUUACCUGGCUCUCUUUUAUUUUGCAAUUUUUCUUCUUUUCUGUAAAGUUUGUGUUUGGCCACUUGUUUCUUUAAACCUUCAUCUUAUAUUGGUGAGAGAUGAUUAGAGAGAAGCUAAACAGCAAAAGCUCGAAUUUAUGCAGAAAUAUGUUAGACAACAUUGGCUGUAUGAUAAUAUGUCUAGAGAGGAUCUAAAUUCACAGGAAAUAUAACUUGAAACCUUUGAGUAUAAAGUGGAAAGUCUUUGCUUUUAGUCCCCUUUGAACUUUCUUGAGGUUUUCUCAGUUUCUAUAAAAUUACAAUGUUGUGCUCAUAAAGAAACUAAAAGAAAAACAGAAAUUGCUAUUUGUUGUUCGAUCCUCAUUUACUUUGGUUUUUAAGUUUUAGUAAUUGUCUUGUAUUUAGUUUCUCAUUUCCUCUGGUAUUUAUGUUCUAGCAUCUUUCACUAGUACCUUUACCUCAAUUUUCUUUUUUCAUUAAUUUUAAUUUGUCUGCAUGCAGGAGAAGACAAGUAUGUUGUCUUUGUGUCUGGACUUCGUGUUGGAAGCAGCUCUUCAAACCCUCUUCAGUUUCAGCUUCUUGUUGAUCAUAUUACAGGACAUUUAGGAGAUGAGAAGGUUCAUGCCAUCAUUUCCUUCAAGAUCAAGUGCUGUUCAUUAUGUUUUAAACUGUCUUAACAUACUAACUUUGUACAACGUUGAACAGGAGCAAGGUAUUGCAGCACAAAUAGUUCAUGUUGUUAUUGCUGGAAAUUCUAUUGAAGUUCCUCGUGGACUUCUUAAUGGACAGGUAACACAUUUAUACGUCCCUGAUAAUAAGGCAGAAUAUAAUUGUUUAAUGAUUACUUAUAAAUUGUAGGUGCAGAGGCGGCAAUGUGAUUAAAUAUAGUAGCUGGAUAUUUUGUUGUAGUUUAGUUUCUUAAAUUUCCAAGCAAAAUGUAGUAGUUUUCUUUCUAAUAGUCAUUUUGUUCAUUGUUUGUAGAAUUUAGCGUCAAAGGAUCAAUCAAGGCUGUCUGAGCCAAUUAAGGAGCUGGAUAUUUUGUUGACUCAGGUUCUUUUUAUCAGUUUGAUUAGUCAAUACCGCGGCUAUGUUCCUAUCAUGAAUCAGACUGCUUAAUUUAUUCUACUCAUGCUAGAUUGCUGCAGGUUUGCCUUUGGAUAUCAUGCCAGGUCUCGAUGACCCUGCUAAUUUUGCCUUGCCGCAGCAGGUUUGAUAUAUGUCCUUGAAAGUCUAUAUGCAGCAAUUUUUCCUUGCCGCAGAAGGUUUGUUUGUAGCUAAUAUUCCUUUCCUUUCAGCCUUUGAACCGAUGCCUUUUCCCUGGGUCAUCAGCUUAUAACACGUUUAGAUCAUGUACUAAUCCCCAUUGCUUUGAUCUUGAUGAUAUCAGGUAAAAUUGUAAAUCUAAUUUGACUUUUGGCAUUGUUGAUCAACAAUUUUGUUUUGGUAUUAUUUAUUAGGUACUUAUUUUGACAUACUGGUAACGUGGUUUUCAGAUUUCUCGGAACAUCAGGUCAAAAUAUUGAUGAUCUUGAAAAGUAUUCAGAAGCAAAGGAUAAACUUGAAUUUGUUGAAAGGACAUUGAGGUGGAGGCAUCUGGCACCAACAGCACCUAAUACUCUUGGUAUGAAAUUUUACCUUCUGCUUGUGUAGUUUUGUUGGUCAUCCGAGUCAAUUUGUCUUGUUAAAGUGGUUUUUUGGUUUGGAUAUUUUCAGCUAGGCUGAGUUCCUCUCCAAUUUGAGAUUAAAAUUAAUACUCUUGUUAUCUUUCAGGGUGUUAUCCUUUCACAGACAGGGAUCCUUUCCUGAUUGAGAGUUGCCCUCAUGUUUACUUUAUUGGUAAUCAGGAUAAAUAUGAUAGCCGCUUAGUAAAGGGUAUAUCUUGUAACUCUAGUUUUUUUUUUUUUGGGUCAACUGUAACUCUAGUAAUCAUAUUAUAUAAUAAUACUUUUCAUGCCAAAAAAUUUAAUUAAUUAUUUUUUCUAUCAGUUGAGUAGUAUACAAACUUCCGAUUGCAGGAUCUGAAGGGCAGAUGGUGAGACUCAUUUGCAUUCCUAAAUUCUGUGAGACAGGAGUUGCUGUUGUGGUAAGUUGUUGUAUAUUCGCGACAUGCUGGAAGUUCUUGAGGAAUAAGUUCUGGUGUCAAUAUUGAUGUUAGACAUGUUUAUCGUGUCUUGUCUAUAAUGACACCUUGAUCCCUUAAAUUUUCUGUUUCCCAAUUUUGCAGCUAAACUUGGGAACUCUUGAAUGCCAUACGCUCAGUUUUGGGACUCACUUCAGCUCAUAACAACACGGUAUGAGGUUUAUCAAUUAGAGCUCUGAAUUCUUCGUAAUCUGCUGCCUCCAGUCAAUACAAAUUCUGAAAGAACACAUCAUUAUAAUGCUCUGUGGCAUGCUUCAUCUUUUGAAAUACACAUGUUAUUUGUGAUGUUUCAGUUGAAAAUAUCACAUAUGAUUAUCAAUGAGAAAAUAUUUAGAAGUAAUCUUAUAGGAGCAUUGAUGACUUAAAACUCGGUUCAAUGGAUUUUUAACUAGUCCUACGUGAAUAAAAAUCAGAAUCACUUACUGAGUUUCAACCAAUAACUAGUCAGUCAUUGUUACAUGUCAAAAAUUUAAGAGGGGCAAAGGGAUCUAACUUGCAUCAGCUCCCAAUGCUAUUGUUUGUUCCUUUCAUGGAAGUGCCUAUUAUUUUGCUUCAUUUGACAAGUUGACAUUGGUUUAUCUUACAUAAAUAUAUGAAAAUGCAUGUCUGGAAGCCAACAUUCUGCAGCUUCUUACUGAAAUUUUCUCAAAUAAAAUUGGAAAUUUGUAAUUUCAGGCUUCCAAAAUGUUAUAAAGGAUUUACAGUAGUUUGUGGCUAUCAAUACAUCCUCUAGCAGCAGUUGUGGAGAUCCCUUGAAGAGAAAGCCCAAUGGGAUGAAUCUGUGGAGCAAAAACCUGCCACUUAGUUUUAUUUUUAAUUUUAAACAUUUGCUUACAGAGUAUUGGCUCUUGGUGUAAUUUUGGUUGUAUUUAUUUUCAAGUAGGCAUUCUGGUGAUUGAAGAUGUUAAUGAAGUUUUAAACUUUAGUAGAUUUUAUCAACUGAUACAAUUUUUUAUGGCUUCCAAGAAUUAAUCAGAGCAUCCAACACUCAGAAAAAAAAAAAAAAAAAAAAAAAUUCUGAUUAUGCCCCUAGUGUUGGGUGUGCUAAUUAGAGGUAGAAUCGAUGGUUACCGACAAUUUUUCAUGAAACCAUAAACCAACCGACCGUAAACAAGAGCAUGACUGAUCAAGUAUUUUGGGUGCAUUUAGAAUUUAGAAGCCUGCCCUUUAACCGUUGUGGGCCUUCCGGCCCAAAUGUAUCCAAACCCAAACCCAUAUAUUACCGUUGUUUGGUCCAAAACCCGAACCAGAUCCAACUUUGACGCCAUCAUCAUCGGCAGAACUUGUCAGUGUGAACGUGGGAGGCGCGCAUGUAAAAUGGCAAAUUGGAAUUUUGGUACGCUAACUAAAUAAUGUCCACAAAAUCACAUGCCCAAUAAUACAUUGCAUUGCCUUGCGCCAGAUAGUUUUGUCUAUUAUUCUCUCCCUAACGGCUAUAUUUUCCAAGUCCUUGUUAUUCAAAUCAUUCACUAACCCCAACGGUCCAUUCCCCACACAUACAUUAAGCUCUAAAUUCACCAACCCAACAACAUACACAUAAAAUCCAUCCACAUUGCAAUUUACAUUCUCCCUCUCUCUCUCUCUGUCAUAUUCUUAAAUCACAAAUUUACAAUGGACCCUCUUCCUACUCCAACUCCAACUCCAACUCCAGCUCCUGCUGCUACCUCAGCUAGUGUUCAACAUGUAAACAAGAAGUCCUCCGAUGAGCUGCUAAGAAAGUUUGCUGAUUCAGGGGAUGAGGCUGAGGAGGCCCCAGAAAAGAAACAAGUGAUUCGGGUGUCGAAACGCCGGAAAGUGAGAAACCGGGCAAGUGGUGAAGGGGAGCAAUGUGAGAGCCCAUCAAAUGGCAAGAACAGCUUAGUGGAGAGAAGGUCUCUGCUUCCUGCUGCUGGGACUAAGAACAAGGCAUUGCUUAGGCAACUUGGGGUUCAUGGCAGGGCAUCACAACUCAGGGCCAGGGAUAUCAGGAACAAGUCUUUCUUUGGUGCCAUUCACAAGGUUGGAUUUUUAUUUUAUUACAUCCCAUGUUUUGAUAAAAUCUUCCAGUUAAUUAUCUGUUUUAGUUGCCAAUUUGCCAAUGAACUAAGGUGAAAAAUAAAAUCCAACUAAUUUAAAUGGGUGUGUUAAACUGUGUUUAAAUCAGUAAAUGUAAAUGUAAUUAUUACCCUGAUAAGAAAAAACCUCUAGGCUUGAAGUUUAGUGUAGCAAUCAAUGGGAAUUUCGUGAUUGGGGUUACAAAAGUAAGUGAUUGUUGUUCUUACUUUCCUUGAAUAACAAAAUCCCUCACAGCCAUUGUUAAUUCACCCUCUCCCAAAGCCAAUAAAAGAAAACUUACUUACACGGUACACCACAAGGAAUGUCAAUGUGGCAACAUCCCAAGCCAAAUCAACUUUCCAAGGUGACCAUGCGUAAUUGGAUUGGAAUACCAUCACAAUGGCACAUUGUUGCAUGGAAGUUCUUCUCUAAUAAUAGCUUCGCUGAGAAACUAGUUUUACCAAUUUUUUCUACACAAUCGGCUUCAGAUUCAGUUGACUCUCUUAUUAGUUAGCCUUUCCACUUAAACCACAUAAUGUUAGUUAUCAUGUCUUAACUUUGUGUGUGGCCUGCGAUAUUAUGGUGUUACAUUCCAAAGCCUUGCUACAUGAUUUGCAGAAGGGUUCCUUCCUGCUAGGUGCCUUAUUACAACAAAAGUUAACCUCUCAGGAAAUUAAGGCAAAUUGGAACCAUAUUGAUCAACAACUUUGUGGCUACCAAUGUAUUUGUACCCAUAAUUAUCUGUUUAAUUGGGUGCUCAAGCAGUUCUAGCACUUGGUAAAAAACUAACACCAACUAUAAGAAAACCGUGCAAAUAGCUUGUAGCACAAGUACAUUUACCCUUAUAUCUGAGGUUCUAAGUUUAGUUUCUUCCUUUCUUUACGAUCGCUUCUAUAUAAUAAAAAAGAAGAGAAAUAUAUAGGCUCAGCCCCCCAACCCUAUCAUCUGUUAGCCUGUUCCCAUCCAUAGGCUAGCUUAGUGUACUCACCAAACUCUGCCCCUCUCACUCUUCUAACUGCAGCAACUCUUUGUUGCAGCAUUUUUCUGCUGGUAAAGCUGUCACUAGCUUGGUCCAAUUUGCCGGCUAACCUAUGCCCAUCUCCAUUUUUAUUACCGAGGGGCAGGGAAAAAUAAUUAAGAAAGAAGAGAUACGAGAAGAAACAGAAAAAGAUGUCUUCUUCUUUGAUAAAGGACUUGUAAAUGUUUAUAUUAUAUUACAAGUGGGAAACAAAAGUCAACUUAUAUUGAUGUCACUGAUUUCGAACAUUUCAACCCCCAACCCUUUUUCUUCUGUUGUCAUCUAUUGUGCAGACAUGGAGAAGGACCAUAGAAGGGGCUUCAAAGGUUUUCAUGGAGAAGCAUUACAAUAGGCACAAGCGUUUGAUAAGUGACAUUGCCUAGCUCACAGACAGUCUCUUAAAUUCCAGAAAUUUCUAGUUGGAAGGUCUCAGUCAGCCUUGUGUAAAUCUUGCAUCCAAUUUAUAUUUCUCAUGAAUCUUUAAUAUUGUUUCUUUUUUCACAAUGAAUAAAUUAAGUACCAUUUUAGUUCUUUAACUCAAAAAAUCUCAAAAAAUAUUCAAUAUUAUCUUGACAGAUUGUUUGAUCAACAUAAGAUGCUUCAAUUGUUAGAAUAUUAGUUUGAACUAUCAAUCUGAUCGACUUUUGCAAGAAUCCAAUAAUCUCUUAACAUAAAUCUAAUAAAAGAACAUCAUUUCUCAAGAUUUUAACAGAUUGAUCGACAACAUAAGUUGCUUUAAUGGUUAAAUUAUUAAUUUAAACUAUCGAUCAAAUAAACUUUUACAAGAAUCUGAUAAUCUCUCAACAUAAAUCUAACAAAAGAACAUUAUUUCUGAAGAUUUUGGAGACUACCCUAAAUUCCCAAGGUCUUAUCCUAUCUAUGGCACAUUAGAUUUCAUAGAGAGUUUACUUUAGGGUGGAGCUCUCCAACCCACCCAUUUUGUUGGCCAAAUAAAAGAGCAGCACUUGUAAAUGUGACAUUGACCCCAAUAACACAAAACCAACUGAUGGGAUUUAUGGGGUCAAAUGUGAUCCCAUCUGUGGCAACAACAUCUUUAAUUGCAACUGUACCAUCUCAUGAAUGCCUCUGUAUGGAUUAGCUUAGCUUAGAUUUUAACACCCCAAAAAAAAAAGAUCCCACUUUCACAUGCCUCAUGUGUUUAGCCCUACCAUCUUCCCUUUAUUUAUUUUCUUUCUUGGAAAACAACAUGCCCUCUACCCUCCUCUGCCUCUGCCUCUGCCUCUGCAUUUCCUCCAUUCAUCCAAAGGACAAAAGUUGGUUUCUGAUAAGCUUACAUGGUUACACCUACCCAAUCACUCACACGUGUUUUGGGGUGUUGGGAUCUGAUCGAAUAUAUUUUUGUCAACAAAGUCUUCUCAAAUUUAAUAAAGAAAAAAGGAAAAAAAGAAAGAAAGAAAUAAUAAUAUUGUGACUAGUUUUCUAGUUGUAUAUAAUUGGAGAAGAUAAGCUGUAUAGCUUAUAUUAUGCAUCAAUUCAUAGUCAUUUGUGGUUUGCACAUGGGUGAUAUUGCAAGAAGCUAAAGCCUAUGUAUAUAUGCUAAAGAAAAGAUUCACUUUUUUAUUUAUUAUAUUUGUUUAUUUAUAAAAAGUACUUGAGGCCCAUAGGGCCACAGCUCUGCCCAUUAAUGAUAUUGUAAGACAAAAAGGAAAAAAAUUCUGAAUUUUAAUAUUAAAACCAAAGAAUAUGAAUGUGCACCGCCGUGGUGUUAGUAGAAUUAUAUUAAAUUUUUGGUGUGCUCUCAAGUGGUUCUGAGUUUAAACUCUCAUAAUAUUUGUAUGUGUGAGUUUUCCUCAUUCUUUUUUUAACUUUGGCAACCAAAAAAAAAAAAAUUAUUAUUUUCUUUAUAUUUUUUAAAUUUUUUUUUUUUUUUUAGGGUACAAAGAAGGUUAACGAAGAAGGGGAGAUUUGAAUUUUUGAAACCCUUAAAAAUAAAAUUUCAUUUUGACUAUUCAUGUGAAGGAUGACUUCAAUUGUACCCUCCUCAUUGAUGAAUAAACUAUUCAAUUUUAAAAUGGAUAUUUACAAAAAUUACAAAAAUGAGGCCAUCAUGGCUAGUAGCCUUCAGUCAUAUUUGUUUUUUUUUAUAAAUAUUUUUUAAAAUUAAAAUAAAAUGAGAAAUUUAGAAAAAGACAAUAGAUGAUAGUGAGAUGAAUAAUGUGAAGGUGAGACCCCACAAAAGAAAAUAAUUUGAAUUCUAACAAAAAAGGAAAGAAAAUAAUUUGAAAACAGAGUUGUGCCAAAUCCGCGGCCGGUUAUCAUCUCGAUUCAGUGGCAUACCUGUAAUUUAGUCAUCGUACUAAUGGCAUUUUCGUCAAUCGAAAACACCAUUUCGAAAAAACAAAAGAAAAACAAAACUUUAAAAAUAAAAAGAGUGCCUCUCACACGCUUUCGUCAACUUUCCCCUUCCAUUCCACCCAGUAGUUGUUGCUCUGCAAAACCUCUCUCUUCUCCCUCUCUCUCUCAAUACACAAACAAUUGAGACAGAGAAGAGACACAAACCCACCAAGCCUUUCAAGUCCUUGUUCCCAAAAUCACAACCCCUUUUGGCUUUUUCAAUCCCAAGCUCCAAUCUUUCCCAAAUUUUGCAACUUUAUUAAACCAAGUGAACCAAAUCCAUCCUCCUUUACUUUUUUUUCCAGACAAAACACUACAUAUUGGCAAAAGGGUAGUUGUAUUACAGAGUUAAAGCAGUGUUGGGUUUGGGAAAUGAGGGAUGUUUUCGUGGCUGGCAAGGAUAGCGUGGACGUGUUGGAAGCCAGUGAGGAGAUAUGCCCGUAUGAGCAAGGAUGAUCUUGAUGACUCAUCUCUUGAAGAUCCCUUGUUAUGGUGCAGAAGCCUUGACAAGCACUCCUAUGGUGAAUUCUCCUUCGCUGUGGUCCAGGCCAAUGAAGUUCUUGAGGAUCAGAGCCAAGUUGAGACUGGCCGUGAUGCCACCUUUGUUGGUGUUUAUGAUGGGCAUGGUGGACCUGACGCGUCUCGCUUCAUUUCUGACCAUCUCUUUCUUCAUCUUAUGAGUGAGCCCCUCUCUUCUUGGUUUCUGGUUUUUGGAUUUUUUCUUUUCUUUUUCUUUUUGGCUUUUCUUGGGAUUGUUGGAGUUGUUUGUAAUUUUGUGAAUUUGUGUGUGUGUUUUUUUUUAAAAAAAAGGGGUUGUUUUGUUUUCUUCUGUUCUUGUUGUUGUUCCUGUGUCUUGUCAUUUUAAAUGUGAAUUGUGUUUGAAGCAGAGUCUGGCUUUCUCUACUGGUUAAAUUUUAUGUUUUUACUUUUUUGGGUUUUUUUUCCUUCUCUGCAUCCCCGACUCGUCCUUUGCCAGUUGGGGUUGUCUUGGUGCUGUUAUUUGAAGAAAUUUAACUUAUUUAUCUUGAAAAAGAAAAGUUUGAUGAGAAAAUUGGUUCCAUUAAUGGACUCGAUGGAGGUUGAGUUAUGUUGUUUAUCUAUUUUGUUCUGCGUACUUGGAGUAGAUUUGGAUGUUCAAUUAUGGAAAAUGAUAAGAUUUUUGUUUAUUGAGUGCAGUUUAUUUUCUUUCUUUUCUGGUGUAUGUAUAGAGAUCUUUGUGUUUCUUUAUUGCAUUGUCUUUCUCUUCCACUCCAGAGUCAGACCCUUUGUUUUGAGAUCCCAAUAGAGAGGCUUUUAGCUAUAUGUGAUUGUGGAAGUGGAUGAGGAAGAUAGUUUAAGAAUACAGGCGUUUCUUUUGUACAUGUUAACAUCCCUUGAGGAAUUUACUCGCCAGACACUUCAACAACAUUGAAGGUCUCUCUUGAAACAUAGACAUGUUUGAUACUCUUUGUUGCACCACUGCUUAUUAUCUGCAUUCUAGGCUUCACCGUCCAAUUGCUAUUGUGCCAUACAUGAAGUACUUUUGGAUUUUACAAAUCGUAACUUAUUUAAGUGUGUUUACAGGACAUGCUCGAGAAAAAGGAGCCCUAUCUGAAGAUAUCCUUAGAAGUGCCUUUUCUGCCACUGAGGAUGGGUUCCUUACUCUUGUGCGUAGGACUUGUGGAAUAAAACCAUUAAUGGCAGCAAUUGGGUCUUGUUGUCUGGUUGGUGUUAUCUGGAGAGGGACGUUGUAUGUUGCUAAUCUAGGAGAUUCAAGAGCAGUAAUUGGUUCUUUAGGUAGAUCGAAUAAGAUUGUUGGUGAGCAGCUAAAUAAGGAGCACAAUGCAAGUUUGGAGGAGGUUAGACAAGAACUCAGGUCCUUGCAUCCAAAUGAUUCACAUAUUGUAGUUAUGAAGCAUGGAGUUUGGCGUAUCAAAGGCAUCAUACAGGUUUACUCACUUUUUGUCUCUUUUUAACUGCCAUGGUUGUUUAUUUCUAGUUUUUAAAGAUAUUUGAUGUACCAUUUUAACGUCCUUGAAAGGAUGCCCACUUUCUAAAAUGAGUCCAUUUGUGAUUUAUGGCUUACGAAUUUUGUAAAUGUUUGCAAUUACCUUACCAUAAUUGUGUUGGAUUCUUAAGGAUUGCAGUAAUAUAUGUACAUGCCUUCUCAAGAAAUGUAUGGAAAAGACAAAUGCAUGCAUUAGCAGUUAUAAUUUGAUACUAUGACGCUCCUCCUACCCCUUCUCUAGUCCAAGUGCAAUUAGUGGUUAUUGUUGCAUUAGUCAUGUAUAUUGAGGCUCUGCAGGACUAGGUAUUUUGUGUCAUAUUUCUUCAUUCCUCUCCAAAUGCUAUGUGCUUGCUUAAUUAACUGGUAUGCACACUGGAAGUCGGACAUUCAAAUUCCUCUGUUGUGUACUUUAUGAAGUUUAUUUGCCAGUGAGAUAAGAUCAUUGACAAUCUAUUACUAAUUAUUUAUAUUUCUCCCUUUGUGUGUUUCCUUGCUUCCUCUCAGGUAUCUAGAUCUAUCGGUGAUGCAUACUUAAAGAGGCCAGAAUUUUCUCUUGAUCCUACAUUUCCGAGGUUCCACCUUCCUGAACCCCUCGGUCGGCCUGUGCUUACCGCAGAACCAUCUGUAUGUACCAGAGUUGUACAACCCAAUGAUAAGUUUAUAAUAUUUGCAUCCGAUGGACUAUGGGAGCACAUGACAAAUCAGGAAGCUGUGGAGAUUGUACAUAAUAAUCCUCGAGCAGUAUGUUUUUUCUUUCAAUGCCUCUUUUGUCAAUUUUUCCCUUUAUCAUAUAGAUAUCAAUGGUUAUUUUUUCUGUUGUUUUCACAAAUGCCAGGGAAUUGCAAAAAGACUUCUUAAAACAGCUCUGAGCGAGGCAGCUAGGAAACGGGAGAUGAGAUAUGAUGACCUUAAGAAGGUUGAAAAGGGAGUUAGGCGGUUCUUUCACGAUGAUAUUACGAUUGUCGUCAUUUUUAUAGAUCAUGAUUUGCUGGAGAAAAAACAGCCAGCACCUGAGCUGUCAGUAAAAGGGUUCAUUGACACUGUUGGGCCAUCAAGUUUUAACAUUUUCAAGGAUUGAUAUAAAUGUGAAGUCCGUAACACCCAGUAACUUGGUUUGCUGGGUCUGGUUUUAAGAGACCAGGUUCAGCAAGUUUUAUUUUCUUUCAACAUUUUUCUAACAUUGGGUUGUUUCUUCCAGCUUUACUUUACUCCUUUUUGAAGUUUCUUAUAUAAAGUGAUUUCUUUCCAUAAAACUAUGCACCCUAGGCAAAGCUAUGGGAGAGCCUUCAGAUUUUUUGGGGUUCAUAAAUUGGAGUCUGUAUACACCCAAAAGUUGUGAAAUUUGUUUGGUUUUAAUAAAUCUUCUUGUUAAGCUUUUAGCUACUGUUAGUUUUCUUAAGGAUGUGGAGCUAGUGAAGUAAUUUGUCAUCUUCGAUGAGUUUUACCAUAUGACAAGUGUCUGGAAAAUCAAUGGUGUAAGUCUGAAAUGGAGAAUAUCAAGCUUAUCUUCUUUUAUGAGGCAAGCCAUUGUUAUGAACAUCUUUCACUGUGUUGUUUUUCAUUUUCACCAGGACUGUACAGUUCUUAGGGAUGAAAUUUGAUAUACCAUACCAAACAUCAUCUUUAAAUGUGUGAUUUCGAUUUUUGAUUGUAUUGAAGAAACUUAUUUCAGAAUCAUGGCUUGUGGCCUUUUGAGAUGAACAAACAUCCCAUGUUAUAGAUCUAUCUCACCUUACCUAUUUGUGUAACAUACCAUUAAGCUCCUCUGUUGGGCUUGUUGCUUUCCCAGUCCCUUGUUUUUUGUAGCAGUUCAUCACUACAUCCCCAACUCAAUAGUAAAACCCAACGGUUUGCUUUGUCAGAAAGAAUAAUGCUUGGGUUACAAGUCAAGACAUCUUCACCACUUACUUUGGCAUGUUCCAAUCAGGCUAUCAUUGAGCAUACCUGUCAGGUUUGCUUAAAAUCUAGGAAAUGUAAAAGCACAUUUUCCAGCUUGGUUUUGUUGGUGCUAAAGGUGCCACCCAUAAAAAUCUCUCUCUAUUAGGCACAAAGUCAGAAUAUCUUGUCUCUGGCCAUGCCAUUAAAAGAGACAGCAACAAAGAUUACAAAUGCUCUGGAACGAAUGAGUGAGAAAUUGGAUUCUUUUUAUGUCUAGCAUUGAUGUAAUUAGGUCAAAGUCAUUUAAGAAAGGAAUUAUUAUCAGCCCUUCAUAAUAAGCAUCUUGAACUCCUUUCCUCUUCAAUUUUUUUUUUUUUUUCACCAUGGAGGAGUGUAUGAUGAUUAUUUUGGAGUUGAAAAAGUGAUUUAGGGUAUUGCCGGUUUGUAUCUCAAUAUUUUGAUACCAACUAAUGGGGUACAUGAUAUGGCAACCAAUGUCAACAUUUAUUAAAUCCAUGUUAACAUCGGAAACAUGACAAAUUACACAAGUUGUCAUUAUGUGCCACAUAAGUAGGUAUCAAAAAAUUGUGAUACAAGCAAGUUGAUGACCCUAGGAUUACCGUUUCUCAAAAGACUUUACCCAAGCACAUCAUUACUACAGAUAAGAAAAUUCCAAUUUCUCAUUCACUCCAUCCACAGCAUUUUGUACAGAAUUUGUUGGGUCCAAAAGCCAAAUAGAAAGUACAGAUUUUGUUUGUUUGUUCAGUUUCCUCUUGGGAUUCGAACGUAUCUGGUUCAGAAUUUGUCACAAUAUAUAGAGAUAAUGACAUGAUAUCUGAAUAGCAAAAAGCAUCACAAAUGAAAGGUAUAGGUUCUCUUCAACCAACCAAAAGAAGCUUCAUCUAAGAACCAAUAAUAAUAAUAAUGAAGGGGAUUUCUGAUUUCAACCAAACCAAAUCAGUAACAAUACAUAAUUUCUCUACAACAAAGCAGUAAUGAAAAAAUUGAAUCUUAAUCAUAAUUUGCUCGCCUCCAUGUUCAUGUCCCAACAUAACAAACACAGAGAAAUAGACAUGAAUGAAAUUGGAAAAUGAAUAGAAAAAGAAAUUCCGCAACCACUUAAAUAGAAGCCUUUCUUUAAUACAAAAUCUGUUAAGUGUAAAUUCUCUGUCCACCUCUUGCUUUGCAUGAUUAGAAGCAUUUCCUGUGGACAAUUGAGGGACCAGAUUCAUCAUACUCUGCCUUUGCAAUCCACAUCUGCGUUCAAAGACAAGUAGCUUUCAGUGACAAAUACAUUACUUACCUCCUAAAUGAAGCAUCAAAUUAGCACUUUGUCAAGUAAAAGAGGUGUUUCAGCUAUUUCCAAUUAAGUACAACGUUCUUUACAAAUACCAACAUUUUUUGCUUUCGGAAAACUCAGUUCGGGUCAUGUUACUCUAAGUUUAAAAUGCAUCAGUAGAGUGAGUAAAACAGAUGCACACAUACAGACACACACAACACAUUACCUGUUGGAAGGUGCUGAGGGAUGCCAAAAUGGAGCCUCCAAUCCAGACACUAUAUUUCCUCUCCGGUGGUGCUACGACCUUAAUUUUCAUGCUACUUGGAGCUAAUGCUGUAAUCUCUUUGCUCAUCCUAUCAGCAAUGCCAGGGAACAUAGUGGAGCCUCCACUAAGGACAAUAUUGCCAUAGAGAUCCUUCCUAAUAUCAACAUCACACUUCAUAAUAGAGUUGUAUGUGGUUUCAUGGAUACCAGCAGCUUCCAUUCCAAUCAUGGAUGGUUGGAAGAGGACUUCAGGGCAACGGAAUCUUUCAGCCCCGAUGGUGAUCACCUGUCCAUCAGGUAGCUCAUAACUUUUCUCCACAGAUGAGCUGGUCUUUGAAGUCUCUAGCUCUUGUUCAUAGUCAAGAGCAAUAUAUGCUAAUUUCUCCUUCAUGUCCCUCACAAUUUCGCGCUCAGCAGUGGUGGUGAAAGAGUAACCACGUUCAGUCAAGAUUUUCAUAAGGGCAUCUGUAAGAUCACGACCUGCCAGGUCCAAACGAAGGAUGGCAUGUGGGAGGGCAUACCCUUCAUAAAUUGGAACUGUGUGGCUCACACCAUCCCCUGAGUCGAGAACGAUACCUAAACAGCAAAACAUACAUGACCACAAAACAUUAGAAAUCAAAGUUUAAAAACCAAUUUUUAAUUUUAUUUAUUCAAGGUUUUUAAACAUUCUUCCAUUGUACUUUUGCAAAUAUCAUCUGGUACCAUUGUGCUUAAAUAAUGAACACAAUAGGUGGUACAAAGAGAUUUGGUUCCCCUGCGCUAUAUCAUGAAUGCAAUCAUGCAAUAGGUGGUAUAAGGAUUUCCUAUGAGCUUACUUAAUGAAAUUCAGGUAUGCAAUAGAUAAAGGGAAAUGGAAAUUAUAUGGUAAAUUUGAUAAACCAACUUGAAUUUGCCUAUAAAGCAUGAAUUUGAUUCUUUUCCCCCAUUAUAAGAACAUGUUUUAAUAAUGAGGUGCACACAGUUGUCUCUGUGUUUUCAACUUAGCAAACAAAUUAAUGUCUAUUUUACAUCUGUAUUUAUUCUCCUAUGAGAUCCAUUGCAAAUUUAUUUGGUUCAAAUUUUUAUUUUAUUUUUCAUAUAAUGAUAAUAACAUACCAUGCAUAUUAGAAAGAAAACAAAUCAAGUACUCAAUUGAAUGGCUUACCAGUUGUGCGUCCACUAGCAUAUAGGGAAAGGACAGCCUGGAUUGCAACGUACAUAGCCGGAGUGUUGAAUGUCUCAAACAUGAUUUGAGUCAUUUUUUCACGAUUGGCCUUGGGGUUAAGGGGUGCUUCUGUCAGGAGAACUGGAUGCUCUUCUGGGGCAACGCGAAGCUCGUUGUAGAAUGUGUGAUGCCAGAUCUUCUCCAUGUCAUCCCAAUUGCUAACAAUACCAUGCUCAAUCGGAUAUUUCAAGGUCAAAAUACCUCUUUUUGAUUGAGCCUCAUCCCCUACAUAGGCAUCCUUUUGCCCCAUACCAACCAUCACACCCGUGUGGCGAGGGCGACCAACAAUGCUGGGAAAUACAGCCCUUGGAGCAUCAUCUCCAGCAAAUCCUGCCUGCAUCAUCAAGAUCAGAUAAUAUUCAUCACUUUGAUACUAUGAUCAACCUUAAAGAAAAAUUCCUUUAUGGUUUUGAAAAGAAAAGCCAUUUUGGGAUCACAAGAGAAUGGUUAUGGGCUCAUUACCUUCACCAUUCCAGUACCAUUGUCACAAACAAGAGGCUGAAUAUCUUCAGAUUCUGCCAUUUUCUAUUGCCUGCUGCAGAAACAAACCAGCAUUGCAUCAAAUUAUAGCAAACAAGUGCUCAUCCCUUGGAUCACAUUCAUAUGCAUCUGUGGAUUAUUAGUAUGUGCAAUUUGAUGCACCAAUUUGAUACCCAGGAAUAAGAAAUGCUAAAGAUGCUGGCUUAGUUUAAAAAUAAUGGGAAAUCAAAUCAACAAGCAGGUUAUGCAGAUCGUCAUCAUUAAAACAUCAAAAUUGAGAGGAAAUAUCAAUCCAAUGCCUCAAGAACAUAAUUUUGAGAUGAUCAAGCAAAACCCAUCAAUGUUUUCAAAAAUCAUAAAUGUAGAUAAUUUUGAGAUGAUCAAGCAAAACCCAUCAAUGUUUUCAAAAAUCAUGCCCAAUAACCAGACAAGAUGGCAUAAAAAAAAUCAAAUAAAAUGCAAAAAUUUAAAUUUAAAAAAAAAAUGAAGAAGAAGAAAAAAAGAGUACCUUUGAAUGGAAAUAGAACACAAUCUCUCUCUGUUUCUCUCUCUGGAGAUGUCUGCCUCUGUCUUAACAGAAUGGCUGAGGUACCCGCCCUCUUGUUUUAAAAAAGGAAGCUCUCCCAAAUGAAAUUCAGCUUAAAUGAACCUCAAAUUCGCUCUCUCGAGAUCCUGACCGUCGGCUACGAAUAUCUGAUCAACGGACCCCAUGACGAGUCACGUUGAUGGUGGAAACAGCUGGCUCACUUUCGGUCUUUGCUAUUGCGAGGACUGAUAUGCCCCUGCUAUUAGUGGCCAAUGGCCCACCCGUCCUUUGUGUUUAUGACCAAGGACAUAUCAGGAAACAUGCCCAUAUAGUACAUCGAAAUGUAACUGCUCCUUAAUAAUAAUUGAGUUAUUAAUUAUUUUUCUAAAAUUUGAAAUAGUACUUAAUAUAUCAGAUUUUGAGUGAUUUUAUUUGCUGAGUACAUAAGAUUUAAAACGACGUUUGAAAAAAAAUAAAAGAAAGACACUCACAUUAGUUGGCAUUUUGAAAAUUUAAAAUUAAUUUUAGUUAUUAGAAUAUUACUGAGAAGCGUCAUCUACGACUCUUGUUAGUGAACUUACAAAAAAAAAAUGAGCUCACAUAAUUAGUUUUUUUUGUCAUUAAUUAUUGAGUAGUGUGAUGUAUUUGAAUAGGUUGUUUCAAAAGCACAUCAAAACUCUCGAAUGUAAUGUUAUUUUCAACUUUAUGGUAUAUGAAUAAUUUUUCAGUCAACAUGGUCUAACCCGAUAAAAAAUGGUUUUAGUUUGUAGACCAGUGAUCUCAGGUUCAAACCCUCAUAAUAUUUUGAUAGUGCAUGUGCGAGAAACCCCUUCUUCCAUUUGUAGUUUAGACUAUCGUUUGUAUUUGAAAAAAAUAAAUUUCAAAAUACAAACAUCAUCAUAGCAUGUAUGUGUUGUUUAUGAUGUACCGAAUUGACUCAAAUUAUAACACAUAUCAAUAAUAAUAAACUUGAUACACAAUUUCUCUAUAAAAUAAAAAUAAAAAAAAAAAAAAACUUGAUACACAAUACACCAUUUUAGCACACCACAUGGUGCAUCGCAUGGUUAGAUUUAUGCAUCUAUUUCAAGUCACCUAGACAAACCUACAUGCCAAUUAGGUGGGUAAAGUUCACUACUUCACUACCAAAUUUUGAUUUCCAAAAAUGCCCUCACACUUGUAUAGUUGUCAAAUAAUAAAGAGUAGGGGGGCAAAUUGGUCACACAAAAUAUAAUUUGCAUUCUAAGUAGGAUGCCCUCUUGAAGCACUUUAUUUAAGUGGGAGGAUGGGGGUGUGUGGGGUUGGGUGGUAGUAAUCAUACAUGGGACGGUGCGAAAAGAGCAAAUGCCAACUCAGCAAUUCCGUUUCCAACUAAUUGGAGAUCAUGUCGGCGUGUUUGUUCCGUUAGACGUUGACCAGGUGAAUUAGUCAACAGCGAAAUCAACGCAUUUUUAGCAAAAACUUGAUACACGAUACAAAAACUUGAUACGCAUUUUUAGCCAACUCAGCAAAAACGUUGACCAGGUAAAAUAAAAAUAAAAAAUAAAAAAAACUUGAUACACAAUACACCAUUUUAGCACACCACAUGAUGCAUCGCAUGGUUAGAUUUAUGCAUCUAUUUCAAGUCACCUAGACAAACCUACAUGCCAAUUAGGUGGUAAAGUUCACUACUUCAUUACCAAAUUUUGAUUUCCAAAAAUGCACUCACACUUGUAUAGUUGUCAAAUAAUAAAGAGUAGGGGGCAAAUUGGUCAUACAAAAUAUAAUUUGCAUUCUAAGUAGGAUGCCCUCUUGAAGCACUUUAUUUAAAUGGGAGGAUGGGGGUGUGUGGGGUUGGGUGGUAGUAAUCAUACAUGGGACGGUGCGAAAAGAGCAAAUGCCAACUCAGCAAUUCCGUUUCCAACUGAUUGGAGAUCAUGUCGGCGUGUUUGUUCACGUGCGGUCACAUCCACGGACACUUGCACGCACCGCCCAUGUUCUCGUCGAUUGUUCCGUUAGACGUUGACCAGGUGAAUUAGUCAACAGCGAAAUCAACGCAUUUUUAGCAAAAACUUGAUACACGAUACAAAAACUUGAUACGCAUUUUUAGCCAACUCAGCAAAAACGUUGACCAGGUAAAAUAAAAAUAAAAAAUAAAAAAAACUUGAUACACAAUACACCAUUUUAGCACACCACAUGGUGCAUCACAUGGUUAGAUUUAUGCAUCUAUUUCCGUUAGACGUUGACCAGGUGAAUUAGUCAAUAGCGAAAUCAACGGCAGAUGAAACACCUAAAACUCUCUGAACUAAAACUCUCAAACAAUCGUCACAGACUCGUAACAUGAAAAGCAUAACUACCGGCAAAAGCUCACAAACGUGGUCACCCGUCUUGGAGGCAGGCUGCCUUGUAUAAAAGUUUCCUCUUUUUUUUUUCUUUUUUCUUUCCCCCCUCAUUUUUCUAAAUUAGGAAAUCAUUCUUAGUUUCUUUUUAUUUUUUAUAAACCAAUGCAUUCUUUUAAUAAUUCAUAAUAUUCCAAUGAAUCUUAAAUGGAUUUCAAAUUGUGUUAAGAUAUUGUCGCACAAUAUUUGAUCAUGUGACAAGUACAUAAAAAGUUAAUUGUGAUUAAAACAUUACAUGUGACGAUUAUUUUGUUAAACAAACAAGCGAUAUACCCAUCAAGGAGUAAGCAAGGUCGAUAAUCCCUAGGAAGUUAAUUUUCUUCCUAAUAUUUUAAUUGUUUGCCCAUUUAAUUCUUGAUUUUGUUUUCUUAAGAAUUGGGGCAGUGUUUUUUUUAGGACAGUGUUGUUGGUAAAAUGUCUCAUAGUGAAAACAAAUACCAAACAUAUGCGGGGCGCUGAAAUUUAUUUGAGAAAUUCUUCAUUUCAUCUUUACAAAAACAAAAAAAAUUCUAACCCAACAAUCGAAUACACACCAAAAUUGAUGGUGUCAUCUAGAGUUUGACAUUCAGGAAUUACCCCCCCAAUUGUCAUCUAAUCACCUCAUGGUUAAUUGAUUUAAGUAUAACCAGUUGCAUUGCAGUGAUAAUUGGCGAACAGAAAAAGUUGUACUUUUUGCUACAGUUAAUGUGUGGUAAAGCCAUUAUUUAGUGAGCAAGGGAGAUCCUAAUUGCACAUCUUUAUCCAUGUGAACAUCUUUGCUUUUGGGAUCGGUCAUCAUGGCUAGUUUGGUCCCGCUUGUAUGCUAAAAGAAGCACUUUUUUUUUUAAUAACCAUGUCACCUACUCAUCUAACUAUGUAUUGGACCAAUUAAAAAAUUUGGGUUAAGGGCAUGCUUCUUUAUUUAAAAGAGACAUGCUUUUAUUUAUUUAUUUAGUUUUACUUCUUUUCAUAAAUUCAUGGGUCCACAUAUUAUACUCCUUUACAUUUACCAUCCCUCAUUUUCAAUUGGACACUCCUCUUAAUAUUUUUGAGUCAUGUCUUAUAAAGUUACACAAUUUCUCUAACAGGCGGGGCAAUUGUCCAAUUUAAUACGUUUUUUGGUAUGGUUAGAAUCGAGUUUCAUUUAAUCGAAGGCCAAAGCCAGUUACACAAACGUUAUACCCAAAAAAUGAGUUCAACCAAAUGCAAUACAAAAGGCAUAGAGCCAACUAUAGUUAUUAAACUCAUGAAAGACAGGGUAAAGGCAUAAAGCCCACAUAAAAGAAAAAGUCCACAAAACACAACACACACUUUGGAAACCCUGAGACAAAGAACAUGGAAAUGUUGCACCACCCAAAACCCACGAGUUGCACCACCAACGCAAGACCCCCACCACCGAAGAAAAAAUGGUAACCAAAGCUACAAACAGAAAAUGGGUUAUGGUAGUGGGUGGGUGAUGCUUUUAAAGUGCAUAUGUCACUUAUUGCUUGAAUUAUAAUAGCGCUCUUUGUAACUUUGGUGGCUUAUUCACCACCAUUUUCCAAUUUAGUAAGUUCAAUCUCAUCAUUUGCAAGAACAACGAAUGUGCAAAAUACACUAAUCCUAUCUUGCCUAGCCCAAACGUAGAAGUCCCCAAAUAUGUUCAAGUUUCAACCAAUAAAAAGGAAGCCCAAGUUUGCCAAGGGCCUAUUUUGUCUUCAUGGCUUAUUAUGGCCGGGUCGACCCGACCCAAAAUAGCAUUGGCUUUCCAUAUUACAUCGGCGAAGCGUGAGCGUAGGUUCAGGGCCGUGGGCUUCACCUCUGCUUGCUUCCCUUCUCUAAGCUCUCUCUAUGUCUGUCUCUCUCUGAGAAUCAAUUCUCAGAAAAAAAAUGAAUAGAGGCAUGAAAGCGGCUCUCACGAACUCAAAACUCAACUGCUGCAUUUAUGUGAGGGCUGCCCUCUUUCAUUCUACCCCCGUCUUGGAUCGCAAGAGACGCAACUAUUGGGAACCUGUAAUUCUCUCUCUCUCUCUCUCUCUCUCUCUAUGUAUAUGUUUCUGGGUCAUGUUCCAUUUUGUUUAUUUUUAAUAGUGUCUGCUGAAGUUUGAAAAUUUCGAUGAUUUGAGUAUGCAUCAAUGAGAUGAGAAACCAAAAAAGAUUGAUACUUUUGGUAUUUUUUUCUUAACCUUAUUGAUUGCCCGUUCUAUCUGCUUUCUUUGGCUGUGAAAAAAUAAGUGGAAGUGAGAAAUAGACAAAUUUUUAUGGAUUAUGUUUCAUUUUGUUUUGGGAAUCUUAUAAACGAGAGUGUGCCUGAAAACAGGGUCAAAUGAAAUAGUUCAUUAGCUAAUAUAUGUAGAGGGUAUUGUAAGUUAUCUAUCUCAGAAGAUGAAUACUUGGGCUUCUGAGCUGAAGUUCAUUGAUUGAUUUUCUGCAUUUUCUCACCAAGUAGCCAGUGCAUUGUGGUAAAAUUUCAAGCUUUCAUAAAAAGACAAGUAGGCCACAACUGUCUCUUACUCCAUUCAUUAAUUUAGAGGUCCCACUUUUAGUUGAAUGGAAAUAUCAAAAUAAUAACCUUGAAUGCAAAGAGGAACUUUGAAAUGCUGAAUUUAGUAUGGUUAUAUUGACAUGGUAUCCAUCACUCGAAGGGGCAUGGAAACACAUAAGAACUCUUGAAUGGAAUUGGAAAAGGGAUGUAACUCUAGUUUCUUUGGAAAUGGUAAGAUCUUUGGCACAGGAAGUUGAUCCUAUUGAUCUUGACUUGGUUCUGAUCUAUGUAUUUCUCUUAAGCCCACAUAACAGCGCAACCAAGAUAGGUCUCUUUGCCAUAAUGCUUACCUUUUGAUUGAUUAAUAUGUUGUUAGUACCUGCACAAGUUACGUCAAAGCAUUGGCAUAGAUAUGUUAAUUCUGCUUAUCUUUCUGUGGGUCCAGUUUUUAUUAUUAUCAUUAUUAUUUUUUUUGUAGUUUACAAAAUGAAUUAUUGAAAGUUAUUCUGUUUCCUCUUAUGCUGUACAUUUCUUCAGUGCAUUUGAUAUGCAGGCCGUGUCAAUUUUAGGUUCAUCUGUAUCCAUUUGUUUCCUUACUCCCAUUCCAUCCCUUUUAAUUAUAAUAACUUAUAUUCUAUCUCUUAGUUCUGAUAGUGAAUGGAAAUUAUGUCAGUUGCUCAUAACUGUUCAUUUGCAGAGAUUCAACAACCAUUCAAGAAGGUCCAGAAGGAACCAUGCAAAGCAAACAUUACUGCGCAAUGUCAAUGCUUAUGCAGACUUCUUAUUUCAGGUUCUCUAUUCCUGCUGUUAAUUCGUUUUAUAGUAUGAUUGGGAAAAUGCCAAUUGUUGUUACAUUUAACUCUAAGAUUUUAAUUUUGAGACCUUGCAAAUUCUUGUGCUAGAAAUUUUGAAGUGUCAAAUGCAGUAGGUUAUUCUUGAGUUAUAAGGAAAAUGAGCACUGUCAGGUAGCAGUACCAGAGCAGUCAAUCUUUUUAUAUAUUUACUUAUUUUAGAAUACUUGUACAGUAAUGAAUCUCACUGAUAUAACACAUUUUCCCUUAGUUCCCCACUUUUGAUGAUUAUUGUUUCCAGGCAACAGUCUGUUUAUUUUUAGUGGUAUCUUGUCAGACAUGAUGGUUUCAAUUGAAUUUUUUUUCCUUUUUUCUCGUCCCGGUAAUGAUUUGAUAUAUCUCUAUUUCUUCAUGGGUUGCUCAUCUUUUGUAAUUUUAUACUGGCCUUUUCCAAUUUAUGCAUAGGUGAACAGUUACAAAUUUUGUCCUCUUCUGUUUUUGUAAAUUUUUAGAUUAUGUUCCAACUAUAUAUUUUUUGAAUGUUUCAGAGUUGGCAGAAGGAGUACGAUGAGGAUGAGCCCUCUUCUAGCAAAGGCACCUCAUGGUUUAAAAAGCAAUACUCAGCCAAGGGAUCCAAAAAGAAUGGGGGAGGCAAUCAAGGAGCCUGGAGUUCCGGCAGAAGUAAGGAAGUAUUUAUGCAGAAAAGGACAUGUAGUACAUCUUCUAAAAUUAGAUAUAUGAAUGGCACAUCUUUUUAACCUGGGUCAGGAUAGUGGGUCUGUCUUUUAGUUGGCUCCCAUUCAGGAAUCAUUUUGCCUGGAAUCUUUUACAAAUUUUGCCGAGCAGUUGGAAUAAAGCCUUUCAUGCGGGCUUAAGUGCGACAUUUGUUCGACAGAGACCACUAGGUGUAGUUUAGCUUGUGAGCCAUAUAUCAUGUAUAAGGACUCUAAAUUCAACUGAAGUAGGCGAUGCUCUUUUGUGAUGGCAUCAGAUAGGCACCUUUCACGUUCCUUACAUGAUUGAUGUUAUGUUGUGAUUUCUAAAUUCAGUUUCAUCAUCCUUGAAGUUGCAUAUGAUCUCAGUGCAAUUUGCAAUGCUAUUUCAGGAGGUUUCCAGUGCUUUGAAGAAGAUAUAGAUGUGGAGACCAUUUUCCGAUCCACGUUUGGUGGAACCAAAUUCUAUUAUUGGUCGUUCAUUGAUGAAGAGAGUUCGCAGUGGAGGAGCUCUUCAAAUCACUCUAACUAUGGUAGGUCCUGGAAUUGGAGACAACAGAAUAAGGAAGAAUAUGAAACUGAGUCUGAGUCCGAGUCUGAAAGGUCUGAGUCAGAUGAAAGGUUGGCCCUCGGAUUGAGUGCUUCUGGCCCUCUAACACUUGAAGAUGUCAAGAAUGCGUGAGUUCUUUUAGCAGGAUCACUUUUUUACUUCUCAGUCACUCUUUUCCACUCAUAUAUGUUAAUUUUGCUUCAUCAUCUAAUCCGAAUCCUACCUUCAUUUUAGAUACCGAAUCUCUGCGCUGAAAUGGCAUCCAGAUCGUCACCAGGGCUCUUCCAAGGUAUCAUCAACAUGCUCUAAUCAUUCAUUAGGAUUGUUUUUUAUAUUGAAUCUUUGAUGUGGAAUAUCACGAGUGUAAAGGAAGAGAGUCUAAUUUGGCUUAUACACGUAGAGAUGGAAAAUUAUUCUUUUUUUACCAGACUGGUGAGUGUGGAAAAUCAUUUAUGGGUACCAUUUACCUAGCAAUGCCCAGCUGAGUGACAUUGGUCGAAGCAAUUGUAGUGCAUUGAAGAUUUGUUACAAGUGGUUGGAGAUGUUCAAAUGCUUUACAUAAAUUGAGUGCUCAGACUUCUAACAGUUUUGCUAUAUUAAUGCAGGCUGCUGCGGAGGAAAAGUUCAAGCUUUGCAGUGCGGCAUAUCAAUCUUUAUGUGAUAAACUGGCUGUGAACUGAUGAUGUACCAAGCCGGCCUGCUAACUUAGUUUAAGUGCAGAGAUGCUAGUACAUGUAACAUAUCAUUAUAUUUUUAUUGAAGUUUGUAGUUUCUUUCUAGGCAAUUAAGGGACAGGCUUGAAUCCUGGAAGACCAGGUUAAGGUUGGGGGUUUAUCUCUAGGGUACGGAGGAAUGGUAGUUAUAGCUGAAAUUUGUUAUGAAACAGAACAAGGCUGCCGGUGUGGCUUUGAAAGGGUUCAGCCAGUGGAAUAAUUAUCCGACGAUGGCUGUUCACAGGCAGCCCCAGCUUUGCACUGCCGGAAGUAUGUAUGCCUAUUUUUAUUUUUAUUAUUUACUGAGGAUGUAAUAAACAGUAUAUUUUCUUUAUUAAUAUUGAGUCUUGGUGGAAAGAUUGAUGUGAAAAUAUGGAAUAUCAGUUUGAAAAGAAAUUUGAAUAUACAUGAACUUUUUGGAAGAAUUAUAUUAUCUUCCCAGACAAUUUAGCAUACAACAUUCAUUUCCUAAUCCGCAAAACAAAGGUGUGAAAGAAAGAAUAUAUAUAUUACCGAGUUAGAACCUCGGCUACGAGGGGCAUGCGCUUCUGUAUUUAUGAGAGAGUUUUUUUUAUAAAAUUUUAUAAAAUUAUUUUAUAAUUAAAAAAAAUAAUGGGUAGUUGUGUUUCAUAUAAAUAUGAUUUAUUACUUAAUUUUUCUUUUAAUUUUAAUAUGAAAAAAAUGUGAAUUUUUCAUAUUAUCUUUAUUUAAUUAAUAAUUUCAAUUCUUAAUGUUUGCAUUAACCAAGAGAAUUUUCUAGUAUUUUGAAUGUUUUACCAUUAUCUGCAUUUUACUAUAUAUAUAUAUAUUAAUCACUUAUAAUUGUAGUUUUUCUUUAUCACAAAUGAUCCCUAAAGUUUGUCAAAAUAUCACCUUUAGCCCUUUAAGGUUUUUUUUAAAAUAAUAUUAUUGGUCCUGCUAUCAGGUUCAAUUAAAAAUUUCUGUUAGAUUGUUGACGUAGACGCCACGUGGAUUAAACAAUGAUUAAAAAUGAAGAAAAUAAAUUUAGAAAAAAAUAAGCUGGUUAGAAGCUGGGGAUGGGUCUCUAGUUGGGGUAGGGCCAGAAAUUGGGCAGUGGCUAGGGGAUGGGUCUCGGGUGGGACUGGGGCUGGGGUGGAUGGGGGUUGUAUGGUGGCGUUGGGCUUGGGAGUUUUCUGGAUAGAGAGAAAAAUAGGGUGUGAGAGAGAGAGAGAGAGAGAGAGAGAGAGAGAGAGAGAGAGAGAGAGAGAGAGAGAGAGAGGGAGCGAAGGAAGGAUGAGGAAAAGAGGGAUUGGGGGUUGGAUCGAGGAAUUGGGAGUCUGUGAAGUUGAGUCGAUGAGAGGAGGUGGAUUGGGGGUUGCGGGAAAAGAGAGAGAGAGAGAGAGAGAGAGAGAGAGAGAGCUACGGGUGGGGACAAAGAGAUCAGAGGUAGAGGGUGGAGGAGAUGGAAGGGGAAGGGGAGGGUAGGGGAGACGGAAGGGAAGGAGGGGAUGGGGAGGCUGAGUUGAUUUUGUUUUCUCUUUUGUUUUUUUUUUUUUCUCAUUUCUAAUUUUUUUUAAAUGUUAAAAUAUUUCUUUUCUUAAAAAAAUGUUAAACUAUUUUUUUAAAAAAUAUUUUUUUAUUUAGAUUCACAUGGGAUGAUCUCAUUGGAUAUGUGGGCACCAUAUAUGUGCCAUAUGAUCAGUUUAACAGAAAAUUUGGUAGAACUUCACAACGAGACCAAAUUGAUGUGUGAGGUGUAAUAUAAAAGACCAAUAAUGUGAGAAAAAAUAAAAGAUCAAAGAUGAUAAUUUGGCAAACUUCAAGGAACAUUUAUGAUAAAAACCCUAAAUUAUAAGCUGUAAGGGACUUAUAGUUGAUAUGAAAAGUUGUAAGGGACUCGUAGCUCAAAUGGUUUAAAACCGUUAUUAUUGCAUUCGAGGUUGUGUUUAAAUCUCCUUCCCUCAAUAUCGCUUAUUACAACAUGAAGUAAAAGAUAAUUUAGCAUUUUUCUUCUUUUAUGAUUCUUAGGUAUAGAGAAUCAAAUUUGAGAAAUUUUCAAUGUUGUGUUGUGAAACAUAAAUACUGGACUAAUAGCUAAACCAAAAAAGAAAAGAAAAUAAUAAUGCUAGUGACACCGUUAGUUUACAAAAUUGGAGCCGAUGAAACUCGCGCAAAAUGGCUGAGUUAACGCGCGAUACCACUCCGUAAUCCGUAUUGGACAAAAGAAAUAGAAAAGCUUCUAAAAGGAAAAAAGAAAAAGAAACUGAUCUUGAUAUUGCCGUCACUCUUUCUGCAUUAUUUGGUUUCAGUUUAUUUGGUUGAUUAUCUUGGUAAAAAAUUCUUGAUAAACAUAUAAUGCUAAAAACCAGACAGAUCUUGGGUUGUUCAUCAGGCUUGGUUUCGCAUCGUUGGAAGCCCUAUAGCUCUACAGGCAGCAGGCAGGUGUCCUUCAUUUCUAUCUCCACCUGCUCCAAACCAUUAUUAUUAUCAUCAUCUUCUUCUUCUUCUUCGACAAUUAUACCGACAACAACCACUUUGUUACUUCCUGGGUCCUCACCUCGCCGCACUCGUUUUGGAGCUUUCAGCAUGUCCUCAGCUCAUUCUGGGCCAAACCCAGGUGGCCCUUCUUCUUCAGUCGCGGUUCACUCAGCUGUAAGCUUUUUUUGGGUCUAUUUCUUUUCGUACUGAUGGGUUUGGUUUAGAUUUUUGGGGUGCAUGCUCAAUUUAUUUGGUGGGUUCUAUUUUAUUUUGGUUGCUUUUGAGUAUGGGGAAAUGGGUUUGUGUUAUCUAAUGAGAUUAAGCGUUUUGCUUCUGUAUAAUUUAUAAUUGGGGAGAAAUUUGGUUGGCCUCUUCAUUCCGCAUGAACUGUUACCUCCAUAUGCUCCAUUGCAUAAUUCAAAGUUUAAACUUUGUGGAUAUUCCUGUGAAUUUAUUGGGUAGUUAGAACUUUCUUAUUCUUUUCCCCCUUUUGAUAUUUGAGUUGUCAUGUCUAGUUAUUGAAAUAGUAAUUGAUAGACGUAGCUAGAGAUUUUGACAGGACAAUGGUAUUGUAUCAAGUCAUCUAUAUGCUUUACUACGACAGUGCAUGAUUAUAACCCAGAUUGAGCAUUUCAUUUGUACUUUUUAACAUUUUCUUUUCAUUUAUUAUAGCCUACUGUGCUUUAUGAAUUGAAUUUCGAUUCCUAUGAAGGGCAAUGCUCGUAAGAUCAAUUUCUGCCAGUGGUGUGGUGGCCCAACAAAGCAUGAGAUACCUGAUGGAGAGGAGAAGAUAAGAGCUAUUUGCACGGUUUGUGAUAAGAUUGCCUACGAGAACCCAAAAAUGGUAUACUGUUCAAAUUAGCCUUUGUUUUGCAAUGACAAUUUCAUUGAGUUGUGCAUGUGCCAAUCCAGGAACAAGAGGUCCCAAGUUUUCCUUAUGUUUGAAAUUAGUUUAUAACAAGGUGCUUGAACUUCUUGGUUGGAAAUAGACUGAAUUUAUUAUGUUACAGAUUUGAAACAAAGUCUCUAUGUGAUCGGUCUAUUUAUUAGGAUUUACAUUUGGGUAAGUGCAUAACAAUUUAUCGAUCUCAUCUGUAGUAUCUUUAGAUUAUCGUUUUGUCUCCAAGUAACACCACCAAUAUUUUUACAUAUAAUAUUUAAUAUACAACAUCCGUGUAUGCCAUAUUUUUCAGGCAACUUCAAUAUUAGUCCCAAUUUCAGCCAGGUUUCCUCUCACUUAAGCAUAAAUAUCGAUCACAUGAUCACAUGAUAUGCAUCCUAACUUGAAUGAUUUUUGUAUUCUUUAUUCUCUUUGGAACUUAAUAGUGUUUGGGAAUUGUUCAGAAAUACUAUGUUGCAGAAGUUUUUGUUGAUUCCAAAAUCUGAUUUUGAUGGCAGUGCAAAAUAAAGGUUAUUUAUGUUAUUUUCUUCACCUGCUGUAUUUGAUUCACAUCAUAGUGUUAUACUUGAAAGGCUAUCCUGGUUAUUUUUUCCCCGGCAUUACUUAAGACGUUACUCUAUAAUAGAUCUGACAUGCAUGUGUGUGCCUUUACAGACUGACAUAGUCCUGUUUACUCUGGUUCUAUUGUAAACCAGUCUGGCCUGCUUACUUUUAUCUUCUUUUCAUUGUCUGGAGUCAGUUUCUAUAAAUGCUAAAAUUGAUUGAAUUUGAAAAGGAGGGAAAAAAGUGUAAUGUUGUGCGCUCGGUAUUUUGAUUGUGAAGUUCUAGAGCUAUGUAGUAUGUCACCUAAGUUUGGUCCUUAAUAUGAUUUGUGCUAUACAUAUUAGGAGUAAUUGUUUUAUACAAAUGUGACAUUAAUUUUGUUGUUGUUUGCUCAAAUGAUGCUUAUAGGUUGUGGGCUGUCUGAUUGAGCAUGAUAACAUGGUCCUGCUUUGCAAGAGGAAGAUUCAGCCAUCAUAUGGCCUUUGGUAUGUUUGUAAAUGGAUAAAGUAUUUAUCUGGGAAGGGUCAACUGACUAAUUAUUUCUGGAAAAGGAGAAAAAAAAUUAUGUUUUAAGCAUCAAGAUUUUAUUUAUUUAUGAUGUUUAUCUUAAUUUUCAUUGUUGGGUGUUGUCGUUUAGGACUCUUCCCGCAGGUUAUAUGGAAAUUGGGGAAUCAGCUACAGAAGGAGCAAUCAGAGAAACCUGGGAAGAAGCAUGUGCAGAAGUGGAAGUGCUGUCUUCUUUUGCUCAGUUGGACAUCCCACUAAUUGGCCAGGUCAGUGAGAAACUUCUCAUUAUUAACCUUUUAUUUUUGUUAAAUUUUUUGAUAUCCUAUACACUUGAUAAAGAUGUCUUUGUGUUCAUGUUGUGUUUUUUCAAACAGACUUAUGUAAUUUUCUUAGCAAGGCUGAAGAAGCCCCACUUCUCACCGGGUCCAGAAUCAUCAGAAUGCCGACUAUUUGCACUUGAUGAUAUACCUUUUGAUUCUCUGGCUUUUUCGUCGAUGGUAGUGACCUUAAAAUUGGUAUGGGCUUCUUGUGGAUGCUUUACCUAUUACCUUUAACAUCUAUUCAAUUACUUCUAAACAUUUAUCUUAUGUCACAAUUUCUUAUCUCUUGUGGCUGCAGUAUGCAGAAGAUGUAAGGGCCGGAAAACUUAAGUUCCACUAUGGUAUCAUCAAUAAAAAGUAGGUUCACAUUAUAUGAUAUUCCAAUGAGUAAACAAUAACUCAACUCCCGUACCUUAAUGAGUGCAAUUUCUGCUUUUUAAGGAUAAAAGUAAUUCAACCACCCCUAAUAUUGAAUUAGACAUUGUUGAGUUGUUCAAAUAUGGUUUCUAUUGAAUAUCUAAAACGAUCUUACAUGCUUGAUAUUUGUUUCAGGCCUGGCACAAGUCCUUCUGACAUUCAUGCCUAUACUUUGGAUUAUCAUCUGCAGUCCUGACAACAUGGUGAGUUAUCACAUUUUAAUCUUUUGGCAUUUCCUUCCCCACCUAGGAGUAUGAUGUUGUGACACUGUUGCAUGGAGUAAGUGGCCAGUUUGUUCCUUAAAAUCUAUAAAUUGUAGAUGGGGCAAUGUUUUUUAUUUCUUCUUUUGUAUUUAUCUAUAAUGUCCUCAACAUAAGUCUUCAUCUUUAUACUUAUUUAGGUUUGGUUAUCUCAUUUCCAACCCUUUUACUUUUCAAUGAUGGUUUUCAUAAUCCUAAUUUUUUGCCAGUUGCAGAACCCAGCAUUUGUAUGAAAAUUGGAGUUGAAACUUUUAAUCACAAUGGCAAAGUUGGGAUUGUAUCUUCGUAUAGAAAUGGAGCCGAUAUCUUCUCCAAGUCCAAGCCCAUUGUACGCAUUGGAAUUUGAUCUUGAUUCUACUACUCAGUUGUCUGCAAAAUGCGAAGUUAUUCAGCCCACAGUAGACUUGUGCAUAAUUCCAGUUCCCUCAUUCUGCAGUUGUCUCCAAUUGCUCACUUCUUCUGUAGAGAAUCAAAUUGUAUAAAGCAUGAACAUAGAUUAAAAAAUUAAUGAAAUUCUUUUUCUCCAUCUGAUGUUAAUUAUCAUUUUUCAGAACAAAGAUUUAUUUACUUUCCAGCUGAUAAUUAAUAUUCCUCAAGUAUUUUAUACCGGAACUUUUGGAAAUUGAUGUCAACCAACUACAAGUACUUCCUACAAGAAAACUUACCUUAUCAGAGGUUUCCGAAGUGUUGGAAGGUUGCGGGACGUGAUUGACACACUGUAGUCGUUGAUCGGGUCGGUCAAUUUGCAAAAUGUAGUCGGUUGAUGUGAAGCGGUUACAAGAUAAUUUUGCAGUGGAGCAGUUACUAGUUGGUUGUGUCGUUGUAGUUGGUGUUUUUUUCAUCCCGAUGAGUGCAACUUUUGUUCAUUAUCUACGGGCCCAAUUUUGCAUGUUGGUUGUUGUUCAGCAUACGUUACAGUGGUACUCUUUUUUUUUGACCGAAUUUUUUUCUAUUUAGAAUUUUUUAAGACAAGAUUUUAAUGAAGCUACUAUUGCUCCAUCAAGUUUAGCCUAAUGUAUUAUUUUAUGCAGUAGUUUUUUCUUUUUCAUUGUUUCCUCGUGAUCUUUUUAGGCCGCGAACCUUUUUAAGACUCCGCUCUUGUGUUCCUGGCUUUCACUUUGGCUUUCGGAUGUUGUCAUCAUCUUCCUUGUAUACUCUUAUAAUGUUUAAUACAACAUCUUUACCAACAAAAAAUAAAUGUAUAAAACAAACAACAUAAGAAAAGUUUCGGUUUCUUAUACAACAAAAACAAAUAAACAAAUUUGAUAAAGCAAACUAUAAAAUUAAUUUUUUAAAAAAAUUAAACAUACAAUAUCGUAGCAUCCACUGCAAAAGAAUUCAACAGAGUUGAGCUUGAAUGGUUCCAAAUCUCAUUAUUCUAAGUCCAACCACAAAUUUACCAUAAGUCACAAGAAAAAAUCAUCUGGUUCUCUCACGCAGGCCGUUGAUCUAGGGGCAACAAAGUCCACAAAAUCUGGACCCCACAUUUUGAUUACCAAACUUUGAACAAUUCAUACAUGUAGCAUACUGCAUACACCAUGCAACAAGUCUACCUUUCGUUUACUUGACUUUCAGUCUUCGCCUGGCCCUAAUUUUAAAUUAGGGUUUCGUAAUAAGUAUGAAUCUCAGGUUUCGAUCCUUCCAAUCCAAACCCUAAUAUCUCAAAUCAGACUCUGGAUUAGUGUUUUCAUGGAGAAGAGCAAUUCGUUCAAAGGCCCUCAAAACCCAUGGAGCGCCGAUUUAGGACUUGGCACCAGCGAUCGGAGAUUGGCGUUUUCGCGCCAAGCCUCGUUCCAGCAAUACCACGAACCACACACGCCGGUUUCGAUCAAUCUCAACGACUCUGAGGCGACGCCGUUUCUCUCGCGGAGCGUGUCGAGCAUUGACGUUCCUCCAGGGGCGUAUUUGGCAGAGGAAAAUGACAAGCUUUUCGGGGAACGAAGAGUUUCGGCCGAGAAAUUAUCCGUCUUGUUGGUUUUUGAAUCGGUGUUUCGGAUUUUGAGGUCCGGAAAUCGGUAUAUGAAGAGAUUGUUCUUGUUGAUUUCGCUUAAUGUGGCGUAUUCGACCGCGGAGCUAUGUAUUGGACUCUUCACGGGACGUAUAGGUUCGUAAAUUGUUAUUAAUUUCACAGUUUAUAUUUAAUCGAUGAUUUUAUUUUUUGAAUUUUGGUUGAAUUGUUGUGCUGUGUUUUCAGGUUUGGUGUCAGAUUCAUUUCAUUUAAGUUUUGGGUGUGGCUUAUUAACGUUUUCAUUGUUCGCUAUGGCUGCUUCUCGAAAGAAACCUGAUGCAAUUUACACUUAUGGGUAAGAUUGUUGUAUAUUUAUGGAUAUGAACACGAGUUGGAUUGUUAAUCUAUUUGGGUAUGUUUUAGAUUUGAUAAUCAUGUGUAUAAUGAAUUCCUUUUUUUCUAUGAAUCAGGUAUAAAAGGCUAGAAGUUUUGUCUGCUUUUACCAAUGCUGUAAGUAUCUCACGUUUCCCAUAUCAUUGCAAUUGUACCCACUUUUGUGCUAAAUUACCAAACUUUUUUAUGGAUUUUAAGUUAGUUUCUCUAUUUUUGGGUGAUGAUGUAUGCGUAGUACUUGUAUUUUGGGACUCUUUGAUUCUAUUACUUUUGGGAACUGGUGUAACAUUAACUGUGUCCUCCUACUUUCUGGGCAUUGGUAAUAGUCUUGUUUUAAUUCUCAUAUUGAUGUCAUUUAAAAACUUAAAUUUAUGUCAAUUUUUAAUGUACGUUUUCUUGGGUGACUUGCAAUCCAAGUGCCAUUAGUUUUGAUUUGGUUAGCUUGUUUCCGUGGCUACUUUCAGAUGAAACCUUUUCCAUGACCUAUAUAUGUUUUCACUUUAACAUCUUUUAUGCAUCUCAACUUGUUGCAUUGGAUUCCACUCCCUUUUCUUCUCAUUUAAUUAUUGCAUUACUUCCUUCCGUGCAUCCUCUCGGCUAAUAUGUGGACUUCGUUUUUGAUUCUGCUGCACAUGUAGACAGCUGUUUCUUUUGUUUAUGUCAUUCUCCUUGGCUGUGGAAGCACUUCAUGCGUUCAUACAGGAUGAAUCUGAACACAAGUAAGUUGGUUAUGGAAAUUACAAUGCCCAGAUACUCUACUACAUUCCUAGUUCUUUAUUCCAAUGGUGUGUCAAUUGAGUCUUCACAAUUUUGUGGUAUUUUGCCAUAUAUACUUAACACUACUGGGAUCUCAUUUGCUUUCCUUGUCAUUGCAAAACUUUUCUUUAUUCCAUUUCAUGUGUCUUCAGAUGGUUGUUUUUAUGGUGCACUCUUAUAUGUGUUAGGAAUCAUGUAUCUGAGACCUCUCCUAGUGUGGUUGAUUGACUAGCUAAGCAAUUCCAACUAGUGACUGAUUUCUGAGCAAGUUCAAUUCCACGCAACAUUAAAGUAUAAUUCUAGGAUUGUCUUCAGUAAGUCUUGUGGCACACAGAAUAAUGUUGUGCUGUCUCCUUACCAAAACAUUUGUAGAUUCAAGCGUUUGUUAGGUUAUCUUUAACUAAAACUGGGCAAUAUGACAAUUGUAUCAGAUAAUGAUUGUUUUGAAGUGAUCUCACUAGUACAUAUGUUUUUAUGUGUGAAUAAUCAUUCUAUUUAUCUAAUUAAAUUGGGCCAAUUUUCAAAAAAUUAAUUUUGCACUGCUCUUUUCAUUAGAUGAAUCACUGCAUAGAAACUUUUUGGUUCCUGCUUUUGUGGUUGCAGUUUUUCUUAUGGCUCUUAUUGUCUGCUAAUUAUCUGGUUAUAGGCAUUACUUGAUUGUUUCGGCAGUGACAAAUCUACUGGUGAAUCUUAUUGGUGUUUGGUUCUUCAGAAAUUAUGCUCGUGUCAAUCUUGGUAAGUUUCCAGCUGUAGUUUAUGUUUUGGUGUUGUGACCCAUUUGUGAUUUCACUGUAUGAAAUUUACCAUGGUACUUGUUUAUGAGAGCUACUUCACCUACACCUAGGUUUAGUCUAUUUGAGUUCUUUGAAAGUUCAGGCUAAUAGAUUCAAUAUAUACCUUGGUACAAGUGCAACUUAGUUAAAAGUUUGCAUUGAAGGCCGCCAAGUCAUCUAGUUUUUUUCCCCCACCUAAAUUAUUGCUAUUGUACGAAAUUGAUAGAGAGGUUUUGGCAUAGCAAUUCGAAAGUAAAACUUUCUAUGAAACAUCAGAAUGAUGUGAUUAUAUUCCGUACAUUUUCAUCAGCCUCAUUGCUGAUUGUUUGUAUUUUCCAGAGAUAUCUGGUACUGAUAGUACUGGUGUGUCCAUCAGUGUUCCCUUAUUGUGCAUAAAUGAUUCUUACUCUUUUAAGGGCUUUGCUUUUGAGUAUGAGUAUUGGAAAAUGAGGUGUUUCUUUCCCUCCUGUACAUGUUUUUUCAUAUGGUCUACACAUGUCAUGCAGUUUACAGAAACGCAGAAGAUAUGAACAACCACUCAGUUUGCCUGCAUGUUCUUGCAGAUUCCAUUCGUAGGUAUAAUAUGCUCCCUUCUCGUCUCUAUCCCUCCAUUUCUAUUUCUCUAGUAAACUAAUUUCCUUGUGUGCCUGCAUGUUCCUUUUAUAUGUAUUUCUCAUGUGAACUUUCAUCUGACACUGGUAAAUGGAAAUUUGUUUCCCAGUGCAGGGUUGAUAUUGGCAUCUUGGUUUCUGUCUCUGGGGUAAAUACUGUUCAUUCUCUCUCUACUUCUCUUUUCUGUUUUCCCUGUUUUUCUUCCGAUGUGAGAUCUGUUUUCAACUGUAUAGGGUUCAGAAUGCAGAAGUUUUGUGUUUCGGACUAGUUUCAGUUGCAGUUUUUAUGCUUGUAAUGCCAUUAUUUAGAGCGAGUGGUGGUAUUCUACUUCAAAUGGCACCACCAAACGUUCCAACUUCUGCAUUGAGCAAAUGCUGGCGACAGGUAGUGUGAAUUUAUUGCAGUAUGGUUUAAUAUUAUGUUUUGUUAGUAUUGGAGUUAUUGAUGUUUAAUUUGGCAUUAUAUUUUUUGUCAGAUUACUGCCCGCGAAGAUGUUUCUGAAGUUUCUCAAGCACGGUUUUGGGAAUUGGUUCCUGGUCAUGUUGUUGGCUCACUUUCAAUACAGGUAACAAUCAUUGGAAAUUAAGUUCUAUUUCUCAGUAAGGGUAUGCUACCUUUUGGGGCUGAUUUUAGUUGGCGAUGCUAACAGGUAAAGAAGGGGAUAGAUGAUCGCCCCAUACUUCAAUUAGUGCAUGGUUUGUACCAUGAUUUGGGAAUACAGGACUUGACAGUGCAAGCUGACAAUGUCUGAGAGUUUUGUUUCUGGUUUCGGCAUUGAUUGACAUUUGGUGAAGAUGGUGUUGGGUUGAAGUCCGACAUAUAGAUUUGUUCCCAUUUUCUCGUUUGAAACCAUGGUAUUACCAGUUGGCAAAUAUUAGAAAAUAUAAGAGAGGAGUUUGAUUGGAUCUAUGUCAUUGUAAUGAAAUAUUAUUCUCUUUUUAUUAAAGAAAAUUAGUUGCUCUGGUAUCGGAGGUUUAUGGUUCUGUUCAUGUUUUUGUGGUCUUUCAUAUUAUGAAUUGUUGCAAUUAGCAAAAGGGAGGUGGUAUUGAAGGUUAAAGUUAGCUGGACCUAAAAGAGAUAUGUCAAAAAUAACAUAUAAAAAAAUUUGAUGUCAAAUAUUAUUUUAAUGUUAAUUUAAUUAUGGACCUCACUAUCAUUUACUCUCGUUUAAACUUUGUGCAUCAUAUAUGGGUCCUAUUUGCUUUUAAAAAUAAAAUGAAAUAAUGUGAUAUUUGAUGUUUCGGGUGGAGUUAAUUUUUUUUCAAAAUGUCAAAUUGUCACAUAAGCCAUCAAAUUCAAAUUUAACAUUUUGCAUUUGACAUCUCCCUUGUAGAUACUCUAAGAAGUCACUUUGUUAACUGCUGAGGUGACAAAGUGGGACUGAUUUUUGCCACAUCAGCAAUUAAUAGAAUUUUUAACGGUCUUGUUAACAGAGGGGCUUGGUGUAGGAUUUCUGUAAGUUUGAGUAUGAGUUUGUAGGAUUUUUAUAUACACCUGCCCAGCGCCUAUGCGCCACGUGUCAAACAGGUAGCGGAUGUACUAUUUUUAAAAAAAUUUAGAAAAAAGGGUAUAGCUGCACGGCGGUACUAUUUUAAAAAAACAAUUAGAGAAAAACUGAGAUUUUUUUAAAUAUACAUUUUUUCAAUAAUAUGUGAGAAUUAUGUGUAUAAUACGUGAAUUUUGUGUCUUAUUGAAAUUUUUGUAAAAAAUACGUGUAUUAAACAUGAGAAAUACGUGCGUACGUAUAUAAUACAUUAUUAAACGUGAAAGUGCUAAAAUCUUUAUACAGGUAAUAACUUUGGAAAAGUGAAAAAUAAAAAAGGGACAAUAGAUACUCGAGUAAUGGCCUAAUAGUAACGGAUAGGGCUCUUGGGCUAUGGAGAAAUUUAAUUAAGACACCCAAACGAUUUCACAAAAGACUUAAUAAAUAUAAAUUAAUUAUAUUGUGGAUUUUUUCUUUCAUUUUUUUAAUAUUAAAUAAUAAUUAAAAUAUAAUUACUAAUUAAAGUAAUUCAAAAAGGCUAAGAUAUUACUCAAUUACAUAUAUUUAAUUAAAGAAGUAGGCCAAAAAACAAAAGUAAAGAAACUAUUUUUUUUAAAAAUAUUUUAAAAUAAAAGUAAAUUUAGGUUUUAGUCAUAAAAAAACUUUCACUUUUGAAAAAAGCCAAAGCUUUUUAAAAAAAGACAAAAAAACCUCUCAACUUUCAAAUCAAAGACAUGCAAAUGUAAAGUAUUUCUAAGAAAAUCCAAAAAUAAAUAAGGGCAAUUUUGUCCAUUUUGGCUUCUUUUAAAAAAUUUCUCUCUCCUUUGGACUUUUUCAAAGUCUCCCAAAAAUAAAAAACCUGUCCCGACAAAAGUUCGUCGGCACAGGUCUAUGCCGGCGAAAUUUCCUUGAUGAAAAUUUCUUUUUAAAACGUAUAGCCGCACUGCUAUACUAUUUAUAUAUUAAAAAAUUAUUGCCCAUCGCAUAUGUGCCACGUGUCAAGCGAGUAAGCCGGGCGGCUAUACUAUUUUUAAAAAAAAUUAGGAAAAACGGGUAUAGCCGAACGGCUAUACUAUUUCCCAAAAAAAAAUAAUCAAAAAAUAAAGUAUAGCCGGCCGGCUAUACUCUUAAUAUACACACGCGUCCAGCCCUAUGCUCCACCUGUCAAACAGGUAGCGGCUGUACUAUUUUUAAAAUUAAAAAAAAAAAAGAGUAUAGCCGCACGGCUAUACUAAACAAUCUGGGAAAAACUUAGAUUUUUUUAAAUAUACAUUAUUUAUUUUCAAUAAUAUAUGUGAAUUAUGUGUAUAAUACGUGAAUUUUUUGUCUUAUUGAAAUUUUUGUAAAAAAUAUAUGUAUUAAACAUGAGAAAUACGUGUGUACAUGUGUAAUACAUUAUUAAACUUUAAAGUGCAAAAAUCCUUAUACGGGUAAUAACUUUGGAAAAGUGAAAAAUUAAAAAGGGACAAUAGAUACUCUUGUUAUGGCCUAAUAGUAACGGAUAGGGCUCUUGGGCUAUGGAGAUAUUUAAUUAAGAUACCCAAACGAUUUCACAAAAUACUUAAUAAAUAUAAAUGAAUUAUAUUGUGGACAUUUUCUUUAAUUUUUUUUAAAUAUUAAAUAAUAAUUAAAAUAUAAUUACUAAUUAAAGUAAUUCAAAAAGGCUAAGAUAUUACUCAGUUACAUAUAUUUAAUUAAAGAAGUACGCCAAAAUUAAAAAAAGGCACAAGUCUAUGGCGGCGAAAUUUCCCAGAUUAAAUUUUCUUUUUAAAAGGUAUAGCCGGACAGCUAUACUAUUUAUAUAUUAAAAAAAGGUGAGCCCAUUGUAUAGGUGCCAUAUGUCAAAUUAGUAAAGCCGGCCGGCUAUACGAUUUUUAAUAAAAAUUAGGAAAAACGAGUAUAGCCGUACGGCUGAGCGAUUUCCUAAACAAAUUAAAAAAGAAUCUAGUAUAGCCGGGCGGCUAUACGCUUUAUAUGGGAUUUCUUCAAAGGUCAUUAUUUAUGUAGUUGAUCCUUAAUUUUAAUUUGUAUUAUUAUUAUUAUUUAUUUCUAGCUUCUUUUGCUUCCAAGUUCUAAUUCUACAACAUGUAUACUAUAAACUUUAUUUUUCAUAUUAACUUGACAAAAUCAUUUAAUCUGUUAUGUGACUCAGAAACAUUUCCAGGAAAGAAAUAGAAUGAGACAGACAGUGGCUGCAGCCUGGUGGAAAACCAGCCCUUGGCUGUGAGCGGAUUUAAUUGCAAGGUAAAAAAAACAAAAGUGGUUAAAUAAAACGUCUAUUACUAAAUAAUUUGCAUAUUACAAGAUCAAAGCUUAAAGCUUUAAAGCAGAGGGGUGCCUUAUAUACUUACACAAACUGCUCCCUUUGGAAUAUUUUUCCACCCCAAAAUAAGAAAAUGUUUUCAACCAAAUUACAUGAGAGAUAAAGGUUCUCCACAAAAAUUUGAGACUCUGAAAUUCAAAGUCCUAAUGACUUACCUCUACAACUUUUACUUUACCCUUCUCUUUGAAGCAAAGUUUCAUUAAAUGAAUUACAUUGACAGAAGAGCAAGGUUUCCUUUCUAGCUUCUUGGCCAAGUCAUCUUCCAGUGAGUUCUGUGAAUGGUGGUAUUUGCCCUCCAGCCAGAUCAAAUUCUGUGUCCUCUUUGAAUGAUGGAGGCAUGGCUGGCCACACAAAAGCAGGCCUUUCAGUGGGCAGUGCUGGUGGAUCUGCUUCCCUUGUAAGAACCUUAAGGACAGUUCUCGUGGAUGGCCUCAGAUGGGGGUUCGGGUGGCAGCAAGAUAACCCCAAAACCAGAACACAUGCCAUAUCAUCCUCAUCAAUGUCUCCAUCCAAUCUGGAGUCAACAGCAUUAAGGAUCCUUCCUCUGCUGUAAAGAUCCCACAGCCAAUACACUAUGCUGUUGUUGUAGUUGUUCUGCUCGUUUUGAUUACUAGGCCUUCUUCCACAGACAACUUCUAGCACAAGAACACCAAAUGCAUAAACAUCUGUUUCGACAGUAGCCCUGCCGGUAAGAAAUGUUUCUGGAGCCAUAUAGCCUGGUGUUCCUGCAAUCUCUUUGGUGGAGUGGUGAGUUAAACCACUUUGUUGGAUGGUACGAGCCAGUCCGAAGUCUCCCAGCCUGGCUAUGAAAUCUGAGUCUAACAUGAUGUUGCUGGCUUUUAUGUCUCGAUGAAGCACUCUCUUUUCGCAUCCAUUGUGAAGAUAAUCGAGUGCUUGAGCUACCCCAAGUAUUAUGCUGUGCCUUCUUUCCCAGCUCAGUGUUGGUUCCUCUUUCUCCAUCCCUAACGUGUCAUCCCUGAAUACGAAUCUGUCUAGGCUUCCAUUUGGCAUGAACUCAUAGACGAUAAGAAGCUCAUGUCUUUCAUAGCACCAUCCAAUUAAUUUGACCAGAUUUUUGUGACGAAGUCUGCCGAUUGUGGUGACUUCUGCUAUGAAUUCUUGCUUCCCUUGACGUGAAUCCUUUGAGACUCUCUUGACUGCUACCUCUUUGUUUCCCAAGAGGCCCUUAUAGACUGUUCCAAAGCCACCUUUUCCGAGCUUGUUCUUGGGAUUAAAUCUGCCUGUUGCUCUUUGAAGUUCUUUGAGUUUGAAUUUUUUGGGGGCCAUGGAAUUUGUUUGAAUCUCUUCGUCUAUCUGCAGAUGUGCGUCCUCCUUUUCACCUUGUCUUGUCCAGAACAAGUAAGCAGAAACUCCAGUUACCAAGACAAAUACUGCAGGGACCGUAAUCCAAACCCACAGCAGGUUUGAAUUUUCAUCUAUAUGUGAAGAGUGGAAAUCCCAUGACCGUAUGCAGUUUAGCUGAGUGCUAUUGCUUGUGGAAGCUGAGAAUCCCACAUAGACCUUCUGUGAAAGAUACUCAGAGAGAUCAAGAGUGCGAGACAAAACUGGAAUAUUCUUCAUUUCCUCCCUAGUUUCAUUGGUCUGGGAAACAAAGAUGGCGAUGUUCUGGCUGUCAUAGCGAAUUGUCACUGUGUAAUUCGUUUGGCUUGAAAGAUUAACACCAUAGCUAAGUAAAGGAACUUGUUGAAUUGAGUAAACGCUGUUUACAUCCAAGCCCACAUGGUUGUCAUCUACAUCUUCCAAGUAGCUCUUUCUUGUGUCGAAUUCUACUGCCACUAUGUUAGCCUGAGCAGAUCCAUUUGAACUUGCAUUUACAAUUCCAAGCCAUUCUCCUUGGCUCUUCUCUGGAAGAGUGGGACUUCCGGUUACGAUAAAGGCCAAGCCUUCACCACCUGGAUCGGUUUGGGGAGUGAUGUUAAGUACAAAGGUAGAAUUGAACAAUGCUCUGCUGCGAGCACCGCCUUUGCCUUUUCCCCACAGCUUGAAUGGCUUUUUAUAUAAAAACCUUCCAGAUUGAUUCACGAUGGAAGCCGGGUUACUAAGAUCAGGAGUGAUCUGGAUUGCACUAUAAUAUAUGCGUGAAUAUUCGGAUUUAAUGAAAUCCUUUUCAUCUAUGUUGUCUCGAAAUGUUGGAUAGCUGAAACUCAAGCCUUCUGCUGGAGUAAGAGCACCACACAAGAGGGCUAAUAGGAGUGCAGACCUUUGUAGUGAAGAAAGUUGCAUGCUACUCAUGAAGAUUAUAUGAGUAUAUAUACAGAGUUUAGUUUGUUGCCUUUUGUUUUUGGCAAUAUAGGAUACAGAGUUUGAAACACAGAGAAAUUGAAGGAAGAAGUUGAGCUUUCAAGGUUCAAGGAGAGCACAUUCUUUUGCAAGAUAUUUAAGCUAAUUGAGGUCAGACUAACGGCUUGUAUUAGGAGGAAACUUCUUUGUCAGUUUUCUCUACUUUGCUGUACAUACCAUGGACUUAGAAUUAUAUUUUUAUACAUAUAUUCAACAUCAAGGUGAUUGCUUGUGGGUUUGUAUUGUACUACUUAUUCUAUGUUACAUCAAGGUUAUCUGAUACAGAGUUUGAGAGACCGAGAAAUCGAGGAACAAGUCGAGCUUCAAGGUUCAAUGAGGAGGGCAGAUUCGUUUGCAAUAUUUAAGCUAAAUUGAAGGUCAGACUAAUGACUUGCAUUAGGAGGAAACUUCUUGAUAAAUUUCCUCUACUUCUCUACUUGAAUGUUUUAAAGGCAUGUGAGAUCAACAUACCAUGAACUUGGAAGUAUAUUCAUUAUUUAUAAGCGGUAGAUAACGCAACCAAACACAAAAUGAAGCUUUCAGUCUCGCAAAGCAUCUGGCCCCCCCCCCGGAAACGGUCAGCGAACUGAGGUCAGGCAGUGCAUAAACUCUCAUAUAUAUUCUAACACUAAAGUCAAUAGAAAAAUAGUUAUUGAAUUGGUUUGUUUCCUAAUGAUAUCUACAAGGAAAGUUCAUGUGAGCAUCAAAGUAACCUCAUCCGCAAGAAAAAGAUAAUGAAAAAAAUACAAGGAGAAAAACAUGUUCUGUCUCAAGCAGAAGUCUAAUUUUGGCUGUAUUAGCCGAAUUUAAAAGAGAAAAGUGAAGUCUUCUAGAUGAAAGUUCAUGUACCUAUACCAGACAGAAAAUCCUCUGCUUAUAUAUAUGUUCAAUUCAAUUUGGAAUUGUGUCUUGCCAUGGAAGUUAAGAGGUCUCCAGAAAGGAAAUUCCUAAGAAGCUUGAGGUUGAUUAAUUCCCAUAUAAAAUUUAGUUACCGUGUUAUGACCUCUUCAGCUGUGAUGUGGUACGAUAAUCACUAGCAGCUGAGGCCAGGCUUUGAAUAAGUGAAAUUUUCCAUGGAGGUAUGUACCGAAAAAUAAGAUAAAAAAAUUGCUUCAACGGAAGAAAUCAACGCCACGAGAAAAAGAAAAAUUAAAACUAUUAGUAGUGGAACCACUCAAUAUAUAUUGUAUUUUUACUUUGUCAGUUUCCAAUACAUUCUUCAACAGUAGUUUAACACAUGAAAUACACAGAUGGAAGUUGCACUCUCUACAAGUGAAGCGGGUUUUUGUAAGAUCAAAAGCACCACAACCACGACAUUGUUUGGUCUGGAUCUGUGUUCAAGAAGAGGGGGUGUUCACGAGCCUCGUGUGUAAGAGAGUCGGAAAGAGUACUACAUUAAUGUCAAGGUAGAAGCCGCUAAAACAAUAGGACAAGCCCAACUACAUGUCCAGCAAGCAUCAUACUCAAACAAGCUAUUUAAAGGAGCUCUUGUGAAGAGUGUGAGCUGGUGUAGGUGAAGUAGAUGAACUCUCUUCGUAGGUAAUUGGGCACAGGUUCUUACACUGAUCUUGCUACAGGUGGCCUGCAGAUAACUUUGGGAGUUUCAUUCAGAUUAAGUUCAUCAAGCACUAUACUUCAAAAAUUUCAUAUCUUUCACACUUUAAAAAAUUUCACAUAAAAAAAACCUUGAGGAGAAUUGGAAUUGGAGCUUCAAUUGGGAGUAUAAGAAUUCUCAAAUUAUUUGAUUUUCAAAUUCAAGGUAGUAACGAUUUACCUCGAAUACGACUAUUGAUUAGUCUUACUUAAAGUAAUAUUAUUAUCACAGCUUUAAACAAAACUACUGAAUGAUUGAUUAUUCUGGUGUUAGUUGUUACCUGUAUUGAGAGUGAGCCAACAACAUGACCAGACACCAAUUUCCAUAGCUGAGCUUGAGAAACUUCAGAAACAUCUUCAUGGGCAGUAAUCUAACAAAAAAGGGAAAAAAAUAACAAGUAAAACUAAACAUCAAUAAAUUCAUUUACAAAUAAAGCCUAAUAUGAAAUACAACAAUGCUGAAAUAAAUGUCCACCACCUUUCGCUAGAUUUUCUCAAUGUUGAGUUGGAAUGUUUGCUAUGUUGAAAGCCUUUGUAUCAAUAUCAGGCAUUAUUGCAGCAAUUUAGGUAAUUAUUUAUAUAUAUAUAUUAUUUUUAUAUUUGGUCUUUGAUGUUAAGUUUUAACCUAGUUUCUGUUGCACCAAGCUAUUACACACUGAUGUUUCAAAGAACUGAAAACAAUACAUGUUUAUAUUAACUAGACUAAAGUGGGUUCCAUCACCAAAACAUAAACUACAGCUGGAAACUUACCAAUAGAAUUACUUGGAGAAACGGUUAUCCACAUCAAGAUGGUCCUUGGACAACUUAGGGCAUUCCAUAACUUCCAAAGUCACCGGAGCUUGCAAUUUUAUCCCAAUGCGCGUCAACUCUGGCAGUUCCAACAGAUACAACGUCCUCAACUUUUUCAAUGUAGAUCCAGAUGGUGAAUCACUUUCAAACAAAGUUGUCAAUCUCUCACAAAAUUGAACAUGGAAAAUUUCGAGGUUUUCUAGCAGCUGGGAUGAGGGAAAGGCACUCACAAUCAUUGGACAGCAAUCUAGAUACAAAUGUUUAAGGUUCUUAAAGCACUCCAGAUCCUCUUUCCCAUUGUAUAGACUGCUCAACUUUGGAAGGUUUGAAAUCCAAAGAAUCUCUAAACUGCUCCCCAGUCUGACAUCUGCCUCUUCUCCACGAAGAAUGCUCUUAAUUUCACUGCAUCUCUCAAUCCAACAGCCUUUCAUUACCUUCACAUUAUCAGCACCUAUUUCAGAUAGGCAACUUAUACGGUCAUUAUCAACCAAGGAUAUAUAAUCGGCAUGCUGCAGGACACUUUCAAAACCUUUAGGAAGACUAUAUGAUCCAUGGAUUUCCAAAGACCGAUCGUGCUCUUUAGGAAAAUGCCUGGUGUAGGAGUACAGAUCUCUGAAGAAAAGUUCAUCUUUGCAGCCGUUGAUAUCUCCAUCUUCGCCUUGCUUCUCGAUCACAGAGAAAUGAAAUCUUUUGAACUUUGUUUCCCACAACUGUGGAUUUUCAUCCAAAAACUGAAAAAUUGUAGAACCACUUACAGAUAUGGAAGGCUUGUCACCACCAAUAUCAGCACACUCAAAGAUGCCACCUUUGUCACAGUUCACCUCUUGUGGUAUACGCUUUAUCUUUCCCAAGUCAAUAUCAUGCAUACUCUUCAAGUCUGGCAGAUCAAGGUGCUUUAAAUCAGUCAACUCAGAUAUCUCAUAGGGAAAUUUUUCUAUUCUGGUUCCUGACAGAUUAAGAACCUCCAGACGACCAAGAGAACUCAGAUUCUGCAACUCUUUUAUCCCCGAACAAUCUUUUAGCAAGAGCUGGCAGAGGUUGCUAAAACUUUUUAGAGGUGGCAGACUCCCAAUUGAUGUUCCAGAAAGAUCAAGAAUCUCAAGCGAAGUUAUUGCUUCCAGAUUUGGCACAGUUUCUAAGGAUGAACAACCUUUUAGGGAGAGCUGUCUGAGGUUUGUAAGUCUGGACAUGGAGGGUAGCUUUGUAAGUGGGGCUCCAGAUAGGUCAAGAAUUCUGAGGUGAACCAUCUGCUCCAGGAAUUCAGCUUUAAUGCCAUUUAAAUUAAUGGCACCACAUAGGUUGAGUUCCUCAAGUUUUAACAGAUGGUCAAGAGGAGGAAGGUCUUUUAAGUUUUGGCAAUUUCUGAGUACGAGGUGAAGGAGGUUGCUGGCUUUGGGAACAGAUGGAAGGAACUCAAUCCUAGUGUCUGAUAGGUUGAGUGUCUGAAUAUGAGACAUGUUCUCAAAGGAUUUAUCUUGUAUUUCUUUCAAAUCCCUGCAACCUGAAGCAUCAAGAAUCUCUAAUUUGUCAAAGGCUUUGAGGUCUGGCAAACCAACCAAUGCCACACAACCAGAAAGAUUAAGCUCCUGGAGUCUUUUAAGGCCUGCCAUCUCUGGCAAUUUUUCUAAGCAUGAACAAUCCAUUAGCAAGAGUUGGCGAAGGUUAACUAGGUUGGACAAGGACGGCAGUGCUUUUACUUUGACUUUCGAAAAGUUGAGAACUCGAAGGAACCUCAUAUCUUCCAAGGAUUUAUCUUCAAUUUCAGCCAAAUUGCUAGAACCCGAAAGGUUAAGUAGUUCAAGCUUUUUCAUUGCUUUUAUGACUGGCAGUUUCACAAGCUUAGAACAAUCUCUUAAGUGGAGAUCAGAAAGGUUGCUUGUGCUUGAAGGUAUACUACUAAUUUGAGUGCUGGAUAAAUCAAGGACAUUAAGUCCAUCUAAUGGUUCGUCCUGCAUUUCUUUCAAACCUGUAGCACCUGAAAGAUCAAGAAUCUGAAGCCGAGGUAGAGUGUUCAAAGUGGGCAAUCUUGUUAAGUGUGCACAGCCAACUAAAAGGAGCCGAGUGAGCUCACCAAGAUUGUGAAGAAAAGGUAAGUGAUUAAUUUGGGAAUUGGAAAGAUCAAUUGUUUGAAGUUUCACAAGUGGGUCGAAGGUUUUGUCUCGGAAUUUUCGGAAAGAGAGAGCACCAGAUAGAUCAAGCACCUUGAGGUUCUUAAAAGAUUUUAAGCUUGGAAGUGUUUCUAAUUGAGCACAUCCUCUAAGGAUAAGCCACCGUAGUUCACUUUUAUUGAAGAGAGAACUAGGUAGUGAUCUGACCUUGGAUUCAGAAAGGUUAAGGCUUCGAAGGUGAGGCAUGUUUGCAAAAAGAUCAUCAGGAAUAACCUUCAAGCAAGUAGCACCAGAUAUUUCAAGAACAUUUAAGUUUUCGAGUUUUCCGAUAUGAUCAAUUUUCUCCAAGAGAUCAGAACAUCUAAGCACAAGAAUAGAAAGACUCUUUAUGCUAGUCAAGGAUAAAGGCAGGGAUUUAAACCUGGGAUUAAAUAUAGUAAAAACCUGGAGCUUCUGCAUGGGCUGAAAGUAUCUUCCAGGGACUUCUCUGCCAAGGGAACGUCCAUCCAUCAGAAGUGUCAAGACUUUCUCCCUGCUUUUAGGACUGCAUGGUGAUUUUAUCAUACCAUCCGCAUGUGUGAGCCUCCCAAGACCUUCCCACUUGUCAUCUUCAAACACAUUAGCCAAUCCGAGGUUUGCAGUCCCAUUAAAUUCUCGACGGCGUUGAUCAGUGAUACUCGAAACCAUUCCUCCCAUGAUAACCAUAUUAUCCUCUUGCUUUCUUAGCAUGCCACGAUCUAUAAGCUUCAUCAGCUCAUCAUGUCCUUUUUCAUAGGCUUUCUCAAUAUGAUCAAUGCAUCCAACAUAUCCUUCCAUUAUCCAAUGAGUGAUCAACUCAUUGUAAUGCACACCAACAUGUUUGCUGAAAAGUUGCACGCUAUGCCAAAAACAGUUUAUUGUAACAUCGCUUAGCAACGUGUCAUACCAGAAGCGAAAUAGCAUAUUGAUUGCAACUUCUGCAUCAUUAGCUGCUGCUUCGAGAACACUGUCCAAGGACCAAACCCCAGAAUCAAUAUACCCAAUGUAAUUCAAUGCUUCGGCUAUUGCGAUGAUUUCAUUACGCAUGGACUUUCUCCUCUCCACAAUAAAAUUUGACAGCAUUUCAAAGCUUGGAGAGUCAGAAAUUUCUUUCUUGACUUUUUCUUUCAAUAAGAUCUUAGACUCUUCUGUAGACAAUUGAUCUACAUAUAUGUUCCUUGUAUUACUGGUCCGAAUCUCUUCGUUCCUCCCCUCUGCUGUAAGUUUGUCAUCACUUCCAACUCUAGUGAUUAAGACCUUUAAAGAACUGAGGUCAUUUGGAUUCAGCAGUUUCUUCAGUUCUGUCAUAAUCUCUUCUGCAUCCCGCUCAUGAGGAACAUCAUCCAGAAUUAGUAGAAAAGGUUUCUCGUUUGUACGUGCUGCAGAUAUCACAUCUUGAAGCUUCUUGGAUAUUUUCAGCUUCAAAUUUUCCAAGAUCUCCUUCUCCUCCUCCUCAACAUCAUCAUCUUCGCAUUCCUCGUGAAUAGAGAAUAGAGACAUCUGCCUGGCAAGGUUCUCAUGAAGAGACUUGCUGUCAUAUUUGUUAUUCAGAUAUAGCCAUAGACUGUCAUGGAAGUUUUUCUUCAUGCUUAUCUCUUUUGCCGUCCAUGUUUUCCCUACUCCACGCUUCCCAUCAAGAACGACUGUUGUGACAUCAUUAUUCUUCAGCAACCCCAAUAUCAUUUCUAUCCGUUCCUUUGUGCCUAAAGCCAUUGCUGACUCCCAAAAAAAUAAAAAAGAUCAACAUAUACAUGAAACUUCCAUAAGAAUAAAAUAAAAUAGUAGAUUUUUCAGCAAAUGGGAAAAAAAAAAAAGUAAUUGGAACUAUCACCAAAUUAAACUAAAUCCAUUCAAAUCUUCACAUGCGCUACUUGACUUUGGGGCAAUGUAAUUGGAACUAUCACCAAAUUCUUCAGUUGCAAACGCGUAUACUUCCUUAAAAAAUUAAAAGAAACUCAGUUGUUCCUCACCGGUGAGUAGCUAAAACUGGCAAGGUGCCAGUUAUGCUCUUUUUUUUUUUUUUUUAAGCGCCUGGAUUGAAAUUAAUCAUUUGCUAGCCUAGUUGUUUAAAUCCUUGGUGUUGCUAAAGAACUAGAUUUAGUAGCUUAAAACCAAUGAAAGAGGGUAUCUUCCAUUGUAUAGCUCAGAACCAUUGGUGUGCAAUUGUUAACCAAAAAAAACAAAAAAGAAACAAAAGUGGUGAAAAAUAUUUAAUUAUUUAUCUUUUAAUUGCUUGGUUUAGGAAUGCCAAAAUUACAACAAAACUGGCCCAUUCGGAUGAAAAUUCAAGCUUCCGUAAAAUGCAUUAUAUGGUUCAGACUUCAGAGCCCGAAAGGCACUCAAAGAAAUGGCUUUAAAAAUUAUCUAAACUUUUCGAGAACAACAAUUACAAAAUGACGAACUAAGAUUAGAAGAAACAAAGACAAUGUUGGGGAGAAUUGAAGUCUGGGAACAGCAAUAUUUAUAGCAACAACCCAUACUAACACAAGAACAGAAUUUUUUUAAAAAAAUUACAGAAAUGAAUUUAAAGCAAGCUUCUGCAAGUUUCAAACAAUCAGAAUAUAUUCAGUUCAUGACAUGGUGUUUUGAACACCAAAUUAACACCUAAAGUUAAACCAAAGAAAAUGAAUAAAGCAGAAAAUGAAGAUAAUCAAAUCCAAAAUAGAUAGAGAGCAAACCUGAUGAGUGGUUUGGUGCAGAAGAGCAAUGAGAGUUUGCUUUACAACUGGGAGAGUCAAGUCAACUGUGUAAUCUCUUCACCACAAGGUCCACAACUUACUAAUCAUAGCAGCCUCUCUUAUAGCAAGCAAACCAAUCACUUUGGAGAACCUGGUGGGCCAGUCAAAGCAUCAUAAAAGUUAAGAAAAGGAAAAGUGGAAGAAUCCAAUUUUUCUUUCUUUUUUUUCUUUUUCUUUAUUGAAGUUCACUCUCUCAAAAAGUAUCAAAUAAAUCCAACUCGAUCAUCCUUGUAAUUCUCUUCCAAAUAUCGAUGGAGCUCUUAAGUUCGAAUCCGUCAUUUUUAAUUAAUUAAUAAAAAUAGAAUUUUUUUGAAGGUAUAUAGAGUAUGAAUUUGGAAUUUGGAUCCAAUUAACUUCCACUAUCUUUUAUUUCUUUAAAAAAAACAAAAAGAGGAAAAAAAAAGAAAGAAAAAAGAUAUAUAAGAAUGGCUUCAUAAUAUUUCAAGGUAUCAUAGACUGAUAAAAAAAAAAAGGGAAGGUUGUUGCUUUAAUAAAGCACUUUUGCCCUUUGUUUGGUGCGUUGAUUGCUUGAGGAGUUGUUGUAUAUUCUUUGCUCUACAUUCAGGGUAGCUGCAGAAUCAAUAGAAGCUUCUCAUCAUCACUAAAGAGAUUCGCUGCAAAAAAGUGUUGUCUGAUUGUGGUUCCAUGUUUAUUAAUAUUAGGCUUAAUUGUUGAAUUGCCCCUGAACCUCAGUUGUACUCUCACUUUGCUCCUAAAACUCAAUUUGUGUCGCUUUACCCAUUGGAACUCCAUGUCUCACUUUGCCAGGCAUAGUUGCCUGAGUUUCAGGGGCAAAAUGAAACUAGAAUUGUGCUUCAAGGGCAAAUUCAAUAAUUAAGUCUUAAUAUUAAUGUUCAUACCAAUGUUUUCAAAGGCGAGGCGUAUAGGCGAGGCGUUUUUAGUAGCGCUAUGCGAGGUGUAAGCCUUGAAGCAUUGAGGCGUAAGCCUUUUGAACAUUAAGUUAUUUUAAUAAGAAAAAUUUAUGAAUAAUAUAAUACGAUUAAAUUGUACAACUAAUUGUCAUUCAAAACAUAAUAAUCUAUCCCAAUACAUAAUAAUCAAUCCCAAAACAUAAAAUAUUUAUUCAACAUCAAAACAAAAACAUAAUUCACUCAUCCCACUCCUCAACACUAAUAUCAUUCAAACUAGCAUCACUAUCAUAUUGAUCAACUGUAUCAAUAUGAAAAGGAUAUUUCCCACUAUCAAAUGUUGAAGGAUCUUUAUCUAUCUCAUCAUCUUCAUCCAUAAGCAUCGCUCUUAUGGACUUGCUUUUGACUUUCCUCUUACUUGAGGUUUCACCAUCUUUUCUCUUUUUUGAAGCUAACGAGGAAAGAAGAACAUCAUCAUCAAGAAUAAGAUCAUCAUCAAUAAUAGGAUCCUGAGUUCUAGAAUGGACAAUAGGCUCUUGAGUUCUAGAAUGGACAAUAGGCUCUUGAGUCCUAACAUGAAUAUUCCCUCGCUCUUGAGUCCUAGGAUCACCAAUAGGCUCCACAGAAAUAGGCACUCGAGUAUGUAGAUCAGUUUCAUAAGGUUCAGUGGGCAUAUUUCUGAUGACAUCAACAUCAUAUAAUUCUUGAGAAUUAAGCCAAGUAAGAUCAGUUGGUAGAAUUGGUUCUUCAACCUCAGCUAUCCAUUCAUCAUCGGACUCAAUUUCAUUCACCAAUAUUGGAUCAAUCUUUGACCUCCUUCUAAUACUUCUCUCUCUUAGUGCCGUAUUAUACUUCACAUAUACUAGAGCAUUGAGCUUUUGAUGUUCAAGUCUGUUUCUUUUCUUUGUAUGAAUCUAAAAUGAAUAUAAACAUACAAAAUUAGAUUUAGAAGCAUCAAAAUUUGAACAAUAAAUUAAUAGAAGAACUUUACCUGCUCAAAUGUGCUCCAAUUCCUCUCACACCCAGAUGCACUACAAGUAAGGUAAGGACCCGAAUAGCAAACUUCGUCACUCAGGUGUGUCCCUUCCAAAACGCUUCCACCAAUUUGCUAUAAAAAAAAAAAACCAAAACAAAUCCAUCUAAUUAAGUUUAACAUUUAUUUCAAGUGUUCAUUAUACUCGAAUGAAAAUGAAAAAGUAAAAAUUAUAACCUGGAGUUCGUAGUUUCCUUGAAUUCACAGCAAGACGACUUCCAAACUCUCCUUUUGCCUCAUCAUACAAGUCCAACUGGAUAUCAGCAACCAUACGAUCCUCAAAAGACAACAUCCUAGUCAUGCAAUCUUCCAAUCCCUUCCUCACUUCAUCAGCAGCCAUACGAUCCUCAAAAGUACAAAAGCUACACUUUCACUCAAAAAGACUUGCGUUUUUUUUUUUUUUUUUAUAAAAGGUAAGUACAAAAAAAAGGUAAGUACAAAAACUGAAACUGGUUUUAAUUUUUUCAGCAUACUCCAAGUGAAACGACGUCGUUUCACUCAAAGAUUUUUUUUAAAACUCUGCCAUCAAAACGACGUCGUUUCAUUAUGCUUUAAAAAAAAAAAAAGGGUCAUCUUCCUCCUCGCGCCGUCUUCCUCGCAGAGCAGUUUCAGAUUUCCAGAUUCUGAAAUUUCUUCCAGUUCAGAAGUUUCCGAAUCUGAUACGCCUCGCUCCGCCUAGCCACGCCUUCCAACGCCUCUCACGCCUUCCCAGCGCUAAACGUGCAACUCGCGAAACGGCCGACCGCCUCGGGCGUUUUCCUCCCGCCUCGCUUCGACGCGUGCUCCGACGAGCGCGAAGGCAUGCCUUUGAAAACACUGGUCCAUACCUGAAAGGUUUUGAAUAUUCUCAAUGAUUUUCAUUCAACAAUCAUGUGAUAAUUAUUUACAGUGCUUUGCUUGGUGUCUAUACAAAGGAUUUCCUAUUUUAGGUAAGAAUAAAGUCCUUGAGAGAUAAGGAAUAUAUACAACGAAUGUAGGAAAUAAAUACAAACAAAUAGAAAACUAAACCUUUAAGGAUCUCGUCUCAUUGCACCCCCGCAAGCUGACGGGUUGGGGGAGCACAGGCAGAUUGGACUGAAGUAAGGAAAACCGAGCAGGAGAUAGACCCUUAGUGAAGAUAUCAACAAUUUGAUCAACCGUAGAAUAAUAAGCAACAACCAAUUCAUUGCGCAACCAUCUUUUCACAAACAAAAUGAUAAUAAACCUCAACAUGACGAGUGUGAGAGUGAAACACCAGAUUUUAAGCAAGAGAGAGAGAGCACUAAUAUUGUCACACCAAAGCUUAGGACAAUGAACUGGAAGAUGAAGAUCAAGAAACAAAGCCCGUAACCAAGACAGAGUGGCGGCAGUAUGGGCAAGCUGACGGUACUCCGGCUCAGUACUGUAGCAGGAGACACCGCGUUGCCUUUUAGAGCUCCAAGAAAUUAAGUUGGCACCCAAAUAAAUGCAAUAGCCACUAGUGAAGCGACGAUCGUAGGGAUCCCCACAUAAUCGGCAUCAUAAUAAGCAAUGAGAUGCAGAGUGCUUGGUGAAUAGAGUAACCCAUGAGUAAGCGUGCCAUUGUGAUAACAAGGAAUGCACUUAACAACAAGCCAAUGAACAGUAGUGGGUUGAUGCAAAAACUGACAAACUUGAUUAUCGAAGGCAAUAUCCAGGCGAGUAAGGGUUAAGUACUGAAGAGCACCAACAAUACUACGGUACUCAGUGAGACCAGAGAGAGGAUCGCCAUCAGAGAUGCUAAGAUGACGUCCAUUGACAACCGGUGUAGGCAUGGGUUUGGCUUCGUGUUUUGUUUAUUUUUUAUACAUGAUUUGUCAUGUCAUUCACCCAAUAUUUUGUGUUAGUUCUUGACAUUUUAUAGCCUUUUACUUCUUUUUUUGUUUUUUUUUGUUGUUGUUGUGUUUUUAAUAGAUUUCACCUUGAUUAAAAUGAAAGUGAGAUAAAAAUGCAUUAUUGGAUAUAAAUUCUGUUUUUACUCAUUUUCGUUGGUUAACUUUUUGGCUGUGGAUCACCAUGCUCUGUUGCUCGGAUGAGGUGAAGUUCUUCAUGAAACUUGUUCCAAUGGGUAUAACAUAUUUGAAUUUAAGCUCCAUUGAACAAGUAUAGCCUAUCCAACCGAUCCAACAUUUAUCCUAACCCUGGAAUUGUGGUUUGGACUACAUUUACCUCAAUUGGAUACCAUCCUCCAUUUUCUACUUGUUACCACACCACUUGGUAACAAUGUUUCACUUAGAUAAGCUGGAAUCUCUCUCAAUAUAUUGAAAGUCAAAGAAAUGAUGAAAGUAAAGACAAGUGAAGAGAAGAGCCAAAGAACUUUGGGUGAAAGGUGAAGCAUCCUAUGAAGUAAUGAGUAGGAAGAGAGAAAGAACAAAAGGUAUCUAAGGGGCAGCACCCAAGCAAGAAAAGAAUCCUUCACCAUAUACUUUGCAAAUUUCAGAUUUUUUUAGAGAAGGAGGAGAGCAAGGAACAACCAAGGAGAGGGGAGAAUGGCAGAACAAUUAGAGAGAACCUUGGGGAGCCUUGAGGUAAGGAUCCAAGAGGUUGAAGAUGCAAUUCUCUUUCUCCUCAUUGUUUUUAGUUUCUUUCAUUUUACUUCUUUCUUGUAUUUUCUUAGUCUCAAUGUAACUUCUUAUUUUUCUAGGGCUUUGGUUGAAGCCCUAAAUAUGAUUACACUUUUGUUUUGAUGCUUUGACUUUGUGGAUUUUUAGAUGUUCUCUAUGUGUUUGCUUGUGUAAGAUACAUAAGAAUACAAUUUCUAAUUAGCAACAAAUGAUUGAAUCCUUUCUAAGCAAGUAUCAAGUGAAUUGGCUUCUUGACAACAAUUGAUGAAUUCCUCUUCACUAAAAUAAUCUAUCAUUGAUGUAUAUUUUUCUUUGGUUGAUCACCCUUGAAAGCAUGCUUCUUGAGAUUGUUGAGAUUAUAUGUACUUUCAUGUUUUCCUAAGAAACUAAUGGAUGAAGUAAGAAUCAUCCAUGUGAAUUGGUUUCUUGAACGCCUAAUGUAAACACCAUGCUAUUAUGGUUUUUGUGAUGUUCAUAUUCUCUUCAAACUUAAUGAGUUUUUCAUAUGGUUAACUCGAAGUACUAAGUACACCUAGAUUGACAAGAUUCAACACCUGUCAAGUGCCGGGUACACUUGACCAAAUUGCCCUAUAAACUAAAACUCAAAUUUUUUUUUUAAGGUUUAACUUCUGCCAAAAAUUUGAUAAAGUCUUCCUUGUAAAUUGCUCGUUUCUCAAAAUUUACACAUGUACAAAAUGCAAUUCAUAUAUCCACAAGCGUUCAACAUGCACAAUGUUAGAACACACACAAUCAAACAGUAAAUCUGUGUGGCCUCAGGCCUUACAGAAGUCCUAGGGCAAUAUCAGAGCCUACUAAUUAAUUUAAUUUACAAAAAUAGUGUGUUUACAGUAGAAUAUCUUACAUAAAGGAAGUGGAUGAGUGGUGGGUGAUGAAUUCUAGAUGGUGGUGCUCCGGUACUCGAUUAUUGCCUGGGGGAGCAAAACAUUAAAAGCGUGAGUGGACAAAAGAAAGUUUUGCAAAAUAUAAUAUCAACAUACUAACCCCAUUGUUAAAACCAUUUGAAAAUUCAUUUAAUCCAUGUUCUAUAUUCGUACAAAAAUCAGGCAUGCAUAUUUAUAUCCAUAUAACCGUUCAUACAUUCCAACAAUUCAUCAAAACUAUUUGAAAGCAUUGAAAAAUAAUAAUUCCUUUCCAUCUAGGUAUACCCAUCAUAAAUCCGUCAAUUCCAUGAUUUUCUAUUUAUUUCCCACAUUAUACCGUCAAUUUCAAGUGCCACAUAAGCGACACCUCCUCGCAGAACUCAGAAACACAAAGUUAACUCGAGCCGCAUUCCUCGCAGAACUCAGGAGACACUUGGUCAACCUGAGUCGCAUUCCUCACUCCUCAUGGUUCGGCUAUCCCUUGGACCCGUGGGGCAACUGUCAAACGCGCACUAACUCAACC